RNAcentral lists this long non-coding RNA (158283 nucleotides) under Vitis vinifera (wine grape). RNAcentral's name for it is "long non-coding RNA (VVIN_LNC000556)". The record is from RNAcentral. Lineage: Eukaryota; Viridiplantae; Streptophyta; Magnoliopsida; Vitales; Vitaceae.
UUCAAGCCAAAUACAGUGUCAUAUUGCCUACUAUUGACAUAACACCUAUCACUAGUAAUCUCCACCCUCCUACAUUUAGGUUGUAAACUUUUUUAAAGAGAUCCUAAACUAAAUUAAAUUGCUUAAUUCUUAAAAUCCAUGUAGAUUCUCUUUAAUUUACAGCAUGGAUGUAAUAAGUCUAACAGGCCCUUCCUCUUUUGUCAUUCUCUUUAGCUCCUGUUCAAACCUUUCCAUGACUGGCGGAGGCAGGCAUAUAGGUAUAACAUUCCCUUCUUCUCCUUUGCUGUUCCUGAACCGCAUACAGAAGCUAAUAUUAGAUAAAGCCCUAGCAACCCCACCAUAGACUGGCUUCCCCCACCCGAAGUCGAUCUCUCCAAUCCCGGCACGUGUGACAUCUGAAAUAAGAUAGUUCCCCGGCUGCGUAAAUGAGGGACGGCCCUUGAUGACCAUAUGAUCUGCCACUGAUUUCACAUACUCUUGGCUCAUUUCCGCCUUGGCUUUCUUCAGUAACCUUAUCGCAUAUUCCAAUGGGUUUUUACAUAGCAUUCCAGCCUUAGUAAUUGAAGCUGGAUACACAAAAGCAUUUCCGUAGUAUCCUGGAGGCAGAUCGAAACCGCGCUUGCCUCGCAUAUUGAUUAAGCAUGAAAUGCGAACAACUUCAUCAGGGUCUACUGCAAAUGCAAUUGUGCGGCAUCUCCAUACAUACGCUAUUAGAACCUCAAACGUCGAGCAGGCACCGAGGCUUGCAGGAAGUCGGUUCCUAAGUGCUCUUAUCUCCUUGGGGCCAAAGAAGAAUGAUCGAUGAACCAAAUUAUUUUCGUCCAUGGUCAUUAGUGUGCCCUUGGUAUUGGUUACCUCCUCGUAUUCAUGAUGUAUACGGGUAAUUCGUGGCGGAUUUCGGGCAUUUAACAGCUCUCUUUGCCAUAUGGGCAGCAGAGAUGGCACAGACAGACCUUGAGCCAUCUCGCUUAUGGCGUCGAGGAAUUGGACCAAGCCAGGACCAUCACUCAUUGUGUGGUUUAGGCGCAAUGCAAAUAUAAAUCCUCCACACCUCAAUCGGGUCACCUACGUUGUACCAAGAUUUAUUUAUAAAUGUAUGCUUUAGCAACAUCCAAUGAUUUGUCUUAUUAAACUUAACAUUUAUUACUUAAUAACUUAAGUUUAUUAAUUUAAAUUGUUAACUUAAAUCUUAUUAUCUAAAUAUUAGGUUAUUUGAUAAAAUUUAUUUCAAAUCAUCAAAUUGACAUAUUUACCCUCCUUAAUUUUGAUUAAUAUUUAUUCUAAUUGACUUUAAUUUAUAUUUAUUUUCAUUAAUUUUAAGUAAUAAAUAUAUUUAUAAAACAUUCAUAUUUAUAUUAUUGUAGAUAUCUAAAAAUAACUAUAAAAUAUUUAUUAUAAAAAGUGGUUUCAAAAAGUUAUUUUUAGUAUUCCAGAAAACUAAAUGUUUUGACUUUUUCUAUUCCAUUAAAAAUUAAAAAAUAAGUAAUAAGUAAAAAAAAAUUAAAAACAAAUCAUCUAAAAUGUGAAAGUAAAUUACAUUUAACAUUAAGUUAAAUAAAUAAAUAAAAACAAAUACCACUUUAGUUAAAUAAGUUAUUUUAUCAAAUAUCAUUGAUGAUGGAGAAUAUUUACCUGAAUUAAGAUAAGAGGAGAACCAAGAAUUCCCCCAGAGCCAGGGACAUCAUACAGAAGCUCCUCGAAGCAGGGACACAUUGGUUGAAUUGCAUCACCAAGAUUCUCAAGUGUGGUAUCGGCAUCGGCUUCAAUGAACAAGACCCCUUCACCGGUGCAGUCCACCAUGAGUUUUCUAUUAUCCCCUUCAAUCAGCCUGCCUGCAAAUGGGUAGUAGUAAACAAGCGCCUUGCCUAGAGCUUCUUUAAUGACCUUUGCAGGGUCUUUUCCUUUCAUUAAAGGAUUGUUCGGGUAAAACAUUAUCACAGGAAUUUGAAAGCGAAGGCCUUCUUGAUCAUCUAAAUCAGAAAGCUGCUUCACCUCUCGUGGGGUAGGGUUUGUAGGCCGAACAAACUCUGGAGCACGCCGUUUAACCGAGAAUACUAGAGGAGACGAUGAUGAUGCCAUGUCCUUCCAGGCUAGGAGUUUGUUGAUAGAAUAUAGAAAAAAUGAUAAAGAGAAAAUUGAAGGAGUUUAUGUGAUGGUCUGCUUUGAGAAGAAGGUAGCUGAUAUUUAUAGCCUAUUGCUGCACUCCAAUAACGCGGCGGAGCAUCUUUCUCAGCCUACGACACGGUUCAGAUAAGAGGUAGACUUUUAGUUGUGUUUCACCUGUUUUUUUUCUCUCCAGGCCCCACUAUCUUAAUGCACCUAAAAUAUCAUUACUACUCUUUUCUUCUGCACCACACCUUUUUUUGUCUUCUUUUCUCAUAUUUUUUUUUCAUCUCUUCAACAAAAGUCUAAAUUCAAAGCUUAUUCUCCCAGGUUUGUUUGUGAUCCAAAAAGUGUUUAAAUUAAGUUCAAAGUACAUUUCAACCUCUUUUGUAGAUUUUAGUUUAUGUUCAUAUACAUUAUAAUAAUGUUUGUUUUAUAUAAAUGUAUUUUAAAGGCUAUUAAUUAUUUAUAAAACUAUUAACAAAUGUUUAUUAUAAAAAUAGUUAGGGAAGAUUUAGGAAUUAUUUAGAAAAUAUUUAUUAUAAGGGCUAUCCAUUGGCUUAAUUAUGUGUUUGUUUCACGACCCCCUUAAAAGCCAUGGUCCUUUCCUCUACGUUAUGUCUCUUUCAAUGUCAGCACGAAAAUAGUUAGGGAAGAUUUAGGAAUUAUUUAGAAAAUAUUUAUUAUAAGGGCUAUCCAUUGGCUUAAUUAUGUGUUUGUUUCACGACCCCCUUAAAAGCCAUGGUCCUUUCCUCUACGUUAUGUCUCUUUCAAUGUCAGCACGGUCCCCUCCUAUCAUAAAAUCACUAGAAAUUAUUGUACUCCAUUGUGCAAUACAUGUCCUUCUCUCUCUCUCUCCCCCUCUCUCUCUCUCUCUUUCUCUUUGUACACAUACAAAAUUUCAGUUAAUUAAAUUAUUAUUAAAUUCCUCUUUAAAAUUUUGAUUUCUUGGUGAAAUUUGAAAGACUACAAAAUUAAAUUUUACAAAACAAAAACAAAUAUGUCAAUUGAAGUUCAAAAGAGAAUUAUAAAUAAAUAUUUUUUUAUAGGUAAAUUUCUUGAACAAAAGAAACAAAUAUUUUUAUUAAAAUAAAAAAAAGAAUUAAAAAUAAAUAAAUAUUCUUUUGUUAGCAAAUCUCUUUAAUAUGGAAGAUAAGUUUCUAAAAUCAAAAUGUCAAAUUCUUUGAAUUAAACAAAUUCAAUCUUGGGAAGUCCAAAUUUAAUUCUCUAACUUCACCAAUAAAUAAUAAUGACUUCCUUCAAUGGAGGGAAUCAAUAAAAUAAUUUCAUACAAGGAAAAAUGUCUUCACAAAAAAAAAAAAUGUUUCAUAAAAUUUCUUUGUAAGUUCGAGAAAUUAUAAAAGCAUUAUAAAUGUGAUCUUGUCUUUUGACAAAGUCAUUUGGGAAUAAGUCAUUUUAAACCCUAAAUUGAUUUUCAAAGCAAAGAAACACUUCAUCAUUGUCUAUUAAAUUAUGAUCAAAGUAAAGGAAUGAGAGAAAAAAAAUAUUCUUUUGUAAAGAAUAUUAUCUAAGAGUUUGUACCCCACAAUUAUUUUAAUAAAAACAAUUGUUAGCAUAUUUUUUCUAUUAUUUUAAUUGUUUCACAAGACUUCAAACAAUUUGUACGUAUAAAUUUAUGGCAAGGAAAGUUGAUAGAAUUUUCUUUUGGUUUAGUUUUUUAGGAAAAUGUUGAGAACUAUAAAAAUUAAAGGCAUGUUUGAUAAGUGUUUUCAAAAACAAUUUUGAAAAAUGGUUUUUGAGAAUGAUUUUUAAAAAUUAUUCUUUGAUUUUUAUAGAACAAAAGUUUAUUUGAAAACUUAAAAUGUUUUCAACCUGUUCUUAAUAUUUUUAAACAUGUUUUAAAAAUAAUUUUUAUAUUUAGUAUUUUAUUUUUAAUCAUUCUACAUAUUUGUAUAAUUAUUUCUUAAAAUAAUCCUUAAAAAACAAGUUAAAACAAUAGAAAACUACAAAAAAAUGUUAUCUAAAAAUACUUUAUUUUCUAUUUUUUUUAAAAAAAAAAUUUGAUUAUCUAAUAUGUUUUCUGUGUUUUUUUUUUAACAACAAAAUACUAUUCUAAAAAAUAUUUCCAAUUAAGCACUAAAUCUUUUAGAAUACCCUGUCCCCAAACUUUCAUCACCCUUUUUAUAAGAAAAAUGGGAAGAAAUUCUUUUAACAUUUUCCUUUAUUCUUACAUUUUUUUCCACGUUAUCCAUAGAUAAUAAAAUCAUUUCCCUUACCAUUUUUAGCUUCUUAAAAGAAUAAAUAGUACAUAUAACAAAUGCUCGCUCAAUGGUUCCCAAUCUUUUCUCACUUUCUUUCAUUGGUAAAUGAGGAAAAUUGGUUAUGCAAUGCAUUAAAUUUAGCAGUUUGCAACAAUAUAUUAAUCUUGUAUAAUAUAUAUUUUUUUUUAUAAAUUGCAAAAAUAUAUAUGUCAAUUUAUUUAUAUUUUUUCUUAGAAACCAAAUGGUGAUUAUUCUUACUUUAUUUAUUUUUAUAUAUUUUUAAUUGGAGUGUUUUCUAUGUCACAUGUUGAUCUUGCAAAUCAUCAGGUUCUCUUAAAAAGCUCCUCAUAUUUGGAAAUCCACACACUGCAAAAAACCAUUAGAUAUCAAAGUUAUACUCUUCAUGACAUUCUUCAUGGUAAGUUAUAUUCAAAUUCAACAACAUAAAGUUUAUACCAAAUUAGAUAUGAAAGUAAAUUACAUUCGGUAUUAAGUUAAAAAUAAAUAAAUACUAUCUAAAUUAAUUAUUUUAACUUGAUAAUUAAAGUCAAAAAUAAUUUUAAGUUAUAAUAGUAAGUUAUUUAAUCAAAUAUCAUUUUUCGGUUAUUUAUUACAAAUGUUUUAAAAUAUUUAUUACGAUUACUAAGACAUUGAAAAGAAAAAAUGGGGGAAGAAAACCAAGAAGAUGAGUAUGCAUUAAUUUGAAAUGGGGUGUUUAGUCUUUCUAAUGGAUAUUUGUAUUAAAAAAAAUGAUACCUAAAGAAAUUAAAUUAGGUGGAUACAAAUAUAAAUUAAAAAAAAAAGGAAAAUCCCAAGAUAUAUGCUGAAAUUAUAACUUGUAAUAAAUGUCAAAAUCACCCUUAUGCUCAUUUUGUUCAAAAGUCUAUAAAGUAAUCUAAUUAUCUAUUUUACCUAAAAUUAGUUAGUGAGUUGUACCCAUCAAAAUUGUAAACAAACCUCGAUUUGUUUCAUGAUAUUCAAGUAUAAAAAUAUCAUUUUCUUUAAUAUUAUUUUUCUUCUUUGAAUAUUUUUUAAAAAAUCAAAAUUAUUUUUUUAUAUUUGAACUUCAUUGAAAAUGUGAAGAAAUAAUAAUAAUAAUAAAAAUGAAGAAAAAUUCUAAAAAUUGUCUUCCUCAUUUUUCUUAUACUCAAACGUGGAAUCCGAGUGUCAUAUCAUAUUGAGUUUGUGGAAGCUAACCCACUUACACAGCCCGAGAACCCAUCAGUAGUUGUCAUACCCAUUAAAAGCCAUGGUCCUUGCCUCUACGUUAUGUCUCUUCCAAUGUCAACAUUGUCCCCUCCUAUCAUAAAAUCACCAGAAAUUAUUGUACUCCAUCGUGCAAUAAAUUCCCUCUUGAUGGUCCAUAUAUAUUCAACAUGUGACAUACAAUUCAAAUGUACACAUACAAAAUUUUAUUUAAUUAAAUUAUUAUUAAAUUCCUCUUUAAAAUUAUGAUUUCUUAAUUCAACAAAAUUCAAGUUUAAUAAGUGAUGGUCCAUAUAUAUUGAACAUGUGACAUAUAAUUCAAAAAAGGAUACUUAGUGAAAUUUGAAAGACUGGAAAAUUAAGUCUUACAAAAAGAAACAAAUAUGUCAAUUGAAGUUCUAAAGAGAAUUAUAAUUAAAUAUUUUCCUGUUGAUAAAUUUUUUGAACAAAUUAAAAGAAACAAAUCUUCUAAUUAAAAUAAAAAGAAUUAAAAAUAAAUAAAUAUUCUCUUAUUAGCAAAUCUCUUUAAUAUAGAUAUCAAGUUUCUAAAAUCAAAAAGUCAAAUUCUUUGAAUUAAACAAAUUAAAUUUUGAGGAGUCUAAAUUUAAUUCUCUAACUUCACCAAUAAAUAAUAAUGACUUUCUUCAAUGAAGGGGAUCGGCAAAACAAUUUCAUACAGGAAAAAAGUCUUCGCAAAAAGAAAAAGGUUUCAUAAAAUUUCUUUGUAAGUUUGAGAAAUUAUAAAAGCACUAUACAUGUGAUCUUUGCCUUUCAACAAAGUAAUUUGGGAAUAAGUCACUCUAAGCCCUUAAUUGAUUUUCAAAACAAAUAAAACACUUCGUCAUUGUCUAUUAGAUUGUGAUGAAAGUAAAGGAAUGAGAAGAAAAAUAUUCUUUUGUAAAUAAUAUUAUCAAUGAGUUUGUACCCCACAACUAUUUUAAUAAAAAUAAUUGUUAGCAUAUUUUUUCCAUUAUUUUACUUGUUUAGCAAGACUUCACACAAUUUGUACUUAUAAAUUUAUGGCAUGCUCGAUGGGACAUCUUUGUCUCUCAUCCCUUUUGCUAAAAAAAUUGAUCAUUAUUAAUGCUAUGACAUCCAAAAAGAUUCAAAUUGUGCAUGUCAAUAAAGAGUAAUGACAAGAUUGUCAUUGCUUAAUCAACACACAACACUACUACAAGCCUUAUGACUCAUAACAAAGCAAAAUCAACUACUGUAGUUUCAGCAAAGUAAGCAAGUGAAAAUAUUUGUUUGUUAAGUACUAAUGCCAUUCAAUAUGUUAUAUAAGUGACCAAGCAUUGGUCUCACUACCUUUAUUAUCAAUUUGUCCCAGUCAAGAUUGGGUUUGCAUUCCCUAGUAGAUCUUCCAUAAACAACUAAUUUCAAUGGGGGUCCCCAUCAAAAUUCCACUUAGUUCUAAACUCUUUCACCUUACAUUUUUUGAAAAAAUUACAUUCAAGCCUUCUAGUGUGGAUAGUUACUCUCAUCAAAACAUGAUGGAUUAUUAAUGUAAGAACCCACCUUUGUUUAUUCCAUACUGGUUUAGCAGGAUUGAGAGAAAAAAAUCAAAAUUGUUAUUUAAUAGCUUACUCUAAUACUAAUUAAAAAACCGCUUAUCUAGUAGGGUAACACUAGAAGAGGGUGAAUGGAUGAUUUCUAAAGAUUGUUGUAUAGGAAUUGAAAUCUUAACCCAAUUUAAAUAAUGAGUGGGAAUUAAGCCAAAUUAAAGCAAUUGAGUCCUGUAGGAGAUUAUGAGUAGGGAAUAGAACAUACACAAAACAGACAAAUGAUUUUACAUGGGAAACGUCUACACCAAUUGUGGAGAUAAAAACCAUAGUGUUGAGGACCUCCAAUCUAACAAUCCACCAUAUGAGAUCAAGAUACAAAAAUUUACCUUGUUACUUAUUCUAAAGACUUACUCUCUAGUACCUAUAUCGUGAUCCAUGUCCCCGGCAUAACACCUCCAAUGCUCUAGUGGAUUCACCUUAGCCUCCUUCCAACAACCCGAAAAAUGAAUCAACUAACCUUGAGAGUUUAGUGCCAAGAAUGAUAGGGCAAUAAUAUAUAUAUAUAUAUAUAUAUAUAGAUUAUGAAACCUAAAGGAUUGAAAUAGGAUUAUUGAUUAAAAAAUAAACCAUGAAUUUCCAACAAGAAACACUACUAAAGCAUGGCAAAAUCAAAACAACAGCUCAAGUGGACCUAACCAUCGCUCAAGCACCUUGAGCAUUCAAGCACUUAUUUAAACAUUUGAGCGGUGGCUCCAGCACUCGAGCAAUUUAGCUAGUGUUUGAGUGGUCCUGUUUUAUCAAAAGUAAAAAAUAAAAAAUUUUAAACCAAUUUUGAGAAACUAAUCCAAUUCAUGCCUUAACCUAACUUGUCUCUAACAAACAUUUUCAAACUUACCUAUGACAGUCUAGUUGAAUGAUCAACAACCUCGAGUCUUCAAUGGAGAGUAAGUCACAUCUAAAAGGAUUCCUAUGCCAUAAUGAAAAGGAAUAAAAUUGUCAAUAUAUAAAACUGUCAUAGCAUACGCAUUAAGAACUUGAGUUUUCAAGUAUAAAAUAGACAAGGGUGAAAUUCUAGUGGACUUGGAUUAUUUCCAAAAUAUCAAAUUUUAGGUACACUAGAGUGCUUCCAACACUAGAAAAAAUUAGAAACUUUACCGAACACAAUUUUGGAAACUCGACCUUGGAACGUUUAAGCAUUGGAUAAGUGCACUUGAGCACUUCCAACACUUGAAUGCCUCUUGCUAAUGUUCAACCACAACAAUUGAGUGCCCAAUGCAUUAAGUGUUACAUCUGAGUGCUCGAGGCAUUGAGUGUCAGAUCUAGCCUAUCUAGGUGCUUGAGCACUCAAUCUCAAGUCCGUUUUUAAUUAACGUUUAAAAGCAUUCAAUCUAUUAUUCCCUAGAGUCUAUUUUAUGUCGGAUGUUAAAAGUCAUCAUCCUUUCAUAGCUCUCUAUACUUACCCUAUGUUAUUCCUUGUUGACUCUAUAGGCUCCUCGAAUCUUCAACGGAAUGUAAGAGGAAAAUAUAAAAAGUCCUAAACUGGAAUGAAUAGAAAAAAAAAUCCCAAUCUAAUGCACUAACAAAAUGCAAAAAUGCUAAGGAAAAACAAUUUUGUUAUAUUGGUUUACUAUAAAAUAAAAUUUAAAAAAAAACAUAAAAGAAAAUUAAAUAUAAUUAAAACGAGUUAAAAACUUUUGCCUUUUUAAAUUAUUUAAUCUUUGUAUAAAAAGAGUAAAAAUAAGUUAAAUGAGUUUAAAGUAGUAUAUAAAAAUAAUAUAUUUAAUUUUAAAUUUAUUUAUUAUUUUCCUUCACUGUUUUUUCUUCUUUUUUUUUUUCCCUCUAUUUUCUUUCUCUUAAAUUUUCUAACAACUAAACAUAGUCUAAUAGUAUCUAUGGAAUUUCUAUACCUUUCUUUUUCUUAAUCACUUAGUAGCACAAUUAUUAUCUCGAUCACAGGAAUAAUGGCAGCCGCUGAUGAGGUCUUUUUAUGUUUUGAAUUUGCAAUCCAUUUUAAUUAUCUUGUUUUCUUCGUUCCUUUGGGGAAGAAAAUUGUAGGAGAAAUAUAAAAACAAGAAGGUAAGGAAAAUUUAUAAAUUUUUCUUUUAUUUGGUUAGAUACGAAAAAGAAAAUUAAAUUAUUGACCGAUAUAUUUACCCUUGAAUUUCAUCUUUUGUUAAAGAAAAAGGCAGGGAGGAAAAUCUUUUAACAUCAUUCCUUCUCUUUUCCUUAACAUUUUUUUCACUUUUUUUUUACCAUAAUUGCUCAAGGAAAAUUAUUUGGCAAAAGUGUGUUUCCAUGCAUUUAAAUUAAAAAAAAAUCAUAAAUAGGAACCCAACUUUAUAAAGUACAAAUUUCAAGCAGUUGUCUAAAAAUAAUUAGCAUUUCAUGGUCUUGGUCAAAGGUACUACCUAUAACCAUUAAAGUAUACUACCUUUUAAUGAUAUAUAUGUAUAUAUAUAUAUAUACACUAUCUUUGACCAUUCAGAUAUACUAAGCUUUAAUGAUAGAUGUACUAUUUGUUGAGAUAUUAGGAAUGUUUAGACAUUAGGAAAGUUGAGAUAUUAGGAAUGUUGAGAUAUUAGGAUAUUAGUUGUUCUUUCCUUAUAUAAUUCAUUCCUUGUAUCAUUCUUUCCCAUUCUUAGAAUGAUGAUUACCCUUUAUAUAUACUCUGUACAUGAACGAAUGAAAUAAUUAAUGAAAAACUAUCAUUCAUCCAUUUGAAGACUAUCUUUUAUCAUCUUAAGCAUUACCUUUGACCAUCUUAGGUACUACCUUUGAUUGGUGAAUAUAUAAAAUUUGAAUUUUUUUUAAAAGGUUCCUAUUUUAUGAUUAUUUUCAUACAAGUGCAUGGAAAUCCAGGAGAUUCCUUCCAUUAGUGGAAACUUAUGGGACAAGUCACUACCUUCUAACAAUUUUAUGGUUGUUGUAUUGUGAAGGCAAGCAAAAUAUGCCCAAGUAGUCUUGGUAUUGGUUGGUUAGAGUUGGUGUAAAAAUAAAAAGAGUUCUUUACUAUCAAUAAAGCUUGUUUUCUCUUUAGGCCCAUCUAAUUCCUUUAUCCCUUUCUUGAAUUGUUUCUCGAUUUGUUUAGAAAAGAAACGAGAGAGUAUUUCCCAUUGUUAAACUAGUACCAUAUAAGAUUAAGUUAGUUCCGCUUUGGUUGUGAAGUGCUGCCUCACUUUUUCCAAAUUUUUUUCCUCAUUUUUUCCUUAAUAUCCUUAAUACUUUAUAGGAAGUAUGAUAGAUAAUUUAAACCACUUAGUGGUAAGUCAAAAGGAAACAAAACAACCGCUCAAGUUCAGGCACAAGUCAAUAACCCUGGAUUAGAAAUAAGAUGUGUAUGAAACACUGUACAAAGUCUGUUGACUUUUUGUUCCUAAUUUCUAUAAAUACAAGAAAUGACUGAAAAAGAUAGCUCAUCUAGGGACUUCUAUGACGGAAGAGUCAAAUUUUAAUAGACUUAUACAAAGUUCUAAUUUUAUAGUAUUUUAUCAUUAUACAAUUAUAAUUGAAAUAGAAUAUUUCUUUUAAAAUUAUUUAAUCUUUAUAUAAAAGCGUUAAAUAAGUGAAAAAACUUUGAAGUAAUAAUUAAAAUAAUUUAUUGACUUUAAAAUUAUUUUUUAUUUUUCUUAACUUUUUCUUUCUUUUACUUUUCCUUAUUAUUUUCUUUUAUUUGCAUAUUUUUUUCUAACUUUUCAAGAAUUAAAUAUGGCCUAAGUUUCCAUAGAUAAAAUGCAUUAAUCAAAUAUAGGUAAAUAAAAAACAAAAAGAUACACUUCACUUGAUUUUUUUAAGACUCAAUUAAGUUGUUGAUUGAAAGGGUGUAUGGUAAAACUUAAUACUUACAACUUAAAGACUUUGAUUUUAAGUUACGUUAUACUUAAGUGGUUGACUUAAAGCUUAUUAUCUAAUUUUUAUUUUAAGUAUUAAAGAUGUUUGAUAAAAUUAAUUUAAAACUUAUUUUAAAGCAUCAAAAUGACAUAUUUUUCAUCAUAAAUUAUAACUAGGGCAUAGGAGGUCGAGUAACAAUGGAGGUCAUGGAAUAGCAAAAGAGAUCAUGAAGGUAUUAAGGACAAAUGGUCGGGAUAAAAAAAAAAAAAAAAAAAAAAGUAAAAUGAAGAUGUGGCCUUCUGAAAAAAUGAAUUAUUUUUAUUUAUUACUUAAAGUUAUUUUUUACUUAAGUCAUAUUAUUAAGUUAUUUUACAACAUAUACUUAAUAUAGUUAACGACUUAAAUUAAGUUAUUAAGUCAUUUUAAAUUAUUAAAUUGAUUUACCAAACACUCAUUAAGUUAAAAUAGUUUUAAAAUAUUUUUUAAUAUUAGUUAGAAAGUUAUCAAUAUUUUAGAUCAUUUUUUAUAUUCAUUUUAUCUUCUUUAUUUUUAUCAAAAAGUACUUUUUGGAAGCCAAACGUAACCUUUAUCUAUCUAUUAACAAACAAUAUUCAAAUGAAAUCUUUAAAUGUGAUGUUUUUUAACCCCUUCUCAAUAAUAUUCACAUGCUGCAUAGUGGUGUAAAGGAGGACAAAAAGUGUACCAGUUGUAUCUUGUGGCCUGAAUCACUUUACUUUCUUAAAAGAACAUGUGAAACACAACAAAAAAUUUGUCCUUCGUCCGGGCUGAAACCAAAUAUUAUACCUAAUCUAAAAGUAGUAUUAUUUGUAGAAUAUUUACAUAAUCACAUAAAGUAAUCAUACAUGAUUAAAGGAUACUAACAUAGAAAAUCACUAUAAAGAACAUACCUGUUUGAGCCAUCAUAAUAAAACAAGUGAUUGAUUGUUGCAACCAAGUCUUCCCCUCUAUGAUCUUGAUAACAACUAUUAUGGCUUUAUGGGAAAACAGAAAGACCCUUUAUCUAGAUUAGAGAGGGGACUUAGCAUAACUCAAUAUUGGGUUCUCAUUGGGCCCUCCCAUAAUGGGCUUCAAUGAGAUCCAUAGCCUACACUUGCCACUCAACUGAGCUUCUACUCAAAAGACGCAAAACCCAAUCCAAAUAUGAUCACUAGUUAAUUGGGCUCAUUAUAUAAUAGACUAUCCAUUAACCCAUUUUUUUCAAAUACAAAUUAUUCAAUUAGUGUUAGCCCAUAUAAAAAUUUUCCAACAUUCUCCCACUUGGGCUACAUUAAUUGUUUUUUGAGGAUUCAUUAAAUUCAUUUUGAAAAUAAGACUCUCGGGUUAGGUACAGAAAAGUUUAUUUUGUGUGGCCAUACUUUUUUUAAAGAAAUGAUAGUCUCUAAGUAACAUCUUGAUAAACUUAUCUAGUCCAACAUGGUCUUAAUAUUUGACUAUGAUGGUCUAUAUGUUAAUCUCAACAAACAUAAUGACCCUUAUAGUCACGAAUAUUUAUAACCAUAUCGACAUGGAUCGUAAACCCAAUAGUGUAGUAAGAAAUCAAUGGCAACAUGUGAUCAUCAUCUAUAUGCAUUGUUUCUUAUCAGUCCUCAUUACAAUUUAUCGGCAAAAUGAAAUUGUAAUUGCAAUUUCUCAACAAAAUGAAAUUGCUGCAAUUUCUAAACAAUAUGAAAUUGCUUGACUUUAACAAGUCAUAUGUCACCAACAGUGCACCACAAGAUCUUAAAAUAGUGGUAUUUGUGACAUCCAAUAGUAUACAACUAUAAUUCUUAAGGUUCAAUAUCUUAAGAUACCAUGUUGUAUGAAAUUCAAUUACGACAUGCUAUAAUAUAAUACUUAAUAAUGAUGAUCAUAAUAAAAAGAUUUUAAUUUUGCAAGUCGCAUAACAAUAAUGAUUAAUGUUUACACAAAACAAUAAUUGAAAUAAGGGAAAUCACAAAAGCUCCCACUAAACCAAAGAAUCAAAAGAUUUAAUGACACCCAUAUUCACAACAUGUUCCUUGAACGUUAUAGGCUUUAAACCUUUGGUUAGAGGAUCAGCUAGCAUGGACUCAGUUCUUAUGUGCUCAAUUACAAUAUCUCCUUUCUUCACUAAGUCCUUAACUGUAAGGUACUUGAUUUCUAUAUCCUUAGAACUCGUAUUGAUCUUAUUGUUCUUGGAGUAGAACACAACUGCAUUAUUGUCUCAAUAAAUCACAAUGGGUCGAAAGAUGGAAUCAACAACUUGCAACUUUGAAAUCAGAUUUCUUAGCCAAACAACUUGAGAUGAUGCACCAUAACAAGCUACAAACUCAGCAUAAAUGAUUGAGGAUGCAAUUAGGCUCUAUUUGACAAUUUUCCAUGAAAUGGCUCUACCAACUAACAUAAAAAUGUAUCCUAAAGUAGAUUUGUGAUCAUCAGAACAACUGCCCAAAUAAGAAUCUGAGCAUACAACUACCUCAAGAUUAUCCACCCUCCUAUACACAAGCAUAAAAUCCUUCGUUCUUUAUAGAUAUCUCAUGACUUUCUUUGCAGCAACCCAAUGAUCAUGUCUAGGGUUCGAUAAAUAUCUACCAAGAACAUUAACAAUGAAGGUGAUAUAAGGUCUCAUACAUACUUGUGCAUACAUCAAGCUACCAACAACACUAGCAUAAGGAAUAGUCUUUAUGGCAUCCUUUUCCAAAUCAAUCUUUGGACACUGUUCAUUACUGAGUUUAUCUUCCUUCACAAUAGGUACAUCACCAAUUUUGCAUGUCUGCAUAUUUAAUCUUUUAAGCACACGAUUGAUAUAGGCUCUCUGAGAUAGCCUAAGAAGGUUUUGAGAUCUAUCACGAUAAAUCUCAAUACCCAACAUAAAAUAUGCUUCUCUGAGAUCUUUCAUGUUAAAAUUAGUAGACAAAAUACGCUUGGUAUCAUUCAAGAGAUUCACAUCGCUACUAGUAAGUAGAAUAUCAUCGAUAUAGAGAACCAUGAAAAUGUACUUGCUCCCACUGACUUUCAUGUAAAGGCCCUAAUCAAACUUGUUCUCUAUAAAACCAAAAGACGUCACAAUUUUGUCAAAUUUCAAGUACCACUAAUGAGAAGCUUGCUUGAGACCAUAAAUUGACCUUUUCAAUCUGCAUACCAUGUUCUCUUUCCCAUUUGCCUUAAAUUCUUUAGGUUGUGACAUGUAGACUUCCUCACUCAAAUCACCAUUGAGAAAAGUUGUCUUAACAUCCAUGUGAUGAAGCUCUAAGUCAAAAUGAGCUACUAACGCCAUAAUUAGCCUAAAGGAAUCUUUGGUAGAGACUAGUGAGAAAGUCUUUGUGAAAUCAAUGCCCUCUCACCGUGUAUACCCUUUAGCAACCAAUCCAGCCUUGUAUCUUUCAACAUUUCCUUUGUUGUCUCUUUUGGUCUUGAAUACCCAUUUGCAUCCAAUGAGUUUAUAUCAUUUGGGAAGAUCAACAAGUUCCCAAACAUCAUUUGUUUGACAUAGACUGCAUCUCAUCUCUCAUGGCAAUCAACCAUUCAUUUGCCUUAUCACUAUUGAGAGCUUCACGAUAAGUAGUAGGGUUCACUUUUUUUCCAAUGUCAUAGUCUCCCUCUUCGAGGCAAACAUAAUAAUCAUUCAAAAAGGCAGACCUUCUAGUUCUUUGCGAUUUCCUCAUUUCCACAGGAGGAAUCUCAUUUACAAUAGGGGUUAUUUCGACAGUGGGGAAAUUGACAAUAGCAACUCCUUGCUGAAUCCCAGAAUCAAAAGCUCCAACAUCAAGGUUGAUGUCUGAGACUGACAAAGGUAAAGAAAUAACAUCCAUGGGUUCCACUCUUUCAUUGGAUUGAGAGGGUAUACUAUCAACAACAUCUAACUCUAAAAACUUUGCCACUUGAGGCUCAACAACUCUAGUGCCAUGAGUUGAACAAUAAAACUUGUAUCCUUUUAAGUGACUAAGAUACGUAAUAAAGUAGUACCUAGUAGUUCUUGAAUUUGUCUUCUUUAAAGAAGGAUAAUAGAUUUUCACCUUAGUUGGACAUCCCCGUACUUUAAAAGGAUUCAAACUAGGUUUUCUGCCUGUCCAUAGUUCAAAUAGUGUUUUAGGCACAGACUUACUAGGAACACGGUUCAGAAUGUAGGUUGUUGUUUUAAUGGCUUCACCCCAUAAGUAUUCUGGCAAAUUUGAUUUACUCAUCAUGCUCAUUUUCAUUUCCAUAAGAGUGCGGUUACACUUUUCUGCCAUGCCAUUUUGUUCAGGACUACCAGGCAUAGUAUACUAAGCAACAAUACCAUUAUCUUGUAAGUACCUUGCAAAAAGUCCCUUUUGUUGUCCAGCGUCACUAUGCUUCCCAUAAUACUCACCACCUUGAUCAGAUCUUACAAUCUUGAUGACUUUUCCUAGUUGUUUCUCAACUUCAGUUCGGAAGACUUUGAACAUUUCAAGAGCAUCUGCCUUUUCUUUUAUCAAAUAUACAUAGUCAUAUCAGGAGAAAUCAUCAAUGAAUGUAAUGAAGUACUUGUUGCCACACAAGGUAGUAGAGUAAGGCCCACUAAUGUCUGUAUGAACAAUCUCCAACAAAUUUUGACUACGAGUUAUACCCUUUUUCUUAGUCUUUGUCAAUUUUCCUUUCACACAAUCAGCACAAAUUUCUAAGUCAUCAGAAUCAAGGCGAGGAAGAAUCCCAUAACUAAUUAAGCGUUCUACUCGUUCUUUAGAUAUGUGCCUCAAACACUUAUGCCAUAACAAUGAAGAUCUUUUCUUAGUCAAAGGUCUUUUAGCAACACUGUUUUCAACAUUGUAAGAACAAGCAGAUAACAACGACAAUCUAUAAAGCCCGUCAGACAAAACACCAUUGCCAAUCACUUUAGAGUCAUAAAUCACCUCAACUCUUUUAUUUGCAAAAGUGAAACUAUAUCCAGCUUUGUCGAGUACUGAAAGGGAAAUUAAAUUCCUUCUAAACCAAGGUACACAAAAAACAUUGUCCAAAACAAGUUGAAAACCAGAAUCUAAUUCUAAAACAACAAUCCGAAUAUGCUCAACAUCAAUCUCGAUGUCACUUCCAACUUUAAACUUUGACUCUUUUUCACUUGGCUUCCUCAAAUUUCUUAUCCCCUAUAAAAAAGUUGCAACAUGAACAAUAGCACCACUGUCAAGCCACCAUGAAUCUAAAGGAAUAUUAACUAAAUUAGAUUCAAAACAGACAUAGGCAGAUAACAUACCCUGUUCCUUCUUUUUCUUCUCUAGCCAAUUCUUAAACUUAAAGCAAUCGACCCUCUUGUGACCUUUUUUGUUGCAGUGAUAACACUUCAGGUUUGUGUUAUUGGCAUUUCCAUUUCCAUUUUUCUGUUUCUCACUCCCACUCUUCUUGAAAUUCUUGCUUUUCUUAUGACUAUGGAAAUUGGGCUUUCUAGCCUUUUCAACUCUCUUAUGAUUAUUUGGUUUUCCAAGAGCAACAAGAUGAGCAUAUUCAUUCUUUUCUCUUUUUAGCUUUUCUUCCUCGGCCACACACUUAGUGAUCAGGUCAUUCACACCCUAAGACUAAUUUAGGGUGUUGUAUGUAGUCUUGAUUUGGCUUAAAGAAGAUGGUAGAGUAUUGAGGGCUUGAUGAAUAAUAAACUUAUGGGGAAUGGGAAUGUCUAGUGCUUUCAAUUUAGUUUGAAGAUGCACCAUUUUUAGGAUAUACUCACGAACCCCUUUCAUAUCAUUAUACCUCAUAUUCAUCAAUUCAUCCAUAAAAUACCCAGCUUCGACAUUGUUAGAUGUCUGGUAUCUAUUUCUCACAUCAACGAGAAAUUCCUUAGCAUUGUUGUUCUCAGGUAUUCCUCCAAGGAGAUGCUUAGCAAUGGACCUCUUGAUUGAAAUGAGACUCAAACGGUUCGAUCUUUCCCAUUUCGUAUAAUGAGCUCUCAUAGCUUCAGUGCUUUCAUUAGUAGGCUUAAGAGGUUCAUCUUCACAGAGAGCCAUGUUCAAGUCCAUCAUUCCUAAAAAAAACUCUAUGUUUGAUCUCGAUCUCUUAUAGUUUGACCCACUUAGAAUUUCAAUUGUAGCAUUAUUGUUGUUCACAACAAAGGAAACUGAUUGACAAAAAUUUGCAACUAGAUCAAUUAUGGGCAAUAGGUAAAAUGCUUAAAUAAGCAUAAGAAAUACAAUAUAAGAAUCAAUUGUAUUAUCAUAAACUCCCCUUUGGGCAGAGUCCAUAAUAAACAACUAUUCUCUAAGUAUGAUGAUCAACAAAUAAUUCAUUAAAGUUUAUUUUCUUUGGGCAAACAAAUUUAUCAAAUUAUUUAUCUCAUUCAAUAUCCUCAUGUUGUUAAAUUAAUUUGCACAAUAACCCCAUUUGGGGAGGCGAUUGUACAAAUUAAUCUAAAAUUUUCCCCAUCAACAAAAUAGGAACUCAUAAACUUGCAAAUUUUGAUGGUUAAAUCACUUUGGUGAAAUAACCUCAACAAUUCACAUGCAACGUUCCAAAAUUGGGUAAAUUUAAAAACAAUAAUGCCUAACAACAAUAGUGCAUAUUAGUGAUAUAUAUGCAUAUGAUCAAACAAGAUGAAGUACGUCACAAAAUGUACUUUCAAUGAUCAAUGAUCAAUUAUAGUUGCAAGAAUUUGAACAACAAUUUUUAUUUUUUUAUUACACUUUAAACUAAUUAUUUAACUAGUUUAUGUGAUUUAGACCAAGUAGGAGAGUAUGCUUGAAAGAGUUUCACUCUAGAGAGAGUGAGUACUACACUCCUAUUCCAUAUAUAUUAGCAUAAUUUCUGAUAAAUUCUCAACAAAAAAUUAUACCAAAGAAUAAAUUUAAGCUAAUUAAAUCACAUAAAUAAAUAAUAAUUAUUUAAUAAAUAUUUUUGACCCCCCAAAAAUAAAAUAAUAUAACCAAAAAAUAGAUGAUAAAAAAACAAGCGCAUAGGAAAAAACGGGGCUCAAAACAGACAUCGGAUGAGGUUACACGCGUCUCACACACUUGACCCGCAAGUGGGGAAUGUGCGGCACAUGUGGCACGUUUGGCAUGUGCUAGAGGUUAUCUUCAACCUCCAGCAGCGGGUCAAAAAACCUGCUCGGGUUAAAUGACCCGGUUGCUACCCAGCUUACAAACAAUUGUAAAAAGAAUGUUUUUCGAUCGGGAUCUCGAGGGGUUUUAAACUUUAGGUUGUUUCUAACACUCUAAGUCAUUUAAUCAUCAGAAAACAACUUAAAGAUCUCCAUAAUUGAUUAACAAAAUUCAGUUUUUAUACCUCCAUAGACAAGAUCGAAAAAUUCUAUUUCAAAACCUAUUUCGACCUCAUUUUACAUGUAUUUUUACCUUAACAAUAUAAGAAAUCUCUCUACAACAAUUAAUUAAACAAAAAACUUCUCAAUCUUGCUCAAUUUAAAAAAAAUAUAAAACGAAUUUUCUAGGGUUCAUACCCAUAUUUUCGAAUUUUCAAUUUUCAUCAAAUUGAGCCAAAAAAACCGAAAUUGAUGCUACAUAUCAACUAUAAUAUAUGUAAACAACAAAAUCCAAGAGUUUAAUUCGAGUAAAACACAAUAAUUUGAACAAAUAAAUUUUUUCUUGAAUCUUUAAACAAGAAAAUUCAGAAAAUUUAAAAACUUAAUUACUGCCAAUUUAAACAACGAAAUUGCAAAUAUAAUAUACCAUAUUGAAGUUUGUGACAAGAGGAACAAAAGGCCUAAAGUUUCACAAUCAAAAUAAACCAAAAAACCAUACACAGUCAUGGAUCACAGAUUCGGCUCCAAAAAUAAAAUAAAAUAAGAAACUAAAAAUUUUAUUUUCAAUUUCCAAUUGUAGAUCCUAAAUCAUGUAAAUCUAGCUUUGAUACCACAUGUAGAAUAUUUACAUAAUCACAUAAAUUAAUCAUACAUGAUUAAAGGAUACUAACAAUAGAAAAUCACUAUAAAGAACAUACCUAUUUGAGCCAUCACAAUAAAACAAGUGAUUGAUUGUUGCAACCAAGUAUUCCUUUCUAUGAUCUUGAUAACAACUAUGGUGGUUUUAUGGGAAAACAAAAAGACCCUUUAUCUAGAUUAGAGAUGGGACUUAGUAUAACUCAAUAUUGGGUUCUCAUUGGGUCCUCCCAUAAUGGGCUUCAAUGAGACCCAUAUGCUACACUUGCCACUCAACUGAGCUUCUACUUAAAAGAAGUAAAACCCAAUCCAAAUAUGAUCACUAGUUAAUUAGGCUCAUUAUAUGAUAGAAUAUCCAUUAACCCAUUUUUUUGCAAAUACAAAUUAUUCAAUCAAUGUUAGCCAAUAUAAAAAUUUUCCAACAUUAUUCACUAGGAACGUGUUGUUCAUUUGUACAUGUAUGUGUGGAUGUCAUGGGAAAUGUGUUGUUCAUCCUAAUAUGUACAGGUGCAUGCAUAUUCAAAAGAUUUAGCAAAGAACAAAUAAUCUUUCAUUUUGCUCAAAAUUAAAAGAGUUUCUACCAUUUAGUUCAUUUUUAUCCAAAUAUUUAAAUCUUUUUGUAAGGAAAAAUGUGAAGAAAAGAAAAUAAGGAGAAAAUUAGAAAAACAAAAAAAUCAAAGUUAAUAAAUUAUUUUUUAUAUACUGAUUGACAUUCAUUUAAUUAUAUAAAGAUUAAAUAAUUUAAAAGCGUAUAAGUUAUCGGGAGCCAAAUUUGACAAAAAUGCAGUAGCUUUUAAAUUAUUGUUUUUUUGUCAAAACCCUUGGCGUGCCCUUAUAUAAACAAUAGGGACUUGUAGCUAGGUCAAUCUUUAUCGUAAAUUAAGCAAUACUUAAUGUUCUAAGAUAAAGGAAAAAAUAAAUAAAUGUGAAAACAAACCCUUCUAACCAUAAAUGUUCCAUAAUAGCAAUUCUCCAUAGCUUGUAAUUGCCAAUUAGAAUCAAAUAACAACUCUCAAUUGCCAAAAAGAUGAAUACAAAUAAACUCAUUACAAGAGUAUAGAUCAUCUCAAGCCUUUUGAUGAUAGAAUAUAUGUGUCAUGCCCCAAGUUCUUUUUAAGGACGUGAUGGUCAUCUUAUAACUAAAAAAAUCACCAAUUACCAAAUUCUUAUUCAGAAUAGUAAAAUAUAUUAUAAUCCUCAAAAUUUAACUUUAAAAAAACUAAUACAUCAACCACUUUGCUAUUGUCCUAACAACUUCAAACCCAAAUGGUUCAAACAGUAAUUAAUUUCUAACAUUUAAACACUUGCCAAAAAUAAAGCUUAAACUAAAAUCCUAAUAAAAAAACAAAUUUCCAAUCUAACCAUCACUCUUUACCCAAACCGAGAGUACCUGGAAAAAAAUAUCAAUGGAAGAGCAUGAGUUCAAGCCCAAUAAGAAAUAUUAAUACAGUUUCAUGAAUCAAACAUUUUUUAUUAUGAUAACAAAUAGGAAAUAUAGUGUACAAUCUUUUUUAUAAAAACUUUGAAUUCAAACAUGCUAAAGCAUCCAAAACUUUUCAAUUAAACAUUUUCAUAUUUAUAUCAAUAGCAAUUUCAUAUCAAAUCCAAAUGAAAUGCAUUCAAAAUAUUUUUACUCUAGUUAUCAAAUAACAAAUAGUAUCUAAUUAGGUAGGACUUUAUUGCCCAAUUAGGUGAAACUUUACAAAUAGGAUACUAUCCUCAAAUUUGUUCUUUUUAAGGUGGAUGGAACCAAACACUACUAGUAACCUCUAACCAAACCCCUAGAGACUAGGGUUUAAAACAAUUACAUUCUCCACCAAGAAAUGUAAAGGUUAAUUAGCAAUUAUAGCUCAUUAACUAAAGUGAAAAAGGUCAACAAUUAUAACUCAUUAACUAGGGCAAAAAAUGUCAACAAUAUAACCCUUUGACUAGGGCAAAAUAAACCAAAGUCAAACACUUUGUUUCAUUUAUUUAAACGUAUAAAAACAUAAUAUCUUCAUUUUUUUAUUAUAAACAAAAGAAAAUAUUCUUACAUAUUUUCAUGCAAAAUAUAAUUGAUCCUUGCAUAAAAACAAAAAUAACAUUUUACAUAAUUCAAAAUAACAUAUAAAAAUAAAUUAUUUUAUUUUAGAAAAUCUAUAUUAAUUUCUCCUACCUCAAAAAGCACUCAAAACCCUUAAAGAAUUUAUUGUUGAAGAAUCUAAUUUUCACCUGAAAAUAACAUAAGAAAUAACAACUAUUACUAUUAGCUAUUUAUCUAAAAUUAAAGGUUUGACAAUCUAUAGACCCCAAAAUUUGUCCAAAUUUUAUUUUUACAUUAAUUUUGAGCUCAAUUUUGUCUUUAGAUUUUAAAUCCUGAUUACAUAUGAUAUUUUUGACCCACUCACUAUCUAAUUAUUAUUAUUAUUAUUAUUAUUAUUAUCAUUUUUCUUUUUCUUUUCUCUCUUCUCUCUCCUCUCUCUUCCUACCUUCCCCCAACUACCCCACCCACUCUCUCUCUCCUCCCAUACCCCUCAUUCCCAUGACCCAUACCUCCUCUCUCAUCUCUUCCCAAUUCUCUCUCCUCUCAUGUUUGUUUUUUCUUUUGAUUUUUGGUUCCCAUUUUAUUUUUUUUUGGCAAUGGUCGGCUCCCCAUCUAGGUUUUUCUCUUCAUCUUCUUUCUGACAUCACUCCACUCACAACCCAACUCCCCCACAUGGUAGUGGUGGGCCCCUUGAUUCUCUCAAUUUCUCUUCUUUUUCCCUUAUUUUCUCCAUUUUUUGCUCCACACGGUCAAUCAGGACCCCCCCCCCCCCUCCCCAGAUUUUUUUCUUCCCCAUUUUUUUUUCUUCUAGGUUUUUCUCCCUCCAAAGACCCAUGACCACUUUCCUCAGGUCCUCCGCUCUCUUCUCUCUUCUUUCUUCUUUUUUCUUUUCCUUUCAUUUUGUUCCACAUUUUUUUUUCUUUUCGAAUUUUUUUCCUUCCAUUUUCUUUUUCUCAUUUUUUUUCCUCCCUCUCUCUCUCCAUCCGCCACCCUCAUUGCCAUUGUUGACCACCACCAGCCUCUGCCGGCUAGCAAUCCAACCAUCCAUAGUUCUUAAAAACAAAAUGGGUAAAUUUCAUUUUUACUUUAUUCUCAUUUUCACUUUUUCAUCUUUAUUUAUUUUAUUUUUUUGGUUUGCAUAGUAAUUGAUUUGGACUUAGGCCUAUUGCUUAUUGGUUAUUUGUUUGGGUUUAUUGGAUUGGGUUUGAGAUAUUAUUUCCUUUGGCCAUGUGUAUUAUUAAUGUGAGUUUGUUAAUUGAUAUGAAUUUUGGGCUCACAAUGUUGGUGAGAUUUGUUGGAUGACUUGAAUAUUUGAUAUGGGCUUGGCCAAUUUGAACUAUUUAAUUUGGACAUGGGACAAUUGUAGGCUUGAAUAUUAAAUUAGGCUUGAAUUAUGGGAUAUUAAGUUUAGGCCUAGUGGAAUUUAUUUUAAUUUAUCAUGUUUUGGAUUUGAUUAAUUGAGCAUAUAUUUUGGCUAUUAAUUUGGAAAUUUUGGAUUAGGGCUUAUGGCAUGUGAGAUAUUUUUGUUGGGCUAUAUUUUCUAAUUUAGGUCCAUUUUUAUUGGCAAAAAUUUAUUGGACCAAUUUGAAGUUUGAAUUUGGGAUUGAAUAAUUAUUUUGGACUCUACAUAUUUUUGGAUAUUUACAUUUGGGUUAUUUUUGUUUUUGCAUGUCUACAAUUUUGUUGGUUGAAUACGAAUUUAUGACAUGUGGAGUACAAAAUUUCAUGGAAGAAAGUGAGACUCGAAAAGUUGUAGGAAGACAUUGAACUUGUUGUAAGCUUGUUUGGGUACACAUUUUAUUUCCCACUUUUAUUUUAUUUUAUUUUUAUUAGUUUUUGUAAAUAUUUAUUAAUAUAUAUUUACUUGUUGUGUACAGAAUUAGAUGUCGAACAAACCAGAAAUUUUGUUUAAAUAAGAUGAAUACUUCAGUAAAUAUGUUUUAAUUAAAUAAUAAUUUUAAAAUAUUUUUCUUAAUAAAAGAAAGUUUUUUUAUUAAUAAAAAUUCAGAAAAAUGCUUUUAGAAAAAUAAAAAUAAAAACUUUAAUAGAAUUUGAAAAUUUAUUUUUAAUAAUAAUUGUCCAAAAAUUUCUUUGUUUAAUAAAAAUUUGCCAAAAAUUAUUUUGUAAAUAAAGUUGUCCCAAAAAUUAUUUUUUAAUAAAAUUGUCCAAAAAAUGUCUUUUUUUAAAUGAAUUAUUUUUCCUUAAUUAAAAUGGGAUUAAAAGUAUUUUUUUAGAAAUAUAGGAUUUAAAUAUUUUUUUCUUUUUAAUUAAAAUUCCUUUUGCAAAUAAAGUUGUCUUUUUAAAUAAUUUUUAUAAAUCACUUUUCUUAAAUGAAAACAAAUUGAAAUAUUUUUGUAAAUAAAAUUGUAAAAAUUCAUUCAUUUUUUUUUUUUUUUGUAAAAGCAAGUAAAAAUAAUUUUUGUUGCCAAAUUGAAAGUUUGUAAUAAAUUCUUUUGAUACAAUAAGUGUAAAUAACAUUUUUUGAAAAUUAAAUACAAAUGAAAUUGAAUCAAAUCACUUGAAGAAAAUGUUUUGUAAAUAAAUAAAUUGAAAUCACUUAUUCAAAAUUGUUUUUAAUAAAAUCCUUUGAAAUUCUUGAAAAUUAUUUUUUUAUAUCUUUUUUUAUUUAGUUCAAUAAAUCAUUUUGCAUAAUUCUCUUAUUAUUUAUUUUGUAUAUUCUUGUGAUUAGAUUUCAUCUUUAUUUGUGUAUAUAUUGAUUUUCAUUAUGACUUGUACAUACUCAUUUGCAUGAUUAUUUUUCUCGAUAUCCAUAAUUAAUUAACUAAUUGCCACAAUUUUCUUAAUUCGUUUAGUAGAGGUCAUACAUAUACGGGCUUAGAGGGAUGCUACGACUCACCACCGUACCUUACCAAUAGGUAACCUAACCCUUGGAUCCAGAUUAUGUUUUUGCAUACAUGUCUUUUCCUAAUAAGGAGUCAUACAUGAUUUUCUUUCUUAUUUUGUUUUCCCUUUAAAAAAAUUAAAUAAGUGGCGACUCCAGGUCUUUUUCUAAAAGUCAAUUUUUUUUCACAAAUAAAUGAAAAGUAAGUUUCGCCAUUCGAGUGGGGACGCACAUGAAAAACAUAGGUUCACAAAAUGGUGACUCUACUAGGGAAUUUGAGGGUCAAACUUAAACUCGAGUUAAGAAAAAUGUGGCAUUUGAUUGGUCGAUCAAUGGAUACCCUUCUCUACAUGUCUUUGUAUGAUUGGGUGUUGAUUACACAUUGAGAGCUUUGAUAUAUUUAUUUGUGAUGCAUGUUUGGUUAUUAUUGUUCAUUGGAGAUGUUCACGUGUUGAUUAUAUCGAUUGAUUCUCUUACCUACUUUUGCAUAGUGACUCUUCUUAUUGUAUGAUUAUCUUACUUUCCUUGACAUGUAUAUUCUCAUUUUUGUAUAUCUCGUUCACAUUGGUGUGAUUGAUUCUCUUUAUUUUAGAUUGAUUACUACUCAAAAAGUGCUAUUUGAUAGCUUGUAAUUAACUCUUUUAAACACUUUUGAGUAGUAGUUAUCACCUUUUAACUCAAUUAACAUAUUAAGGACCCUUGCAAUCAAUUCUAAUCAAAUUGUGUUAAGUUUUGGUGUUUUGAUAGCUUUUUGAUCACCAAAGCAAUCCGAGAUUGAGGAGAGUUCUUUGGAAUCCAUGACAAAAGAUGUCCGGACAGGGCGUCCGGACACACCAUCGGAGGGUGGCGGGAAGUGAGCUGUGGCAGGCUGUCGGAAUGACGUAGUAAGGCUUGUGCACUUUAGCCAAUGAUCCGGACAACAUAUCCAGAUAGGAUAUGCUAUCGUCCGGGGUGUGAUGAUCGCGAGUGCCGUGUGCUUAUCCUUGAGGGAGUCCGGAUAGGGGAGCGCGCCGACAUUCCACUCGGAUGUCUCACAUCUGGAAAUCUGCUCCGCCGACAUUCCACCCGAAUGUCUUACAUCAGGAAAUCUACUCCACCGACAUUCCACCCGGAUGUCUUACAUCCUGAAAUCUGCUCCGCCGACAUUCCACCCGGAUGUCUCACAUCCGGAAAUCUACUCUGCCGACAUUCCACCCGGAUGUCUCACAUCCGGAAUUCUUCUCCGCCGCCAUUCCAUCCGGAUAUUUCGCAUCCGGCGCUUGACGCCGGAUAGGAGAGGAGGGCGUUUCAACUUCCCCGGUCAAACAUAUCCGAAUCCUUUGAUAGCGCUUACCCGGAGAGUUUUGCAGCCAUUUUGCACAGUGCCGCGGUGUUCUCCUGAAGCUUCCCGAUAUGUCUGACCGACAUUUUAAGAUAUUUUUCUGCACAAUGCCGCGGUGUUCUCCUGAAGCUUCCAGAUAUGUGCGACCGACAUUUUGAGAUAUUUUGCUUUAGAUAUUUGAUGUCUAAAUCCCCAAACUCUCAUUGUAACCCACCAAUUAUAGGAUUCCUUAGUCUUUAAGUAAGAACAAAGGGUAAAUAACCCCUUAUAUAUAGUUUGUAAUUUCCUUUACAAAAGACAUCGAUCAUAAAUCGAUCAAAUAGAGAUUAAUCCUUUGUACAGUUUUGGAAGGAAGUAAAAUACAGAGCACUUGCUCUACUUUUCAUAUAUAUUUUUGUUUUCUCGUUCUUUUUAUUUCUAGCCAAUCAAACUCUGAGGAUUUUUCCUCAGAGGACGAGAGGCUAGACUUUUUGUCUCUUGGAGUGAAGAAAGCCAGGUAAGUUUCCAAACACAAGAAUUGGAAGUUUUGUUGUUUUAGUUUUUAAUGAAGAGAAAGUGUAACCCGUUAAUGGUUUUUAUCUUUUUAGUUAACUUAAAACGCCUUUAAAUCACCUGGGUCAACACUUGAUAAGGCAAGUGAUCUCCAUCCAUUGAGAUGCACUAGUUUAUCUCUUGUGAGCCUUUGGGAGGUGGUUUAAAGGUAGGAUUUUCUAGAAUAGACAACACUUGGUAAGCUUUUGGACUCCAAGGAGACAUCCAUUAGUUAUCUCUUGCGAGCUUUUGACGGGUAAUCCAAGGUUAAAGAUCACCUUGAAUGGCAAGUGCUAGGUGAGAGGUAUGAGCCAUCGCAAGAUGCAUCAGUGAGAGGGAUUUAGUGUUUGAACCCAUUAAAGGGAAGCAUCUGUACCACACCGGUUCGAGAAAUAACUAUAUGUUAAAUCCCUAAUGCGAGGAAAAGAAACAAGUGACCGGAACUUCCUUUUUGUACAAGGAACCUGAGUCUAGUGAUCUAAACUCCAAGAAACACUUUUCUUUGUAAGUAAAAUUAGUUACUAUUUUUGGUUAGUUUAAAACCAACCUUUUCCACCAUAGAUUAUGUUUUCUUUUACAGCUAACCUUGAAAUGAAAAGGCACCAAGUCAGCUUUGAAUUAAUAUCAAUUGUGAAGUGAAAACCCAUCCCAGUGAAUGAUCCUAGAGCCACUAUGCUAUAGUAGCUUUGUCUUUGCUACCCUAGUUAAUGGUGUAAUAGGUUAUAAAUUUUGUUGAUUACUCCCUCAAUCAAGGAGCACUAGCUGGACACGAAUCAGCUGAGACACCAAUUGGGCACGAAUCAAAUGGCGUCGUUGCCGGGGACGAAUCAAAUGGCGCCGUUGCCGGGGAUCAAACGAAUCAUAUAUUAUCUUGUUUAUCUCAACAUAUUGUUUAUUCUUGUUAUAUAUCUUACUUGCUUAUCAUAAUCUUGCCUAGCUUGUGUGUAGAUAUGAGUGAUAUACUUGUUAUUUGCAUGACUGCUUGGUGCAUGACUAUUAUUCUUCUAUGCGAUGCAUGUAUUGCUUGUCUGUGUGGGAUACACAUCUAUUCCCUUACCUCUAACUCCCUAGUCUCGGUCAACCUUGUUUCCCUUGAUCUCGUAUUUGAUAUGAGACUUGUUACUUUGUUUACUCUUCAACCGAGCUAGUGAUUCAAAAUAGGGUUUAGUGAUGGGCAAUAUCUAUGUUUGGAAGCAUUCUAGAGGAGGUCAACACAUUGAUGCUGAUUGGAGUUCGAUCUUUGAAGACGUGUAUAGCUCAGAGCUAGAUUUUAGGAUAUUUGUGUGACCAGUUUGUUUUCUCUGUGUUUAGUUUGAUAAGAUUUUCGGAUGUGCCCACACCAUUCACUAUGAACCUUAGAUUACCACUAAGUGUUGAGAAUUAUGAGAGCUUUCACCAUAGGAAACAUCCCUUGGGAUGUCGAGUAGUGCAUGUGUGGAGGUGAUGACCACCUUGCAUGGAAGCGUCCCAUCUUUUCAGAGAUGUGUAGAGGGUUGUGUACUGCCAAAGGGUAUGAUCGUUUCUGUUAGGGCUCCUUUAAAAUCCACUUUUUCUUUUUAGAGCCGCCUUGACCUUGUGGGUUGAGCCUUAGAUCAUUUGAUUAGGAUUUUCUUUCCUACACAUGGGCGCAUUUGAGAGCCUUCAGGGUUGCUUUAGUCACAACAUGGAUCUAGUACUCCAUCUUUUAGUCUCCAAUCGAGAGUGCUUAUAUAUUGGUGCUAGUUUGAGUAUCAGUUGGACCACCCCUUGUUGUAUGGUUUUGGUUUCUUCUUAUCGCUCGGUGAGUCUAGCACACUUUCUCCCUAGGACUUUAGAUACUUUUUUUUUUCUUAAGUUGACACAUUCUUUCAUUUUGUUGUCACUUUCUGCUUGACAUUUUAGGAUAUGCUCAUUGAUUAUGCUCACAUUUUUACAUUCUUCACGUUUCAUGAGCUUGGUACUUCAUUCUUUGGUCGAUUUACCUAUUUUUAUUUUCAACCCGAUAUUUUCAUUACAGAAAGGUGAAAGAUAUGUUUUCACAUUCACACCAUUUUUAAGAGGUUUGCCUUUAUCACCUAAUCAUUUUUCUUUAUUGAGCUUGGGUUGAAAGUGAAUCAGAGAUAUUUUGUUAUAGAUGGAGUAUCGAUCUCAUGGUAGUGUUGUUUUUCACGCCUCAUUCAUUUUCUGGAUUAUUGAUAAAGAUUCUUUAGUCACAUUGUAGCCAUCUCACAGUGGACACCUUUAUGACCUUAGAGUUUAUGUCAUUUAUCCGGUUUUAGAUUGUCAUCAUAGAACCAUAUAUCAUAUGAUGUGUUGUACUUUUGACUUGGGACAUGUAUUCAUUUGCACAUUGUGGUCUUGAGGCCUAACCUAUCAUGGAGGAUAUUGAACUUAUUAGUCUAGGAUCGGAGAUUUGACCAAGGGAAUUUGAGACUAUGACCCAUCUUCUUAUCAUCAGAGCAAUACCUUACUCACUCCCACACCUAGACUUUGCUUCAACCUACAUCUACCUAUUGUGAAUUUUACACAACAUCACCCUUGACACCAUUACAUGACCUUUCCAUCCCUAGUUGUUCUAGCUUUGCAUAUCCUUUCUUUGAUUCGACCAAGUAGAGUGUGAGGAGUUUGAGCCCAGGGUUGAUCUUUCAUGGUAAGGGAUGACUUAUGAUCUUUGGGUGGCUUACGACGUGAGGAUUGGUCGAUUGUCUGAUGGGAUUGUCACUUAUUCUUCCAUCAGUAUAGAGAUUGAUUUUGUAUGAUGAGAGUUGGCUUGUGAUGAACAGUUGUGCCUUAUGAGAUCUUCAUUUACUUUGCUUUGAGAUGAUUAUCUUUUAGAUUAUUAUGGAGCAUUUGGAGUAAGGUUUGGUACACGAUUCCAGAGGGUUGAUGUGGUUAUAUCAAAUGGACAUUGAUCUUCAGUAUCGAUCAUUUAAGGGUUUGAGAACAUGAUGUUUGAGACCGUGGUUGUAGGAUGGGUGACCUUCAUUUCGGUUAGCUCACACCCUAUUACCUUUAUUGACAUCUAGACCAUUGCUAGCCCUUUGAGUCUCGCAUGAGCAUCAUAACCUUUUCUUUCUUAUAGCCUUACUUACCUUUUACACCGGGGUAGGGGCCCUCUGGUGUAUAUAUGCUUUAUUCGGAAGUCUCAUGAGCCAUGGACUUAUUGACUCAUCUUCUUCACUAUUUUUUUGUUAUCCUACCAUCAUUUUUCAUCAUACCUCUUUGUUUAUAUCCUUUGUCUUUGUCAUCGCAUUUCUCUCUAUGCCAUGAGUGAUGAUCUUUCACAUUUCAGUGCAUGGAUGACGGUCAUGUCCCCUUCCGUUCCUAUGUCAUGGACACUGGUUUGGAGAUCUUUAGUUGAGAAGGUCAUCUUAUCAAAGAGAGUUCAUGUACAUUAUUGUUUGAGAGUAUAUUCAUUUCAUUAUGUAUUCUCAGAGGAUCAUUGUCUUCUCCAUUAUUACAUACAUUAGUGAUUUGACUAUUCUCCAUGAUUUGAUUUGAGUGGAUUAGUGCUCAUUCAUUUUCCUUCGAUCUGUUUGUUCUUCUAAUGAUAUUUCAUUCGCCUUGCUUACAUUGUUCUCUGUUCAUAGUGAUUUACAUUCUAUGUUCGAUAUUUUUCAUACAUCAUUCUUGUACAUCCCAUUAGCAAUUCAAUAUAUUCCUUUCUUCUCUUUCAUCAUUGAUAUAUUCAUCUUUGAUUCUUUCUUCAUCAUUGAUAUAUUCAUAUUGGACAUCCUCAAAUCCAUGAUUUAUGAGACUCUCUGUACAUAUUGCAUUUUACACAUGAGGGUAUAAGGUUUUAUCAUUGGGAUUAUUGAGCCUAGUUUCCCUUCAUUUCUUCACCUUAUUACCCUAGCCUGUCACAUCUUGAGUCUUAAGACCACCCUAAGGCCAUGACAUCACACAUUGCGUUUAAUAGCUCUCACAUGGGCGAUACUUAGGAUCGGUUGGAGAGCAUUUUGAUUAUGAUGGUUCGGGAGUUGUGGUAUGACCCCACACUGGGGCAUAGCCACUUCAGAGAGUUUUUAUCGGGUAUGCGUCCAUUUUGCUUAAUACAUUCUAUUAGGACACACCUUUCUUGGUUCGGGGUUGAUUUUUUAGAUGACCAUUAUGUCGAGGCAUACUCUUCUUAGCUGAUGAUGGAUUUUGAGUCCUGGUCAUCCCUUUUAGGAUAUCAGAUGUCCUUUUUCACAUUGGAGCAUGAGACAUGAUUGGUAUAUUUCAUUUGGUGUACUUUACACAAGGGUAUAUUUCUUAGUUGAUGAUGGUUAGAACUAAUUCUUCUUUAAUCUAUUUUUUUUACCUAAGUAAGUCAUUGGAUAAACAUGUGAAAAUUGGCUUUUACAUGAAUAUAUGAAUGUGAAUCUAUGUCUCUUUGAUUUUGUAUUUUUGGUUAAUGGAUGCUUAUAGCUCACCUUUCACAAUACACACACUUACACUAAUAGAUGAUCACAUGUUUAGGCUUAAUUAGACACUUGCUUAGGACACUUUUGUAUCAUAAUUUGGCACCUAAAAUAGAUCACUAAUAGUUUUGUAUACAGCCGCACUUUAGGUUCACCUUUAGAUUCACAUUAGUUCACAUUCACACACUUUCACUUCUUUUUAUUAUUUGUUGUUUGAUAUCUCAUGUGUUUUAAUGAUUUUAAAAUUGUUUUCAACUCUUUCCAUAAAUAAAUCAAUCCUUCAACCUCAUUCAAAAUUCAUCAUUUGGUUAUUAGGUAUGAAAAUCUAUUUUUCAACAGUCAUGCUACAAAUUUCAAUCGAUAUGCAUUUUUCCAUUAUUUUUUAAAUGAAUUUCGAUUUUGAAAUACAUGAAAUAAAUUCAUGGCUCCACAUCAAUGGGGUAAUUCCUUACCUUGGUGGGCUUAUCUAUGAUCACAUGAGAUUAAGGAAGUAUGGAUAAUUUUCAUGGGCAUUACUUUGGCAAGUGGUAAAUCCCUACAUUCAAGUUUUUCAAGAACAAAUAUUCAAUUGUCUCUUGGGGUAAUUUGUUCAACCUUUGAAAUAAAAAAUUAAAUUAAGAUUAUUUAAAGCCUUCCUAAAAGUUUUAUAAUAAUUGAAUGAUGUUGUAGACUUCCUAAAUGUGUUAAUAUAGUUUUGUUUGAGUUCAAAAUCAUUUUUCAAUUAAUAGAUAUAAAUCAAUCUUUCUAUUGGUUCAUUUUCACUCUAUUCUAAACACUUGGAAUUUUUUUCUAAAAUUAAAUUAUUUAAUUCAUUAAUUCCUUUUUAUAUUUUUCCUUUAAUCUAGACUUCUUAAAUUUAAUCUUAGGCACCUAAAACACUCAAAACUGAUCCCCUAAGUAGGAAUUGUGUUUUUUGUUUUUUUGCUCCUAUUGUACAAGUUCUUUUCUAUAGUUAAGGGGAUGGUUUAUUAAUUCUAAAGAUGUUAUGUGUGUGAUCAUGCUUUGUGACUAUUUUUCAUGUAAACUAGUCAUAUUAAAUAGGUUGUAAAAUUUUUUUUUAAGACUUUCAAGCAUCUCUAAAUUAGUCAAAUAAAUUAACUUUUGCAUGUCAUUGAAAUAUGCUCUAUUCUAAACCAAUUGAAGUUUAUGAAAACUAGUAUUAAACAAAAUAUAAUUAAAUAAUUUGACCUUUUGGAUUGUAAUCUAGACACAUAGGAGAGGUUGCCUAAUUUUUUUCAUGACGAAAUCCCACUUCUAGAUAAUGUUUUAGGAUUUAUUUUAUAAACUCCUAUGUUCUGAUCACAUGAUGAUUAUUUUGUGUAGAAACCCAAUUGUGAUUUAAUUUGGUACUAAUUGGCAUAUAAUUAAUUAAUUUGAACUUGGGGAUUGUGAUAUAGACAUGUUAAAGAUGUUGCACAAUUUUUAUUUUGAUGAAAUAACACCUCCAGAUAUUUACUUGGAAUUUAUUUUGUAAAAACCUCUAUUCUACUUUGUUAAUGGUAUUUUGUAUAUUUUGAUAAUUUGAUCACUUUUGUGCAUUCUUGUGAGCUCUUUUGAUUAUUGAUUCACAUUGUAGAUAUAUUAUACACACUAGCUGAACCUUCCUUUAGAUCAAAAUUCUUUAUUUAAUAUUUUAUACAAACUAAUUUUUGAAAGUGAACACAUGAUUAACUAAUUCUAAAAUUUUAAGCAUGAUUACUAUAUCUUGUUUCCUUGUCAUCUUUUACUUCAUGAUUUGAGAUAUGUUAUAUAUUAUGUUGUGGGAUUUGAUUCAUGCCUAAUUGGUGUGCCAGCUGAUUCGUGUCCAGCUGGUGCUCCUUGUUUGAGGGAGUAAUCAACAAAAUUUAUAACCUAUAACACCAUAUACUAGGGUAGCAAAGAAAAAGCUACUAUAGUAUAGUGACUCUAGGAUCGUUCACUGGGAAGGAUUAACAAGCUAUCAAUGAUACCAAUUCAAAGUGAAUUGGUCUUGUUUCAUUUCAAGGUUAGCUUAAGAAAUAAAACACAAACUUUGAUUGGUAAAGAUUUAGACUUAAACUAACUAACACAACAAGUAAUGGGAAUAACUUAGGAAGAAAAACAUUCCUUGGAGAGUUAGGUUUACUGGGGUGGUUCCUCAUGCAAAAGACAUAGCUCCGGUCAGAUGGUUCAUUUCCUCGCGUUAGAGAUUCAACAUAUAGUCACUUCUCUAACCGGUUUUGUACAGAUACAUCCUUUAAUUAGAUUUCAACUUUAAUUCUCUCACUGAUGCAACUUGCAAUGGUUCAAGCCUCUCACUAAGCCUUAACCAUUCAAGGUGAUCUUUAACCUUGGAAUUCCCUUCUCAAGCUCGCAAGAGAUAACUAAUGGAUGUCUCCUUGGAGUCCAAAAGCUUACCAAGUGUUGGAAAUUCCAAAAAAUCCUACCUUAAAGUCACCUCCCAGAUGCUCGCAAGGGGUAAACUAGUGCAUUUCCAUGGUUGGAAAUCACUUGCCUUACCAAGUGUUGGCCCAGGUGACUCUAAGGUGUUUUAAGUUAACUAAAAACAUAGAAAUCCCUAAAGGAUUUCACUUCCUCUUCAUUACUGGCUGAAACCACAAAGUUUGCAUUCUUGCACUUGGAACCUUCCCCGGCAACCUUAGCUCCAAGGAAUUAGAGGUUUAGUUACUCAUUCUCUUGGGAAAACUCCUCAGAGAGUUCAUAACUUAGUAAGAAAAUAAAAAUACAAAGUGAGAAGGUAAGGCAAUACAAAGAACUGAACUUUACUUGCUUACCCAAAACUUUACAAAAGGAUCUCCUCUCUGAGAACAGGCUCCCGAGAGGUACUUAUAUGAACAUAAUAUAAAACUAAUUAUUACAUAGAUAUUUUCUCUUUUUACUAACUUAAAAGCUAAGGAAUCUUGUAAUUGGUGGCUUACAAGGAGUAUUUUGGGAUUUAGACAACAAAAAUCUGAUGUAAAAUAUCUCCCAAUGUCGGUAGCAAAUAUCGGGAUGCUCCAGGAACCAUUUCGCAAGAGAAAAUGGUGUCUGCGAGAUUUCGCAGACACUCAAGAAGGGCUGCGAAAUCACUUCGCAACAAAAAGCUAUUCUCGCAGGGCUGCGAAGUUGGCUUCCACCUUGAGGUUCUCAGCUCCCAGCUUGCGGCAUAUAUCGGGCAACUUCAGAGGGAAAUACACCCUACUGUACAAAAAGGCUGCGAAAUCACUUCGCAACAAAAGGUUGAUUUCGCAGCACUUUGCAAAAUGCUUCCUUCAGCUUGGAGUGAUUGGCUUCCACUGGCUGCAACUUCUUCGUUUCAACUCUGAAUUGCACACUGUUUGAAGCAUUGGAUUGUUGACUUCUUGAGCUUUGAAAUGGUAUAUAGCAUGUAUCAAUUGGACUCCAAAAAAUGCUCCAAAAGUGGCUGCUACGACUGUCAUCAAGAAUAUGCUUCAUGGCAGAUUCUCUUUACUUUUUCUCCUUGCAUUCUGGAUUCACUCUUGGCAAAUGACUUCCAAGCUUUGCCCAAGAUUCCUCAUAAUUCUCCUCAAUCUUGAAUUGCUUUGGUGAUCAAAAUACUAACAAAAACACCAAAACUUACAUAAAGUGAUUAAAAUUGCUUUCAAGGGUCUUUAACAUGCCAAUUGAGUUAAAAGGCCAAAACUACUACUCAAAAGUGUUUAAAAGGAUUAAUUGUAGGCUAUCAAAUGGCACUUUUUGAGUAGUAAUCACUCCCCCCAACCGACAUAUUGCUAGUCCCUUAGCAAUAUAGGAGAGAAAAAUUGAAAAUAAAAAACAAACUAACCUAUAAUGUACAACAUCAUGCUGAUCAAAAACAAUUCUCAAGUGGCAUGAUGAUCUAAUUCUCUCAUGAAACAUUAAAGAAAUAUAAAAGCAAAUUUCAACAAGAGUUAUAACAAACUAUGCUAAACACUAUCAAACAAGGGAAUGCAUUAUGCAAACUGAAGUUUUAAAAUCAUUUCCACUUUCAAAGAACCAAACGUUAUUCUUCCUCAAAAAUCUAUGUGUAUUGGUUCCUUAGCUUCUGAGAAUAAUAUGCUAAACUAAUCUCUCCCCCCAACCUAUCUCUUUUCAACACUUAGCAAACUGACCAAAAUCAAUAAAGAAAGAACACACUUUCUCUUUUUUUUUUUUUUUAGAAGGGGCUUAAUGGGGUACUCUUUCUGAAUUGUCCAUGUAAUGGGGGUCCAUUGAUGACUCCCAACCAAUUAAGGUUUAGGGCACCAAGCUUUAAGGAUCUUUCAACCACUAACUCCUCGGAUUUUUCCCCGGACUUUUGAGAAUGAAUUUCUAAUACCCAAGCACCUACCACAUGCUAACUCCACCUAUCCACCCUUGUAACGAGCAUUGAGGUCGGUGACUCCCAACCAAUUAAGGCUUAGGGCACCAGGCUUCAAAGAUUUUCACCAUAUACCCCUCAGACCUUGCUCGGGUUUUAAGGCAAGAAAACAACUUUCUUUAUUUCAAAGGCUCAUUGGCCUUUUGCAGGGUGUUUCAAUUUUAUCAAAUGAGGUCAAAUAUACCAAGUCCCAAAAUUAUCCUAAGUCGAGAGGGAAAUAGCUUUUCAUGUUAUAAUCGGAAUCUAAUGUGCACAGUGUGUGAAUAGCUUAAAGUGGAAGAACUAAAUUCAAUUUCAAUAGAAGCUUCAACAAUUGAACCACUUUAGUGAGCAUAAUCCAUACUCUAAGUCAAGUGAAAAGCAACAGUUCAAUUUCUCCUGUUUUAAUUUGAAAAUUUUUCCUCAAGAUUCAUGGAGAAUAGAGUAAAAAGAUUAAAAAGCAAAAACUACAACUAAUUUACCAAAAUAAUUGCAUUACUAAAAAGGCUUAGCAUACUUCCUUUAAUUUAGCAUAACUUCCUUCCUCAUUCCCCCCCAACUGAACUGAGCAUUGUCCUCAAUGUGAUAUGAGUGAUUGUAAUUAAAGAGAGGAAGGGGUACCUCCUGAGUGAUAUCAAAUUCGAAUACUGAUUGGAGAAACCACAUGUUUCAAAAAGAAUAGAAUAUGUGAGAAAAGGAAAUAAGGAUAACUUAAUGCUAAAGGUUAACAAGAAAUAUUAAACUUGUAUUACUUUGAAUCCAUUUAAGUACAAUGUAAAAGAAAAGCAAUACAAGCAAUCCCAAAUAUAGUACCAAAAUAAUGGGAUUUCUUUCCAACUAAAAAAAAAACGAAAUACAUAAAAGAAUAUAUAUAUAUAUAUAUAUAUAUAUAUUCUGAUGAGUGGGUGGUGCUGGGGCUAGGCAGAUGGGUCUGCCUCUUCAGCUGGUGCUUCAGAUGGGGCCUGAGGCUCUGCUGGAUGAGAGUGUGGCACUGCUGUGGUAGAUGUGGAGGGCUCAACAGCUGGUGACAGGUCGAAAUGAAGCUGGAGCUGCCUUAAGAUGGCAGUGUGUUGAGCCUGAGUGGCCAACAUCUGCUCUUGGCAUGCUCUAAUGGCUGCCAUCUCUUGAGCAAGACUGCUCUGAGAUGCUGUGAGGGUCUCCAAUGAAUGGCACAACUCUCUGUAUUCAGAAAUGGGAAUGACCAUCCUCGGUUCAACUGAAGUGGAUGGCUGAGAUGAAGCUGGAGCAGCUGGUGGAGCUCUGGGAAUGGCAGGAGCAGCAACUGUUAUACCCUCAGGUAUGUGUCAUGGGGAUGCUCUCCUAGCAGCUGGCUGUGGCCGCUCAGGCUGGUCAACUCUAUAAGCUGUCAUGUUGUUCCAUUUGUCGAGAGUAAAUAGCUCACGACAAAUGCGUUUGUGCUCCAACUGAGGCUCAAAAGGAUACCCCAAGUGCUCCAGAAUUUGGUAUAGCAGCCUUGGAAAGAGGAGGGGAAUGGUAUCAGCCCUCUGAAGCUUCUUUUUGUGUACUUUCUCUUCGAAAUAGAGAAGGGCUGUCAGAAUUAGAUGAUGAGGCCCAAAGAAAAAUCCCUCAGACAUCUUGUACAGGGCUUCUAAGAGGACUCCUCUUCUUUGAGUCCAAUGCUGCAAUGGAUAGAGGUUAUGACGCAAAAAUGCAUCAAUCAGAAACAUGAUUGGAGGAAGCUCCCCCUCAACAGAUGUGAUCGCGUAGCAGCUCCUCUGGACAGGGUGUGCACCAUCUCUAGUUCAGUAUGACUGGUCCAAGCUUUAAAAUUAUCGAAUUGGCUUGGCUCGUAGGGAAUUUGCAAGGCUUCAGCUAUAUGGCGAGCUCCCAGCAUGCCAUGCCUCCCAUCAAUAGUGAAAUGAAUUAAAGUUGGAUCCCUGACCUGUUUGGUUGUCAUGGAUUGAUAGAAAUCCAUGGCUAUCCUGGGGUAGAAAAAGUCUCUUGGAGUCAGUAGGUGCUCCAUGUGGUAUCUCCUCAGCAAGUUGAAUGACUGUGCAAGCUCCGACUGAAAUCGGAAUGUGGCUAUGUCAAAGCAUAGCUCGGAGUGGAAUAACCGACCUCUACAAUCCAAAUUUCCCUCAAUUGGGGGCUGAGUUAGCAUUGGCCGCCUGAUUACUUCUUCCAGAGCUAUUUCAGAUGGAAUUUGGGGCUCGGGAAGUGGCGGCUGAGGCUCCUGUGGUUCUGCUUGCGGCGCCGGAGAUGGCACCGGAGGCUGAAUUGGCGAGGGAAUCGGCGAGAGAAUUGGAGUUGGAACCGGCGAGGGCUCUGGAGAUUGCUCAGUCAAGUCAAUGGGUUAUGAGCUUUCAACCCUGGGUCUCUUUUGCAGUGGCCGACCCCCUGACUUGGUAAGGUAACGCCUUGCCGGAGGCUUUGGCGGCGCGGACUUCACCGGAGGAGGAACUGCUCUUGGCUGCGAAGGCUCAGAAAUUGGCUCCUUUCGCAAGCUUUUCUUGCGGCUUGAAGGAGAGGAAGACUUGGCCCCUCUGGUUCAGGCCAUUUCGGGUUGCCGAAAUUUGGCCGGAACGGAUGAUCGGGGAAGAUGACUGGAGGCUUGCGCGGUGAGGCUCAAGGAAGGAGAUGAACAGCCUGCGAGAAUGGCGCGCUCUAUUUUGAAACCCUUUUCGCAGCUCAAAUGACCGGUAUAUAUAGUAAUAACGGAAGACUAAGGGUCAGUUUGAGUUUCGCAGAAAAAUGUCAAUUUCGCAGCAAAACGCCAUUUUCGCAGCCACUUCGCAAUGCGUUUCGCAGCUGCGAAAUGAAUGUAACUGUGCUGCGAAGUGGCACACGUGUGCCAAAAUCGCUUUCGCAAUUGCGAAAUACCCUAUGGAAUGGGACUUUUGUUGCGAAAUCUGGGCUUUACCGCUUCGCAACUGCAAAAUGGGGGCUCCUGUGCUGCGAAGUGGCACUCGUGUGCCAAACUCGCCUUUGCAGCUGCGAAAAUUCUCGCAGAGAAUCCCAAAGUGUUGCGGAAUGGUUUGGCAACAAAAUGCUCAAUUCGCAGAAUAUUUCUUUAGGUUGCGAAAUCUCGCAGAGCUCUGUUUUUGCUCUGUUUUUACUCUGUUUUUGCUCCGAUUUCGCUCCGAUUUUUUUCUUUCAAUUUCUUUGCAUUUUCUUCCACCUGGGAUCAUUCAAAAAGAUUAAAACACACAUAAAAACAUGAUUUAAGAUCAAAAACUAAGAUCAAAAGUAUGGAAAAAAACUUGGAAAUUUACAAAAUUUACAAAAAUUUUGGACUGUGGUAAAACCACGUCCACCAAAACCUUCUUUGCUUAGGCUUUUUGUGGUUCAAGGAGGUUUAUUUCCUCCUUUUCUGGUUUGAAUGGCUCCAUGAAUGGCUUGAGACAAUAUCCAUUGACUCUAAAGGUGUCUUUGCCAUUGGAAUUCAAUAAUUCCACCACUCCAUUAGCAAAUAUUCGGUGAAUAAUGAACGGGCCUAUCCACCUUGACUUGAGCUUCCCAGGAAAGAUAUGGAGUCUUGUGUCAUACAGUAAAACUCUUUGCCCUUUCUGAAAUUCCUUGUUGGAGAUUAGUUGAUCAUGCCACUUCUUCAUCCUCUGUUUUGCAACUUUGGAAUUGAUAUAAGCAUUAUUUCUUAAUUCCUCCAUCUCAUUAAGGUCUAGAUAUCUCUUUUCUCCGGCUCUGAUCAAGUCCAUGUUCAGCUUCUUUAUUGCCCACCAAGCUUUGUAUUCAACUUCCAUAGGGAGAUGACACGCUUUGCCAUAGACAAGACGAUAGGGAGACAUGCCAAGAAUAGUCUUAUAAGCUGUUCUAUAUGCCCACAAUGAAUCAUGAAGCUUAAUAGACCAAUCCUUUCUGCUGGAGUUCACUACUUUCAUCAAUAUAUUCUUUAUUUCCCUGUUAGCUAGCUCAACUUGCCCGGAAGUCUGAGGAUGAUAAGGUGUAGCCACCUUAUGCUUCACUCCAUACUUGGAUAACAGAGCUUCAAAAGGUUUGUUGCAAAAAUGAGCACCUCCAUCACUGAUUAUGGCUUUGGGCACCCCAAAUCUUGAGAAAAUGUUCUCUUUAAGAAACUUGAGAACCACCCUGUGAUCAUUUUGUUUACAGGGGAUUGCCUCAACCCAUUUAGAAACAUAAUCCACCCCCACCAAGAUGUAAGAAUUACCAAAAGACAUUGGGAAAGGUCCCAUGAAGUCAAUGCCCCAUACAUCAAAUAACUCAACUAUUAGAAUGGGGUUCAUAGGCAUUUGAUUUCUUUUUGUUAACUUUCCAAGCCGUUGGCAUCUAUCACAACUCCUACACAUGAUGUGGGCAUCUUUAAAAAGAGAUGGCCAAGUAAACCUUGAUUGCAAUACCUUCAUGGCUGUUUUCUGAGAGGCAAAGUGGCCUCCACAUGCAUUCUCAUGACAAUGAGAUAGAAUCCCUUGCUGCUCAUCUUCAGGGACACACUUCCUUAUUAUCUGAUCUGCACAAUACUUAAAAAGAAAGGGCUCUUCCCAAUAAUAAGCAUGAAUUUUGGCAAAGAAGUGUUUCCUGUCCUGUGCAUUCCACUCACUUGGAAUUUCACCAGUUACUAAAUAAUUAGUAAUAUGAGCAUACCAAGGAGUUUUCACUAGGAACAUGAGUGAUUCUUCAGGAAAAUCAUCAUUAAUAGGCAAAGGAUGGGAAUUAUGUGUUAUAACUAACCUCGAAAGGUGGUCAGCUACCACAUUCUCCACUCCUUUCUUAUCUUUGAUUUGGAGAUCGAAUUCUUGUAACAGAAGAAUCUAUCUAAUCAACCUUGCUUUUGCAUCUUGCUUUGUCAAUAAAUACUUCAAGGCUGAAUGGUCAGUGAAGACAAUGAUGAAAGACCCCACUAAAUAAGCACGAAAUUUGUCCAAAGCAAAUACCACAGCUAACAAUUCUUUCUUUGUAGUUGUGUAGUUCCUUUGAGCUUCAUUCAAUGUUUUACUUGCAUAGUAAAUCACAUAGGGCUUCCCGUCUUCUCUUUGGCCAAGCACAGCUCCUAUAGCAAAGUCACUGGCAUCACACAUCAGUUCAAAAGGUAAUUGCCAGUUAGGGGCUCUCACUAUUGGAGUUGUUGUUAAAAAUUUCUUCAAUUGAUCAAAGCUAACAACUCACAAAGAGGUUUUGAAAGACUUGAAAAACCUUUAAUAAAUCUCCUAUAGAACCCUGCAUGGCCAAGGAACUGCCUUACUCCUUUUACAGUUGUUGGGGAUGGUAAUUUGACAAUAAGCUCCACCUUUGAUUUAUCAACUUCAAUGCCUUUUUCAGAGAUGAUAUGGCCAAGGACAAUUCCUUGACGUACCAUAAAAUGACAUUUCUCCCAGUUGAGCACCAGGUCUUUUUCAAUGCAACUGUGAAGAACUGCUUCCAAAUUAACUAAGCAUUCCUCAAAUGUACCUCCAUAUACGAUGAUGUCAUCCAUGAAAACCUCCAUAAUUCGCUCCACCAUAUCACUGAAAAUACUCAACAUACAUCUUUGAAAUGUAGCAGGUGCAUUGCAUAAACCAAAAGGCAUUCUCCUGUAAGCAUAUGUUCCAAAUGGACAUGUAAAAGUGGUCUUUUCCUGAUCUGCCACAUCAAUUUCAAUCUGAAAAUACCCUGAAUACCCAUCCAAGAAGCAAUAGAACGGAUGUCCAGAGACUCUCUCCAGCACUUGGUCAAUAAAUGGCAAUGGAAAAUGAUCUUUCCUGGUUACAACAUUCAACUUUCUAUAAUCAAUACACACCCUCCAACCUGAAGUGAGGCGUGUAGUAAUUUCUUCUCCUUUUUCAUUUUGAACCACUGUGAUCCCUGACUUCUUUGGUACCACUUGAGUAGGACUCACCCAAGGGCUAUCAGAUAUAGGGUAAAUGAUUCCUGCUUGAAGUAGCUUCAGCACCUCAGCUCGCACCACCUCUUGUAGAUGAGGAUUCAAUCUUCUUUGAAGUUGACGAAUUGGCUUUACUUCCUCCUCCAUAUAUAUAUGAUGAGUAAAACUAAAGGACUAAUGCCUUUCAAGUCGGAUAUUUGCCAUCCUAUUGCCUUCUUACACCUCUUGAGAACUUCUAUUAAACAAUUCUCUUGAUGAUUGGUCAGAGAUGAAGAUAUCACAACAGGACAUUGAUUAUUUUCUUCAAGAUAUUUAUAUUUCAGCUCCACAGGUAGAGGCUUCAGAUUGAGUUUUGGAAUUUCUUUUUCAGCAGCUGCCUCUUCUUCUUUAUUGAACAAAGGUAGAAUCUCUUCUAUCUUUCUCCAACUUUGUAGAGUAGCAAGCACAGUAGGAGAUUUAGACAAACCUUCCUCAAAAUCUACAAGACUUUCGUUCAACUUGUCUUGCAUAUUUUGAUUACAGUGCUCCUCCACCAAAGUAUCAAUAAUGAAUAGCUCUUCUGGACCUUCUUCUUCUUCUGGAGUGAUUUGCUUUUUAGACAUAUAGAAAAUAUUGAGAUCCAGUGUCAUGUUGCCAAAAGUGAGUUGCAUCAGCCCAUUCCUGCAAUUGAUGAUUGCAUUUGAGGUAGCAAGAAAUGGCCUUCCAAGGAUGAUAGGAACUAAAUUAGCUUCCUUUACAGUAGGAUCUGUAUCAAGAACAAUAAAAUCUACUGGAUAGUAGAAAUUAUCCACUUGAACCAAGACAUCCUCAAUUACCCCCCUUGGAAUUUUUACUGAUCUAUCUGCUAGAGAUAGAGUGAUUGCUAUUGGCUUCAAUUCCCCAAGUCCCAAUUGCUUAUAGACGGAAUAUGGAAGCAAAUUCACACUUGCCCCCAAAUCUAACAAGGCUUUUUCCACUAUCUUUCUUCCAAUCAUGACUGAAAUGGUAGGACUUCCCAGGUCUUUGUACUUCAAAGGAGACUUACAUUGUAAGAUUGCACUUACUUGCUCAGUCAAGAAGGCUUUCUUGUUUACAGUCAACCCUCUUUUGAUAGUACAUAAGUCCUUAAGGAAUUUUGCAUACGUUGGAACUUGUUUAAUCAUAUCUAGCAGUGGAAUAUUGACUUUCACUUGUCUCAAUACUUCAAGGAUUUCAGCUGCAUUUCUAAUUUCCUUUUUCCCAUGUAAUGCUUGAGGAAAAGGUGGAGAGGUUGAUUUCUUCAGCAUUUCUUCCUUCAGAAGUUCCUUCUCUGGAAUUGCAUUCAUUGUUGAAUCAGAGUCCUUCGUUUCUUCACUAAUCUCAUUCUCUUUAUCUUCCAUUUCCUUCCAUUUCUUUAUCUCUUCCUCUUUCUCCACAUAUGGCUCGGGUGUUGGCUUCUCAAUUUUUUUACCACUCCUUAGAGUGAUCAAGGCUUUGACAUCUUUCGUCUGCGAUGAUUCUCCCUCUUGGAUUUCCACUUCAUAGACACCUUUGGGGUUCUGGUGGGGUUGAGAAGGAAAUCUUCCCUUUUCUUGCAGUGUAUUCAAAUUUGUAAGCCUUGAAAUUGAAUAUUGGAUGUUAUCAAACUUUUGGUUCAUAUCAUUUUGCAUUCCAUCCAUCCUUUUAUUCAACAUACUCUCCACUCUGUCAAUUCUUUGAUAGAUUUGAGCAUUGGUGGCUUCUUGGUUUCCAAUAAAAUCUCCCACUACCUUGCUGAGAUUAGUCAUUGCUUGUUCAAGACUUGAAGAUUGUUGAGAUGGUGGAUCCGACUGUUGGUAUUGAGUUGCUCUGGCCUUCCAUGAGAAAUUUGGAUGAUUCCUCCAACUUGAGUUGUAGGUAUUUCCAUAAGGCGCAUUGUUAUUGGGUCUGAAUUGUCCAACAACAUUUGCUUGAUCUCUAAACAUUUCCCUUUCAGCUGAAAUUGCAGGGCAUUCCUCCACCAAAUGUUCAUAUGAUUGACAAUUAGGACACAACUUCACUUGCACUGAUGCUUCAGCAACAGCUUGCACUUCAUGAAUUCUUUUCAGCUCCAGCUCCUCCAAUCUUCUUGUCAUAGCUGCCAACUUUGCUUUCAUAUCAUCAUCUUCUUUCAAGGUAUACAUCCCAGCCUUUGCAUUGAAAGCACUUAGUUGAGACUUCAUCUUACCCACUUCUCCUUUGGUUGGUUCAUCCCAUCCCCUUGAAACAUCAGCUACAUAGCUCAAGAAAUCCAUAGCUUCCUCUGGAUUUUUGCUCAUGAAAUCUCCUCCACACAUUGUCUCGAGGAGUUGCUUCAUUGAGGAGGACAUACCAUCAUAAAAAUAGCUCACCAGUAACCAAGUAUCAAAGCCAUGGUGAGGGCAAGCAUUUAUAGCUUCCAUAUAUCUUUCCCAACACUCAUAGAAUUUUUCAUUCUCUUUAGCUGAGAAGUUUGAAAUUUGCCUUUUCAAGCCAUUUGUUCUAUGAGUGGGAAAAAAUUUCUUGAGGAAUUCAACUUGUAAGUCAGUCCAAGAACGGAUACUCCUUGGCCUUAAAGAAUUAAGCCAAAUUUUGGCUUUAUCCUUUAAAGUAAAAGGAAAUACAUCAAAUCAAUUGAAGCUCCUCCCUCUUGGAAUGUAUUACAAACAUCUUCAAAUUCCUUGAUGUGUGCAUACGGAUUCUCACUUUCCAUCCCAUGGAAAGUUGGUAGAAGUGGAACAAGAUACGGUCUGAUCACUAGCUGCUCUGUAGGGGGCACUAUACAUGAUGGUGCACUCAUACGAGGUGGAUGCAUGCGGUCCCUCAUUGAUCUGAAUUCAUUGAGAUUGUCUUGAUGACCUUGGUGACUAUGCUGAUCUUCAGGUGUAGCUUCCACGAUAUUCAAGCUCAAUUCGAAUUCGUUGUUAUGAGGUGUAUCACACUUAAAAAGCCUUCCUCCAUUGUCUCGUAUCCACUUUGGCAUACACAACUAGUAUCUAUCUACAACUUAAAUGAAAAUAAAGGACAACAACAGAAACAGGGCUACAACAACAAAAUUAAAAUAGGCUAAAUUUAAAAGAUAAACUUGGAUUAUGAAUAAAUAAAGAAAGAAUGAGAAUUAGUAAAGUGAAAGAAACGUUACCAAACUUGUGAUGGAAAUCACAAGUGCUCAAAAAUGGUAUCACUAUAAAAUUGACACCUUCCUCGGCAACGGCGCCAUUUGAUUCAUGCCUAAUUGGUGUGCCAGCUGAUUCGUGUCCAGCUGGUGCUCCUUGUUUGAGGGAGUAAUCAACAAAAUUUAUAACCUAUAACACCAUAUACUAGGGUAGCAAAGAAAAAGCUACUAUAGUAUAGUGGCUCUGGGAUCGUUCACUGGGAAGGAUUAACAAGCUAUCAAUGUUACCAAUUCAAAGUGAAUUGGUCUUGUUUCAUUUCAAGGUUAGCUUAAGAAAUAAAACACAAACUUUGAUUGGUAAAGAUUUAGACUUAAACUAACUAACACAACAAGUAAUGGGAAUAACUUAGGAAGAAAAACAUUCCUUGGAGAGUUAGGUUUACUGGGGUGGUUCCUCAUGCAAAAGACAUAACUCCGGGCAGAUGGUUCAUUUCCUCGCGUUAGAGAUUCAACAUAUAGUCACUUCUCUAACCGGUUUUGUACAGAUACAUCCUUUAAUUAGAUUUCAACUUUAAUUCUCUCACUGAUGCAACUUGCAAUGGUUCAAGCCUCUCACUAAGCCUUAACCAUUCAAGGUGAUCUUUAACCUUGGACUUCCCUUCUCAAGCUCGCAAGAGAUAACUAAUGGAUGUCUCCUUGGAGUCCAAAAGCUUACCAAGUGUUGGAAAUUCCAGAAAAUCCUACCUUAAAGUCACCUCCCAGAGGCUCGCAAGGGGUAAACUAGUGCAUUUCCAUGGUUGGAAAUCACUUGCCUUACCAAGUGUUGGCCCAGGUGACUCUAAGGUGUUUUAAGUUAACUAAAAACAUAGAAAUCACUAAAGGAUUUCACUUCCUCUUCAUUACUGGCUGAAACCACAAAGUUUGCAUUCUUGCACUUGGAACCUUCCCCGGCAACCUUAGCUCCAAGGAAUUAGAGGUUUAGUUACUCAUUCUCUGGGAAAACUCCUCAGAGAGUUCAUAACUUAGUAAGAAAAUAAAAAUACAAAGUGAGAAGGUAAGGCAAUACAAAGAAUUGAACUUUACUUGCUUACCCAAAACUUUACAAAAGGAUCUCUUCUCUGAGAACAGGCUCCCGAGAGGUACUUAUAUGAGCAUAAUAUAAAACUAAUUAUUACAUAGAUAUUUUCUCUUUUUACUAACUUAAAAGCUAAGGAAUCUUGUAAUUGGUGGCUUACAAGGAGUAUUUUGGGAUUUAGACAACAAAAAUCUGAUGUAAAAUAUCUCCCAAUGUCGGUAGCAAAUAUCGGGAUGCUCCAGGAACCAUUUCGCAAGAGAAAAUGGCGUCUGCUAGAUUUCGCAGACACUCAAGAAGGGCUGCGAAAUCACUUCGCAACAAAAAGCUAUUCUCGCAGGGCUGCGAAGUUGGCUUCCACCUUGAGGUUCUCAGCUCCCAGCUUGCGGCAUAUAUCGGGCAACUUCAGAGGGAAAUACACCCUACUGUACAAAAAGGCUACGAAAUCACUUCGCAACAAAAGGGUGAUUUCGCAGCACUUUGCAAAAUGCUUCCUUCAGCUUUGAGUGAUUGGCUUCCACUAGCUGCAACUUCUUCGUUUCAACUCCGAAUUGUGUACCGUUUGAAGCAUUGGAUUGUUGACUUCUUGAGCUUUGAAAUGGUAUAUAGCAUGCAUCAAUUGGAAUCCAGAAAAUGCUCCAAAAGUGGCUGCUACGACUGUCAUCAAGAAUAUGCUUCAUGGCAGAUUCUCUUUACUUUUUCUCGCAUUCCGGAUUCACUCUUGGCAAAUGACUUCCAAGCUUUGCCCAAGAUUCCUCAUAAUUCUCCUCAAUCUUGAAUUGCUUUGGUGAUCAAAAUACUAACAAAACACCAAAACCUACACAAAGUGAUUAAAAUUGCUUUCAAGGGUCCUUAACAUGCCAAUUGAGUUAAAAGGCCAAAACUACUACUCAAAAGUGUUUAAAAGGAUUAAUUAUAGGCUAUCAAAUAGCACUUUUUGAGUAGUAAUCAGGAUUUAGCCUAUGUUUUUAUAUUCAUUAUCAUUAUUUGUGAAUUAACUCAAUCUUCUUAUGAAAGCGUUUUAUAUGCUAUCAAGGUAUGCUUCCUCUUUUCCCUAUCUCCUUGUUUCUAUUAGUGUGUAUAUUCUAUUCUCGUGAUUGAUCUAUCUUGUCUCACUACUACAAAAAUAAUUUAUGAUGUCACUAUUUAUGGUGUCGCAUUUAUAAAUAAUGACACCAUUGAGCUUAAAAUUUAUAAAGGUGACACAUCAUAUAAAAAAUCUUCAAUUAGGGUAGUUAGAUGAUGCUAAUUUCAUAUUUAUGGUGUCAUUUUUUGGAAGUGACACCAUAUGAAAUAAAAAAAUUUUAAAUUUUAUAACUCAAUGAGCCCUUUUUUAAAAUAGUGAAUAGGAAUAAUUUAUGAAAAGUCCAUUGUUUCCAUAUAUACAUUAACUAAUAUAAAAGAUCUUAUUGCUUAACCCUAACCAUUGUUUUCUUCUCCUUCUUAUCACACCCAUGGUCGGCACACCCAUAAUUGAUAUUCUUUGCUUCGUAAAAUCUCGGGUAAGUCAAAACCCUUAUCUAUCAUCUUCAUUUUUUUUUAUUAAUGCAAAAAUCUUUGUUAAUAUAAUUGUUUUAUAUCUCUUGAUUUAGUAUAUAUAUGAUGUGGGUUUUGUAAAUGGUGUUUUUAUCGAGUUCCAGGGAAGUAAAAACUAGGUUUAACAUUCUAACAUAUUUUUCGUUUCAUUGCUAAUAAGCCCCAAAACAAAUGAAAACAAGAAAAAUGAAUGAUUUUUAAAAUUUUUGUCUAAUUGAGAAUGAGAGAUACACUAGUUUGUAGUAAUUUUUCACAUGAAAUAAUAUUUUAUUGAAGACUUGACUAUAUAGUGUAUUGGUUGUAAUUUUUCACAUGUGAAAAUAUUUUAUUGAAGACUUGACUAUAUUUGAUACCUUUUUCCAUCGUGCUAGGAGCUUUAUGGUGAAGUCUAACAACAGAGAUUGACAUCUACUACAAGAUGAUGCUCAAUUAAUCCAAAAGCACUUAAGCUAUUUAGGGUUUUCUUCGGUUAACCUAAGAAAACAUUCCCACUUUCUUUGUAUUGAGUCACCUAAAUGGAAUAGAAUAUUGAGUAUCAGAGUGGUAAAGGGUAUUAUAAAUAUGACUUUUUUUUUAGAGUCACCUACAUGGAAUGAAUUAUUGGUAGGUGAACAAAAUAUUGGGAUGAUUGUAAUAGUUGAAUUAGUAAAUGGAAGAGAAGUGUAUGUUGCUUUGUUUAUUCUAUAAAAACAAUAAUUUUAGUAGUUGAAAUUUACAUGCUUUGUUGUUUUAUAAAAACAAUAAUUUUAGUAUUUGAAAUUUUAAAAUGUGAAUGAAAUGCCUGAAAAUAUGUUUUGAAAAAUAGGAUAGUAAUAAAUGGAAAAUAGCUCAUUUCCUAAAAAUAUUUUGAUAAAUUAAAAUAAUCUGUGGUUAAAAUAUAUUUUUGUGAAAGUAUUUAAAAAUGAAUCAAAAUAUUAAUAAUUGUUAUUUUGUUUGAAAGUAAUUUAGGAAUAUAAAAUAAUAUUGGGGAUAACUUUUAAGUUUAAAUUGGGUUAUAAAUGGUUAAUUUUUUUAGGACUAUCUUUUUUGAAAAUAAUCCAGUGAUAAUUUUUUAAAAUAAGAAUGUUGAAAAUAAUUUUAAAAAUAAAAUUUUGUUAGCAAUGAUUUUUCUAAAAGUAUUUUAGGCAUAAAUGGAAAUUUCUUGUAUGAAAAUAAGAGAAUUUAUAUAUAUAUAUAUAUAUAUAUAAUAGACAUAAAAAUAUGCAAAUGCGACUCGGAGGUGAACAAGACUCAACUCAAUCUGACAAAACAAUGACCGAUCGAUAUAGGUGUGGUCCCGACUCAAAUUGAACACAAACGGAUAGAAAGAUGGUCGAUCAAUAUGGGUGCGGCCCCAACUCAAACUGACACGACGAAUGACCAAUCGAUAUAGGUGCGGUCCCAACUCAAACUAAAUCGAAACUGACAAGAUGAAUGACCGAUCGAUAUAGGUGUGGUCCCAGAAACUGAACUAACAUGACAAGGAGAUGACCGAUUGAUAUAGGUGUGGCCCCAAACUCAGACUAACACGGAAAAUGACCGAUCGAUAUAGGUGCGGCCCUAAACGCAAACUGACAAGACAGUGACCGAUCGAUAUAGGUGCGGUCCCGACUCGAACUGAACAUAAACUGAUAGAAAGAUAGCCGAUCGAUAUAGGUGCGGCCCCGAAAACUCAAACUGACACGACGAAUGACCGAUUGUUAUAGGUGCGGUCCCAACUCAAACUAAAUUGAAACUGACAAGAUGAAUGACCGAUCGAUAUAGGUGCAGUCCCGACUCAAACUAAACACGAAAAGUGAUAGGAACAUGGCCAAUCGAUAUAGGUGCGGCCCCGAAACUCAAACUGACAUGAAAAUUGACCGAUCGAUAUAGGUGCGGUCCCGACUCAAACUGAACAUGAAAAGUGAUAGGAACAUGGCCGAUCGAUAUAGAUGCGGCCCCAAAACACAAACUGACAUGGAAAAUGACCGAUCGAUAUAGGUGCGGUCCCGACUCAAACCGAACACGAAAAAUGAUAGGAACAUGGCCGAUUGAUAUAGGUGCAGCCUCGAAAUGCAAACUGACAUGGAAAAUGACUGGUCGAUAUAGGUGUGGUCCCGACUCAAACUAAAUACUAAAAGUGAUAGGAACAUGGCCGAUCGAUAUAGGUGCGGCCCUGAAACGCAAACUGGCAUGGAAAAUGACCGAUCGAUAUAGGUGCGGUCUUGACUCAAACUAAACAUGAAAAGUGAUAGGAACAUGGCCAAUCGAUAUAGGUGCGGCCCCGAAAUGCAAACUGACAUGGAAAAUGACCGAUCGAUAUAGGUGCAGUCCCGACUCAAACUGAACACGAAAAGUGAUAAGAACAUGGCUGAUUGAUAUAGGUGUGACCCCGAAAUGCAAACUGUCAUGGAAAAUGACCGAUCGAUAUAGGUGCGGUCCCGACUCAAACUAAACACGAAAAGUAAUAGGAACAUGGUCGAUCGAUAUAGGUGCGGCUCCGAAACGCAAACUGACACGACGAAUGACCAAUCGAUAUAAGUGCAAUCCCAACUUGAAAAUUCAAACAGACAAGAUGAUGAAUGACCUAAUCAAAUGGCCCAAAGCCAAAGGAUAACCUAGAUAACGAUGCAAGAAAACUCGGCCAGAGGGGAUAUGCCCUAGUCUGACAACUCAUGAGGAUCAACAACUAGGUCAAAAGAUAAUGAAGCAUGUGAAAGGUCCUAUGAUCUUAGGGAAGGAGGGUAUGCCCCAGUAUGCAACUCGUGGGGGUCAACAACUAGAUCAGAAGGUGAAUGAAAGUCUACUGAAAGGUCCGAUGCUCUCAGAGAAGGGGGUAUGCCCCAGUAUGACCACUCGGAGGGGUCAACAACUAGAUCGAAAAGUGAAUGAAACCUGUGGAAGGUCCGAUGCUCUUGGAGAGGGGGUAUGCCCUAAUAUGAUGACUCGAAGGAGUCAACAACUAGAUCAGAAGGUGAAUGCAGCCUGUGGAAGGCCCGAUGCUCUUAGGGAAGGAGGAUAUGCCCUAGUAUGCAAUGAUGAACAGACAGAUAUGCAAAAUGCCUCAAAACUAUUGUACUCUGAAAUAUGCUCAUCCAUCAUGUAAUGAAAAUGUCCAAUCUCAGAUAGGUAAUGCCAAACAAGACCAUGUAUCGUGACACCAUGCUGACAAAACAAAACUAAUUAGUGAAUAACAAUAAUAAUGAUCAGUGCUCAAAAUGCAAAAAGCAAGCAAAUCAAUACUUAACAUGCCAACUGUCAAAGUGAAAACAUCGUCACUAAUAAGUCAACAAUCUAUCAGGCCCUGCCAUCAUGGAAGAUAUUGAACCUAAAGUCUGAAAGAUGUAUGAAAACAACACCAAGAUGAUUGAGGAUUGAUCUACAUCUCCUCCUAAUCAAGAGAGGGGUGAGGUCAUGUGUCACGAUGGGAUGUGUAGGAUAAAAGAAGGUGAUGAUCAAGCUCUGGUAUGAUAGAAGGCAUGAGAGUAUCUAGGGUGAAAUGUCUGAGUACGAGAUGAAAGGUAUGUAAGUAUUCGAGAUCAUCCAAGUAUGCCGAGAAGACUAGCCCAAGGCGUCAAUAUCUCCAUAAUCCAUCGAAAGCUGCAGUCACGAACAGAAAAUCAAGUGUCGAUGUCAAAACCUCCAACAAGGUGGCUAUGCCCCAAUAUGCAAUGAGGACAACAUGAAAUAAUCCAAUGAUCUCCAUAUCACUUGUUAGAUACUCCAAUGUCAAGAAUCAAUCUGAUCUCCCUCCAAAAGAUGGAUAUGCCCUAGUGUACAAGAUUCGAUAGGGUGAUUAUGCUCCAAUAAAAAAUACUCUCCAUCUCGUCUAUACCCCAGUGUAAAGUAGUGUAUCCGAACUGCUGAGGAAUACCAUGCCUAGUACGGGUCAACGAAUCAAUCAAUCUCUACUCCUGGUGCUAACAAUGGAAACAUCUCAACAUAAUCCAUAUGAAUCAAAAUCUCCGGGCUCUAUGAAUGUGAAUGAGGUGGCUAUGCCCCAGUAUAAACCAGCUGAAGUGACUAUGCUCUAAUGAAAAAUCAAAGUCCAUCACCAAUGAGAGGGAUACGCCUCAAAAUAAAUCGUCAUCUAAAAAAUCAACCAUCAAUGAGUAGAGUGUGGCCCAAUGCAAAGUAUCGAGUAGAGUGACUGUAUCUCCAAUAAAAGUGCUCUCUGAAAUGGUUGUGCCCCAGUGUAGGGUCAUCCCACAACUCCUGAUCCAUUAUAAUCCAAGUGAAAAAGUGAACUAUCUAUACCUCAGUGCAAGGCAUCAUCCCAAAAGAAAACGUCAUCAAUGAGCGGGGUAUGCCCCAGUGUAGAUAACGUCGCCUAUGAAAAUCCAUCACUAAUAAGAGGGGUAUGCCCCAAUGUAAAUCAUCAUCUCAAUUCCCCAUCCAUCACACUCUAAGAAAUAAUCUCCAACCAAACUAGAGUAUUGCCCACGUGGGAGCUGUCAAACAUAAGGUGAAGUAUUAGCCUUAGGGUGGUCUUCAAACACGGGACAUAACGUAGGCUAAGGUAAUAGGGUGAAAGAAAUGAAAAGAAACUAGGCUCAAAGAUCCCAAUGAUAUAAUCCCCAUACCCCUCGUGCAUGAGAUGCAAUGCGUAGAAAAUGUCAUGAGUCCCGGACCUAGGGGUCCCCACUUAAAAAGUGAUGAUGAAUGAAUGGUCACAUCGAAUAAGCAAGAAUAAAGUGUGGAUGUUAAACCCAUGUCAAACAUCAAACAGGAUGAGAAAAGAAAGAUAAAAGAUGAGGUAGAGUGAAACGAAGGAAUAAAAUAAAGAUAGAAGAAGGCGAAGAGAUAGAAAAAUGAGUGAUGGUCAACCUACAUCAAAGCAUGGAAAGUAGUCACAUCUAAAAUAGAUAGAAUGAUGGAUAGAGCAAGGAUUCGAAGAUACUAAAGAAAAUGUUGCUCGUCUCUCUCACAAAAAUCGAAUGAGCGACUCAUACUAUCACCCAAAACAUAUACCAAGAUAGAAUCUCAGAAAGAAGCUCUCAUAUGAACUCUCUCUAACACAUGAACUCAAUGAAGCAAACUGGCACAUCCAUACACAUGCCCAAUGAAGAAUGAUAAAAUGAACAAUGCGCUAUCCUUUUUUUUUUUUUUUUUUGCGCAUACUCUGAUCAAUAGUGAAUGAUCUCCCAUGAAAUACAUAGCCAAAUGAAUAAACUCUCCCCAUGUACUGAUGUAACAUGAAUCCUCACUAACAAGACAACCACUCAAAAUAAGAUAUCUGAACCACUGCUUAUAAGGCGAACAGAGGGGAAGAACGUGACAAUCUUCCAUGCAGUGACGUGUGAGAAACCACCACUCAAGGUGAAACAAGGAUAAUGUCGAGUAAGUAAUGAUGAAAGAAAAGACAAAGAAUGAAUAUCACAAGUGGUGAUAUGUGAUAUCGGGAAAUAGUGAUGAAAUGAUGUCCAAGUGGAAAAUAUCACAAUGAAGAGUGAGGAAUGAGACAUGAAUAUGUAUGUCAGGUCUAGAACUCAUGACGUAUCCAAUCAUAGCAUGCAAGCACUAUAGGGUCCCCAACCCAGUGUAAUAGGCAAAUGAGGUGAUGAAAGAAAAGGCUACAAUGCUCGUGUAAAGCUCAAAGGGCUAGCAACAGGUAACUCUAUAUGUGAGGGUGAUAUGGUAAACAAGCUCCUGAAAUGAUGGCCACCCAUCCUACGACCACAACCUCGAACAUCGUGCUUUCAAGAUCUCACAUGGUAAAUACUAAAGACUAGCACUCGUCCAACAUAGUCAUGGCGACUCCUCUGAAAUCGUGUGAAAGCUCUCACUGAUGCUCUAUGAUAACCAUCAAUGUCCUCUGAUAAUCAUCUCACUAUAUCAUUAUAUGCCACUCGCCAUCGUCUCGUAAAAUAACUCUCUCUGAUCAUACCAAAACACUUGAAGUCAUGUGUAACGACUCAAAUCUGGAUACUCCCUGAUGAUCCCUCUGCCUCAGCAAUAUCAUCAAGAAUUCAAACCACUCUCUCAUCGUGAUCCAUCCAUCAUCAUGCAAAGCUCACCUCAGGUCUAACCAUCUCGGACUCUACCUGGUCAGAUCAAGGAAAUGAUGGAAAGAAUAGGCAAUGGUACUAUAGUAUACAAAGACGAAUAUGAAUGGUAAGGUCGUAUAAUGGUAUCAAGGGGUGGUGUCAUGUCGAGCUCAAAAUGGGUAGUUCAUCAAGUCCACAAAGUCAGGGUAUGGAUAUGGAUAUGGUACUGCUCUGAUCAGAAAGUGAAAUGAGUCAUAGUCUUGAACUCCCUAGGUCGAUCUCCUGAUCCUAGGUCAAAAGGCUCAAUAUCAUCCAUGAUAGGUCAAGCCAGAGUGAUCAUGAUGUAUAAGUGAAAAGAUGUCUCAUAUUGAAAUCAUAACACACAUCAACACAAGAUAUGUAAAGCACACUCACGAGAAAAAUGUCACAUACUCAGAUAAAAGAUCAUAUCACUAAAUGAACCAAUGAGUACAUCAUGUGUGAAACGAAAAAGGACUACAAACGACUGGACUCUCAACAUGAAAAUAUAAACAAUGACCCUAAACCAAAACCACACUUAACAAAACAAAAACAACUCUGAUGAACCAAAAACUGGACUCGACAAAAUGGAAAUGACUCUGAUGAUGACCAUAAUAAAAAAUGAAAAGUGCUCUGAGUUGAACUGCUACCAAAUGAUGUACCCAAUGUCGACUGAUCCAAGUCCUUAACCCGGGAUGUCCCAAAAUACCAUGCGACAAUCAAUACCAUCAACAUCCAAAUCAAUCUACUGAAGACUAAGAGGAGGAGGAACUACAUGUGUAGAAUGCGUAGGCAGAGGAUUGGUGGUCACACUUGGCCCAGCCAAGUUGACCAACCCUGAAUCGAUCAAGUCCUGUAUCGCAUGCUGGAGUGCCGAACAACGCUCAGUAUCAUGUCCCUGAGUCUGAUGAUACAAGCAAUGCUCAUGGGAGCAAAAAUGUGGAGGAAUAGGAUGUGGCAAAGGGCGUGGCGCCAAAGCAACGAUCAAACCACCAUCUCUGAGCUUCUCAAAAGCUCUAGUCAAAGUCAUGCCCAAUGGGACAAACUGUCUCGCGGGCCUCUGUGCAUAUGGUCUAGGCGGUGGGUGAGUAGCGGCUCUCGGAUGUGAUGGUCGUGGUUGCAUAGUUGAGUCUUGUUGAUUUUGAGUCACCAUCUUUACGUUUUUUUUACGUUCAGAGUCAUUUCUCCUCAACUGUAUCAUUUAGGGUCACAGUUCUUGGUAUUCAUAUUCACUGGCAUUGCACAUCUAACCUUCAUGGUUUUGCACUUGUCCUCAUUCUCCUCACCUCAUUACCCUGUGCUUAUCGCUUAUUCAUCAUUGUUCUUCCAUAUUUUCCCUUCCACUACACAUGACGCAAUCCUUUGAGUUCAGGGCACAUAUUUUGGUCAUGUUGAUGGGCACCCUACGCCUAGCAUUCUCAUGUGAUACACGUAUAAGAGUCUCCUUUGGACGCAUUCUUUCUUGUAUUUCAGGGUGGUUUGACUGUUACUCAUCUUUGAUAUUGAUCCUCGAGUCACUUUUGGAGACGUCUUAGAGGGAGUUUGGGUCUUUAGUGUGGCUUUAGAGGCAUUUUGAGACAUCAUUUUCUCUUAGGAUUAGAGCCUUUUUGUCCAUCUGUUGGCCUGAGUGAAUUCAUGUCUCACUAACAUACUUUUGAGGGUCUCCUUUGUUCUUCGGUAAAGUCCACUUCAUUCCACUCAUUAUUCAUACUUUCUUUUCACUUCAGUGUUCAUAUUCCUUGUACUCAUGAGCUCUACCGAAGAUGGGUAUUUUAGGGAGCAUUCUUUACCACCUUUCCUAUUUUUGGCAACACGUGCAUGAGAGGGUGGAUAGGCAGUGUUAUUUUUUGGAGACAAUCAGCGGAUGACGUGUGGCAUGAGAAUCUUCAAGGCAUUGUGGUGGAGCGGGUCUGUUAUGCAAAAGCUGCAGGGGAGAUAUUGGGAGGGAGGAGGUUUUGCUUGAGAAGGAAGCUACCAGAGGGAAGCUGAGGGGGGUUUUGGUUAGAGAGAGAGAGGUUUUUCUGGAGAGAAACCAGAGGAGAGAGUGGCUUGAGAGAGGAAGAAAGAGUUUGAAAAGCAAGUCUGCUUAAGGAGAAGGACUGGAGAAAACAAGCUAGGUGUCUGAAAAGGGUUGGAGCAGAAAGUAAGUCGUAUCAUCUUCGCUUAAGGGCUCAGGAAUGGCCAUUAUGAGCAUUUUCACUUUGCAUAUCUUAAUUUUCCUCCCUUGACAUUGUUGAUCUUAAGCAUAAUUUGUUGGGUUUUUGUUGACCUGAAGCUCAUAUUAUACUUGCUCUACUUUGUCCUUUCUCGGGUUUCUCUGUUUUCUCUCUUAGAUGACUGAGGUAUGGUUUACUUUCUUUAAGCUUGAUGUUUGAUUAAAUACACAAAAGGUUACUGCGUGUCCCACCAGUUGGCAUCCCGUUCAUCAUUCAUGAAAUGUGGCUUUGCCUGAAUAUUCCUUAGGUUUUAUGAUUUUCAUUUUUUUUUCUUUUAAACAAAUUCAUCCUUCACACCUCUCUGCUCUCAUGAAACUAAUUGUGGAAUGCCUUGAUUUCUGUUUCGUCAUCUGAGAGAAUAUUGGAUGCUUCAGACUUGGUGUAUGAUUAUUGCUUGAAGUCACUUGGCUGGGAUAUUAGAAAUGCCCUGGCUGCCACGAAUGAAGACAUUGGUGAAUUCAAGCGUAUUGACGUUCUAUUAGACAGUGUUCACAGCGGCGGUGCUGGAGUUUUCAGGGGCGUUGCUGUUGGGAAUCCAUGUAACCAUAUAUAUCACUCAGGCUGUACUGUUCUUUGGUUGAUUCAGCACAGUUCAUGCCUUGUUUGUCGUCAGGAGUUGCCUUCAUAAGGUCAACAAAGUUUAGAUGGUGGGUCAUUAACCACUAAUCUACAGUUUUAUGAUCCGCGACACGGAGAUCCUUGCCAAGCACACCGGAAUUUGCAUGGUCCAGCUGCUGGUGCAGCACUUGCAGGCUGUAUGUAUAUAGGCAUGCUUGCUUUCAUUAGGGCAACUGGCACAAGGGACGGUGUUUCUGUGUUAGGUCAUGUAGUGUGUGAGAUUUUUCCACCUCUAGGAUCAGCUAGCAUGGUCUUGCUAAGUGCCACGUCGGGAUUGACGGCUUCCAUGGGAAAAUCUUUAAAAUGCUAUUCCAUUGUUUGUGAUGUUCUUCCUGUCAGCCUUACUAAUUACCAAUUGAUUAAUCAUUUUCUGAGGUGUAUUUGUUGGUUCGCUAGCUGAAAACGGUGAUGCAAAGGGUGAUUUAAGGCUCGCAAACGACGCCGAUAUGCUGACCAGGAUCUGUGAUAGUUGCUGAGGCAGAAGCUGCCAUGAAGCGAACUACACUCGUAGACAACACUUCAAAUAUGCCUGUGGCUGCUCGUGAGGCUUUAAUUUAUACUGGUCACUAUAAGUGAAUACUUCGGAGAUAUGGGCUACAAUGUCAGUAUGAUGGCAGAUUCAACAUCUCGCUGGGCAGAAGCAUUGCGAGCAAUAUUGUGACGGCUGGCUGAGAUGCUUGCGAAUGGCAGAUAUCCUGCUCAUUUGGCAGCGCGUUGAGCUAUCUUUCUAUGAGAGUGUUGGCAAAGACAUGAGAGUCAAAAGGUACAUUUCCCAGAAGGAAUUCAGGCUUGGAAGCACCAGCAACCAGGAUCAGGAUGAUUCUCUACUGUUUACCCUUCUAUGGGAUCUAGUUAUCAGCAAGAAGAAAAGAAAAUAUAGUGAGAAAUCAGCAGUAAAGCCGCGAUCAGGGUCAUUUGGGCCUGUGUCAUCCAUGAGUAUGGGUCGUAGUAUUAGAAGCCCAGGUUCAUGUUCAAUGUAGAAGGAUUGAAUAUCAAUUUAACACGCUACACAUCAAGAAGCAUGGGAUAGAUAACUUACUCAAUAGGCCAAUGGCGGCGUCAGUGGAGGUGGCAUGAUUGAUUGAGCAAAUCUGGCGAAGAGGAUGAGAACAGAUGUCAAUGUUAUCAUCAAAAAGCUUAACAAAGGUUCAUCAACUAUGUUCUAGAGUUUCUUCUGGCAUCAUUAAACUGGCGUGACGGCAAUUUGAGGGAAAUGCUAUAGUUCCCAUGAUGAUUUGGUAUUGAUCUAGACAUAACAUAUCAUGAUGAGGUCAUAUGGAUCUUGCUACUUCAGUUUACCCUGUUGACUGCAUCAGUGGCAUAUAUCAAGGUAAAAACCAGUUUAAUAAGUUGGAGGAAUUAAUCUGGUGUCGUUUGAAUUUUCAAAAAGCUAUAAAACAUCAAGAAUCCUUUGCAUCCAAAAUCCUUUACCUGCUUCCAAACUCCUGUGUUAAGAUGAUUACAGUGGCACCGAGCACGCCACAGGUCUGGACUCUGAGCCCUUAACUCUGAUCUUCACUGGAAACAUUAUUCCUACCCAUGCAUGACAGCAUUCUCACAGAGAAGCAAUAGAUGAGCUGGUCGAGAAGGAAACUGGUGCAGCAUAUGGAUAUUAUGAAUAUAGUAUCAAUCUUUCAAGGAAUCCUAGCUUGGGAAUUGGUAGACCUAGUGAACAAAGACAUGACAAUGGAGAUGAAACAAAUGGGCAGAGAAGGAGCAAUCAACCGAAGAAGGUGUCAAACAGAGAGAGUCCUAACCAUGCAUGAGUAUACCAAGUUCAUCAACUGAAAGUCAUCUUCCAUAUUAUCCACGCCAAUCCUUCAUGCUACCCUCUUGUUUAUUAAGUUGCCUUCCAGAUGAGAAUCCCUCAAAAGACCCUAUUUUCCUCACGUCGUAACCGAGUCCUUCACUUUCUCUCUCUAAAACCCUCGUGCUAUCUCUAAGACUCUCUCGCUAAAACUCUCCAUUCCAUGAAAUUCUAGUUUUUCAACUCCCUAGCCAUAUACUGUCUCGUCACCAGUAUCGCUCCUAAGGUUCAGAUCACUUGGCACAGCACCCAUCAGAUCGGUAGUAGGCUGAACUGGGGCAAGAACCAUACUACUAAAGACAUCGAUUCGGGGUUGAAGUUCGAGCCUUAAUGCUACAGUCAAGAAUAUUUGUGCAAGCCUUGUGAAACAGGUUGCAAAUACCAUUAAUAAUGUGGCAAGAGAUGGUACCGCCUGUGCUACAGUCCUUACCCGAGCAAUGUUUACCAAAGGGUGCAAAUCGGUAGCUGCUGGAAUGAAUGCUAAGGGAUCUCGAACAAGGAUAUCAUGGAACGCCUCUGACCUCAUCUACCAGCUUUGACAGCCACUUCCACCAGUACCUGUGAAAUAUUCUGAAGCUCUGGGCUUUGACUAUAUUGUUCUAAACAGUAGUCAUCUGUAUCUAUUUGGGGAAGAGGAUCCAUUGGAGGAAUAUCUGAGAUGGAUCAGUUCGAAUGAAUAAAGGGUUUAAAGGCGAAUGCACAAGAAGGCAGAGGACUCUCCAUUCAGCUGAAAUCUAUGAUCCUAACAGGAAUGGAUGGAACAAGAAUUGAGAGAUCCUUUAACCUGUCGGGAUGCUGAUAUAGAAGGACCCUACUUUCAUGGAGCAUUUUCCUGAAGAAAAUUCUAGAGUUGACGUCAGCUUUAAUCAAGUAUCAAAAUUCUGGAAGAAGCAAAGAUUGGGAUCAAUCUCCUCCUGUGUUGACUUGUGCAUCACAUAAUUUGUUUGACGAUUUUGAUAGAAGCUUUAAACCUGUAGGGCCCAAGCAGUUCAAGAUGGUAUCGCAUAAAGAAGAUAUUUUCUCCUUGGCCAACCAUACUUAAAUGAGAAUGAUUUGACUGAAGAUGAGCUUGCUACCUUUUUAUGGUGCUAUGGGUUCAGCUGAGUACAAUAUGAUUGAUUUUCCUGAAGGCAAUUGGCAAUGGGCUGAUUCCACUUCCAAAGUUGAUGAAUGAGGCAGUGAUCCUGCAGAAGUAGAUUUAUAUGGCAGGGAUGAUGCAGAUUGAUAUGGUCAAGAUUCAAGUGGGAGCUAGGAAAUUGAGGUUUGAAAAUAAGGAAAUGCAUGUUGAAGCAAGAGAAAGGAAUACAUUAAGGAGUAGCAUGGAACCUUUUAGGCAUGGAUCUGGGCACUAUGGUUGGAUACCUUCAGAUGUCGCUUUAGUCAGUUCUGUGCUUAGCAAAGUGGCUUCAAAAAGCUCAUGGAAUGCUGCCAACACCUUCUCUGUCCCCAUCUCCAUGGUUGUCAUUCCUCAUCUCCUUCCACUUAUGCAUGGACUGGAAGGUCACCUCUAGCAUGGCCACUUUUUGAGCCAUGUCCCCCCCCCCUCCCCCCCCUCAAAUUCUUUCCCUUUGACUUUAAAAUAAUAAUUUCUUAACCCUGUUUUCAAAUGAUUUUCCAACUUCUAUUUUUUUUUAAUGAUUUCAGGUCAUCAAAUUUUCCAUCCUUAGAGUUUUUAGGUACCAACAUCCCAUUUUUAAUAAAAUUUGGUCGCCAUUUUCCUUCUGGCGAGCCAUUUUCGAAUUUUCUUUGAUUUUCAAAAUGUUUUAAAAUAAGUGUGAAUUUAUUUUUCAUAAUUCUUGGUGAUAGAAUUUACGAAAUUGAUUCACUCAAAAAUAAAUGGGCUUUGGUGGGAGCCCCACAUACGUGAUUUUAUGACUGAUUGAUUGAUCGAUUGGUUGUUUUGAUUGCUAUAUAUGAUUGAUUCAUUAUGUUCUAUGUUAUGCACAUGAUUACUCUGAAUUUGUUCACUAACCUUUGCUUCCCAUGAAAUAAAUGAGUUCAUCACUCAGGUACGUCCUUUGCCCCUCUUGUUCAUUCAGUUAUUUUUGUUUUGAGUGACAUUCACUUGGUAUCCAUUUACGGUUAAUCAAUUGCCAUGAUUGCUUCAUUUUAUUAGUAGAGACCUGACUUUAGGGACUUAGAGGGGUGUUACGGUCUUUAUCGUACCUUCCCGAUAAGUAACUUGACUCCCGAACUCGAUCCAGUUUUUCUCAAAUCACCUUUUCCAAAAUCAAGAGUCAUUCUUAGGGCUUUCUUUCUUAUUUUGUUUACCCUUUUAAAAAAUAAAACAAAAACAAGUGGCGACUCCAAGUCAUUUUCUAAUAAAUAAAAAUCAUUUUUCAAAAUAAAAAUCGAGCUCGCCAUCGAGUGGAAAACGCAUGAGCCGAAAUGAUAAUAGUUGAAAAUAUUUUUAUAUUUUGUUACUAAAAUUUUAUUUUAUAUAAUUGAGAUGAAAUUUAAUGGACAUUGUUAUUUCCCAAAAUCAACAUUAAAAAAAUAUUGAAAUUAAAAAAAAUUCUUCCAAGAAAUAUAUAUAUAUAUAUAUAUAUAUAUAUAUAUAUAUAUAAAGAAUUAGAUUUUAAAAAUGAUUUUUAAAAGCAAAAUGAAUUAUAAAAAUAAAUAAAUUUAAAAAGUGCAAAUUUUAAGUAGAAAAUUAGUAUUUUUUUAAUUUUAGAUUUAUAUUUUGAUUUUUUAGUUUUAAUUUAUUUUUUAUUUUCUUGAAUUGUUUUUAUUUGAGUUCAAAUGUGACUACUUUGUUAUGAGAUUCAUUAAAGAAAUAAUUGUUGAUUUUACAGUUAUUGCAUUAAAAGUUUUACUCAUUUAAUGAAUUGUACAUAAUUUCAUACUUCCAAUUAUUGUGAUAUUAAUGUUAUUCUCAUUUGAUUUCAGUUUGAUGACAAAAAGAAAACAUAUUCUCAAGUAGAAUUUGAUGAAAUUAGAGAAGAAUGGAUUACUUUUGUGUUUUAACUAAUCAUGAAUCAUAUUGAUGUAUCAUGAUCAUUCAUGGUGAGUCCCUUAGUUGUUAUAUGAUUGAAUUUUCCAUUGGUAUUGUAUAACAUUACUUAUUAUUUACGAACUAUUUUUAUAUCAAAAAGAGAGAAAGAAAAAAGAAAAAAGAAAAAAGAAAACAUUAGUACUUAGAUUUGUUUAUUGUUUAUAACAUCACAUUUUUAUUUUCAAUAAAAACUCUAAAACUCAUUAAACUAUGAAAUGCAGGUAUACACUCUUGGGAGGACAGUAUGCAGAAUAAAAAGAAAGGAGAAAAAGGCAACAAGAUUUAGGUUUUUAGAUAUGACUCUUAUGCCAUACAUUAUAGGACAUAAACGUUACUUUAUUUGGAAUUGAGAAUUUUGGGUUUUUGGAUGCAACUCUUGUGUCAUUUUAUGGUUAGCCGAUUUUAUGCAUAUGAAAUGUAGGUAUACAUGAAUGUUGGGAAGCUUAACAUUUCUAAAUCAUGUUUUAAUGUGUAUUCCCUUUUCUUUUUUAGUUUUGGUGGGUUUGAUGUACUAUCAUUUUGUGAACAUUUGAUUUACAAAUAUUAUUGGAUGAUGUAAUGUGUUACAAGUUCAUUCAUAAGCAUUAUGAAAAUAUAAGUUAAAUGUAAUAUGAUUAUUAUAUUUAUGGACAAUUUACACAGGUUGGUCUUAUUUAUUAAUAAACAUUACAAAAAUCUACAAACUAAUCAACAAAAAACAACCAUAUCUUCCAUAAUCAUUUACAAUGAUGUGGCACCAUAAAUUAAAGGUGAUACAUUUAACGUGACAGCAUAACUCAAAGAUGAUGCAUUUAAUAUGACACCUUAUAUAUCUCAUAAAACUCUAUAUCAAGUUAAGCAUCACUAAAAAUAUAUGAUGUCGCUUCUGAAUGUGUCACCAUUUAUCUGCUUUGGUGUCGCUUCCAAAUACGCCACCAAUUGAUACCCUCUAUGGUGUCAGUGGAUAAGGUGAUGCUAUGAUGUAGUGACACCCUAUGUUUAUAGUGACUUAUUAUAAAUGUCACCAUAUAUCUUUUUCCUUGUAGUGUGUUACUUGAUUCCUAUGUUGUCAUGUCAUUGCUUCUUGAUUUGAGUGAAACAAAUUAUAUAUAUUACAUGAUCAUUGCUUGUGAACUAACUCUCUUGUUUAUGGAAGCGCUUAACAUGCUAUUAAGGUACAUUCUUUCCUUUCUUUGUUUAUUGAUUCUUUGAGUGUGCAUGGUUUGUUUAAGUAUUCUUGAUUAUGAUUUUAUUAUUGCUUUGAUAUUUUUUUUUAUUCUUGGUAUCCACUGAUUUAUAUAUUAAUUGUCAUAUAUAAUUACCUCAAUUUAAUUAAUAGAGACUUGUUUUAAGGCUUAGAGGGGUGCUACCUUAUGGUACCUUCCCAAUAGGUAACUUGACCCCUAGACUUGGACUCGAUUUUCAAAGUCACAUUUUUCCAAAUAAGGAGUCAUUUGUAGGGUUUUAUUUCUUAUUUUGUUUUUCCUUUAAAAAAUAAACAAAAAUAAAUGGCAACUCCAAUUUUUACAAAAAUAAGUUUUGCACUAAAAGGCGAGUGUUGCCAUUAAGUGGGAAUGUGCGUGAAAAAUGAGGGUCCACACUAUGGUAUACCAUUAGAUUGUUUUUGGUUCUACCCACUAAUAUGUGAGGAACAUCGAAGGCUACCUGCUUCCAUAAGUUUCACUAUCUUGGGCAUUUUUAUUAACAAUGUACCAGAAAUUUGUUAAUAUAUGCACAUUUAUCGAAAAAUAUAUAUGAUUUAUGACUUUAUGAAAAAAUAACACAUGUAAUACAAGUUUAUUUCGUAUGCUCAUAUUACAAACAUUCUCUAUUUCAUUUUUUAAAUAUAAAUAUAUUUGAUCUCUAUCCUUUAUUUGCGUUCAAGUUCACUCCUUUUAUUAAAUAUUUUUAGGUAUACUUGAUUUUGGGAAAAAGUGACAUGGGUAUGAAGGGUUCAAAACCCCGUUUAUUUCUUUAGCUAAGAGACUAAUUUAAAUGGAUAUUUUUUGUAUUAAUGGUUCACUUUACUACUACUUUUUGGGAGAUUUGUCAUAAUUUAAUUUGUGGAUUUUAUUAUGAAAAGAUAAAUUUCUAGUUAAAACUUUUUUGUUAGCUUAAUAACUACUUCUCAUGUCAAACUUUCGGACUACACAUGUGAAAUGAUCGUGCUGUCCUAAACUCCGGGUUUGAGUCACAUCAUUAGCUUGCAUUUCCAUGAGAAGGGUUAUGAUAAAUUAGCAAUGAUGUUUCAUGCUAACGUGCCUUCAAAUUUUAAGGUUGGUGUUUUUCUAGUUGCACUAUAUCUCUUCAACAAGAUACCUUCCACAACUUUGAACUUUGACACUCUACAUAUAAAGUUAAUAUUUCUCAAAAGGUAUAACAAACACAAAUUCACCAAGAAGACCUGCCGUUUUGUCUUCCUAGCCUAUAGCUCUCUUCAAAAGAGAUAUAAAUGCUUGCAUGCAUCCCCAAACAAAUGGAGUUUAUCAAGACAUGUUUCUACUUGCAAACACUGGCUGAAAAUUUAACAGCACUCGAGCCUUCAAGCCAAAUACAGUGUCAUAGACUGAUACAUUGCCUACUAUUGAUAUAACACCUAUCUCUAGUAAUCUGCACCCUGCUACAUUUAAACUGCUUAAUUCUUAAAAUCCAUGUAGAUGCUCUUUAAUUUAGAGCUUGGAUGUAAUAAGUCUAACAGGCUCUUCCUCUUUUGUCAUUUUCUUUAUCUCCUGUUCAAACCUUUCCAUGACUGGCGGAGGCAGGCAUAUAGGUAUAACAUUCCCUUCUUCUCCUUUGCUGUUCCUGAACCGCGCACAGAAGCUAAUAAUAGAUAUAGCCCUAGCAAGCCCACUAUAGACGGGCUUCCCCCACCCGAAGUCGAUCUCUCCAGACCCGUCACGCGUGACAUCUGCAACCAUAUAGUUCCCCGGGUGCAUAAAUGAGGGCCGGCCCUUGAUGACCAUAAGAUCUGCCACUGAUUUAACGUACUCCUGACUCAUUUCCGCCUUGGCUUUCUUCACUAACCUUACCGCAUAUUCCAAUGGAUUUUUACAUAGCAUUCCAGCCUUAGUAAUUGAAGCUGGAGUCACAACAGCAUUUCCAUAGUAUCCUGGAGGCAGUUCGAAACCGCGCUUGCCUCGCAUACUGAUUGAGCAAAUAAUGCGAACAACCUCAUCAGGGUCUACUGCAAAUGCAAUUGUGCGGCAUCUCCAUACACAUGCUGUUAGAACCUCAAAUGUCGUGCUGGCACCGAGGCUUGCAGGAAGUCGGUUCCUAAGUGCUCUUAUCUCCUUGGGGCCAAAGAAGAAUGAUCGAUGAACCAAAUUAUUUUCGUCCAUGGCCAUUAGUGUGCCCUUGGUGUUGGUUACCUCCUCGUAUUCAUGAUGUAUACAGGUUAUUCGUGGUGGAUUUCGGGCAUUUAACAGCUCUCUUUGCCAUAUGGGUAGCAGAGAUGGCACAGACAGACCUUGAGCCAUCUCGCUUAUGGCGUUGAGGAAUUGGACCAAGCCAGGAAUACCACUCAUUGUGUGGUUUAGGCGCAAUGCAAAUAUAAAUCCUCCACACCUCAAUCGGGUCACCUGCAUUGUACCAAGAUUUCUUUAUCAAUAUAUACUUUAGCAACAUCCAAUGAUUUGUCUCAUUAAACUUAAUACUUAUUACUUAAUAACUUAAAUUUAUUAAGUUAAAUUAUUUUUAAAUUGUUAACUUAAAACUUAUUAUCUAAAUAUUAGGUUAUUUGAUAAAAUUUAUUUAAAAUCAUCAAAUUGAUAUAUUUAUCCUCAUUAAUUUUUAUUAGUAUUUAUUCUAAUUGACUUUAAUUUAUAUUUGUUUUCAUUAAUUUUAAAUAAUAAAUAUAUUUAAAAAACAUUCAUAUUUAUUUUAUUAUAGAUAUAUAAAAAUAAUCAUAAAAUAUUUAUUACAAAAAGUGGUUUCAAAAAGUUAUUUUUAGUAUUUUAGAAAACUAAAUGUUUUGACUUUUUCUAUUUAGUUAAAAAAUUAAAAAAUAAGUAAUAAGUAAAAAAAAUUAAAAGCAAAUCAUCUACAAUGUGAAAGUAAAUUACAUUCCACAUUAAGUUUAAUAAAAUAAAUAAAUAAAUCAAAUACCAUCUGAGUUAAGUAUUUUAAUUUAAUACUUAAAAUUAUUUAAAUAAAAAUAACUCUAAGUUGUAAGAUUAAGUUAUUUUACCAAAUAUCAUUGAUAAUGAAGAAUAUUUACCUGAAUUAAGACAACAGGGGAACCCAGAAUUCCCCCGGAGCCAGGGACAUCAUACAGAAGCUCCUCGAAGCAGGGACACAUUGGUUGAAUUGCAUCACCAAGAUUCUCAAGUGUGGUAUCGGCAUCGGCUUCAAUGAACAAGACCCCUUCACCGGUGCAGUCCACCAUGAGUUUUCUAUUAUCCCCUUCAAUCAGCCUGCCUGCAAAUGGGUAGUAGUAUACAAGCGCCUUACCUAGAGCUUCUCUAAUGACCUUUACAGGGUCUUUUCCUUUCAUUAAAGGAUUGUUCGGGUAAAACAUUAUCACAGGAAUUUGAAAGCGAAGGCCUUCUUGAUCAUCUAUAUCAGAAAGCUGCUUCAACUCUCGUGGGGUAGGGUUUGUAGGCCGAACAAACUCUGGAUCACACCGUUUAACCGAGAAUACUAGAGGAGAUGAUGACGACGCCAUGUCCUUCCAGGCAAGGAGUUUGUUGAUGGAAUAUAGAAACAAUGAUAAGAGAAAAUUGCAGGAUUUUAUGUGAUGGUCUGCUUUGAGAAGAAGGUAGCUGAUAUUUGUAGUGUACGACAAUAAUGUGUUUCACGUGUAUUUUUGCUCAACCUACGACACGGUUUAGAUAAGGGGUAGAAUUUUAAUCGUGUUUCACGUGUAUUUUUCUCUCCAGGCCCCUGGAAGCUACAACACCGUCUAGAUAAGAAAUAAUUGGUUAGAAGGGACGAAAUACUCCUCAUAUUUGAGAAUUUAUCCCCUCUUAUGUUUUUGUUCAAAGAGUAAUCUAUUUUUGACAUAAAUGCCCUUAACCAUUUCAAGUAUUUACAUUUAAAAGAAAGGGUUAUUUUCACAAGAAAAAAUAAGGAUAUUUUUAUGAAAAUGAGAUCAAAAAAUGAUAAAGGGUUAGAUUUUCAAAAUUGGGUUCCCAAUGACCCCUUUAAUCAAACAACUCUUUAGAUAAUAGGUAGAAUUUUGGGUGUAUGAUCUUUCGUUAAACGAAGUUCUGAUACCAUAUUAAAAUAUUAAUUUUCUAAAAAAUUUAAGCUUAUAGAGUUGAGUUCACAAUAUAUAUCAUGCUCUUUUGGUACCUUUUAAACAUGUUUUAAAUCUUUUGUUCAAAAUAAUCUUUUUCUCUUUUUUCUAUUCAAAAUUUACGGUCUCAAAUGUAGUUUAUGGCAUUUUCAAAAUUUAUGGUCUCUUUUGGUUAAUUUGAACAAGAUUAUGAAAUUAUGGUUUUUUUUUUUUCUGAUAAAAUGAAAAAAAAAAAAAAAAACUCAAAUGAGCUAUAAGAAAAUGACCAUUUUGACUCAAAAUUCCACGUGGAAAGUAUUUCAUUUACUUAUCUCGGACCACAGGAUAAGGUGGCUGCGUGUGAAACUAUGUGGUCUGUAUUCGAUGAUGUUUGAUAUCAUGGUGUAGGACUUGUCAGCGAUCCGCACCAAGAUAUCAACCAUACACCUGCCAUGCAUUAAUUGAUUAAGAAGGUUUCCCAUUCAAAAACCACAAAAAAUAGAGCGGUUGUUGAUGUUGAGUUAUCAUUUGACAAAACGUGUAUAGCCUGAAUCGCCUUACUUUCUUAAAAGAACAUGUGAAACAUUCACUUGCAGCACGACCAAACGUGUACUAGUUGUAUGCUGUGGCCUGAAUUACCUUACUUUCUUAAAAGAACAUGUGAAACAUUCACUUGCAGCAUAGUAGUGUAAAGCACGACCAAACGUGUACUAGUUGUAUGCUGUGGCCUGAAUUACCUUACUUUCUUAAAAGAACAUGUGAAACACAACAAAAAUUAUUAUUUUUUUUAUCAAUUUUUUUUCUUUUGUUUUUCUUUCCUCUACAUUCUUUUAAGAACCAAACGUAAAAUCAAUUAAUUAUACAUAUAUAUACACACACAAACAGACUCAUUGCAAGAGGAUAGAUCAUCUCAAGCCUCUUUAAUUAUUAUAGAAUAUAUGUAUCAUGCCAAAGACCCCUCUAAGGGCGUGACUAUCAUUUCAAACCUCAAGCUCGAAAACUCAAAGGGCAAAUGACUCAAACAAUUAUCUUGUAACUAGAAGAUCACUAAUUACUAAAUUCUUACUCAGAGUAGUAAAAUAUACUAUAAUUCUCAAAAUUUAAGUCCUAACAACUUCAAACUGAAAUGGUUCAAACAGCAAUUAAUUUCUAACAUUUAAACACUGUUCAAAAAUAAAGUUUAAACCAAAGCCCUAAUAGAGACAAAUUCCUGGCCUAACUAUCACUCCUUGCUUGAAUUGAAAGUAAUUGAAAAAAAUAAUCAGUGGAAGAGAAUGAGUUCAAACCCAAUAAGAAAUAUUAAUAUAGUUUCAUGGUUAAAACAUUUUCAACUAUGAUUACAAAUAGGAGGUAUAAUGUACAAUUUUUUAUUUUUUUAUUUUUAUAAAAACUUUGAAUUCAAACAUGCUAAAGCAUCCAAAACUUUUCAACCAAACAUUUUCAUAUUUAUGUAAAUAACAAUUUCAUAUUAAAUCUAAAUGAAAUGCAUUCAAAAUAUUUUUACUCUAAUUAUCAAAUAACAAAUGUUGCUUGAUUAGGUGAGACUUUGUUGCCCAAUUAGGUGAAACUUUACAAAUUGGAGGCUAUCCUUAAAUUUGUUCUUUUUAAGGUGGAUGGAACCAAAUAUUACUAAUGCUAAUAACCUCUAACCUAAUCCCUAGAGGAUGUGGUUUAAAACAAAUACAUUCCCUACCAAGAAAUAUAAAGGUCGAAUAAUUAUAACCUGUUGAUUAAGGCCAAAAAGGUCAAUAAUUAUAACCCAUUGAUUAUGGCAAAAAAUGUCAACAAUAUAACCCGUUGACUAGAACCAAAUAAACCAAAGUCAAACACCUUGUUUCAUUUAUUAAAACUUACAAAAACAUUAUAUCUUCAUUUUUUUAUUAUAAACAAAAGAAAAUGUUCUUACAUAUUUUUCAUGCAAAAUAUAAUUCAUCCAUGCGUAGAAACAAAAAAUAAUAUUUUACAUAAUUCAAAAUAAAAGAUAAAAAGAAAUUAUUUUCUCUUAGAAAAUCUAUAUUAAUUUCUCCUACCUCAAAAAGCACUCAAAACCCUUAAAAAAAAUUAUUAUUGAAGAAUCUAAUUUUCACCUAAAAAUAAUAUAAGAAAUAACAACUAUUACUACUACCUAUUUAUCUGAAAUUAUAAGUUUGACAAUCUAAAUAAUUUUCUAUGUUAAUAUUAUUACCACUAUUUUUAUUUUCAACUUCUGAAUCAAUAAUAAUUUAAUAAAUGAGUUUCCAAAAUUUCAUAAAAGUUGCUUCAUUUCCAAAAUCCAUUCCCAAGAGUACAUAUAUAAUAUAUAUGUAUAUAUAUCUUCUUUAUUUUUUUGUCCUUCUCAUAUUUUUUUUCUUUUCUUUUCCCAUCUCCUAGUUUCCACAUAGAACUCCCCAUCUCUUCAAUCUUUACACACAACACUACAGAUACCACACUUUCUCUACGUAUCAAAUGCACCAUUUUUUUUUUCUUUCCACUAAACAAAGGAUAUCCCUCUUUAGACCUAGAUUAUGUUUUGGAUUCUUAAUUAGAAAUAAUACAAUAUCUGCAGGGAAUUAUGGUAUCUUUAAGGUGACACAAAAUUUUCGGAAUGCAUAAACUAGGGCAUGCAUCCCAUUGGCGGAUGGUUGAAUUCAACUUCAUCUUGUUUCUGACAUCCUCGUUGGUAAUAUUUAACAGCUCUUCCGUCAUGGUUUUGGAGGUACAAGUACAAAGUUUUUGAAGAUGCAAAUUGGGAUUAGUGCCACACUUUGAGAUGUUUCCUAAGCAAUCCUUGAGAACACUUAUAGAACUCACUAUAUUUGAAGUUGUUAAAUCAACCUUCCUGAACCAAGUUAGCAAUGCUACAUGACACAAAAACUAAAAAUAAUUAAAGAAGGAACACUAGUCCCUUUCACAAUUGUUUCGUUUCUGUUAUUCGAAACAAAAAAAUAGGAAAACACGUUUGACAAUCAGAAAAUUGUUUUAUAUUUUUUGUUCUUAAUAAUAGAAAAUAGGGUGUUUUCAGAUAACAUAUUUUAAUUAUUUUAAGUUGUUUUUAUGUACUUUUUAAUUACUAUUUUAAAAAAUAAUUAUACAAAUUAUGAUUAAAAAUAAAACAUUAGAUUUAGAAAUUAUUUUUAAAACAUAUUUAAAAAAUAUUGAAAACAUGUUAAAAAUAUUUCAAGUUUCUAAAUAAAAUUUUGUUCUAUAAAAUAUUAGAGAACAAUUUUCAAAAACUGUUCUCAAAAAUUGCUUUUCAGAAUUGUCCUUGAUUUUAGCACUAAAUACACUCCCCAUGUUAGAAGAAUAUGCUUAACAUUUCACAAAUUACAACACCUAGGGCUAAAAAAAUUUAUAAUCUUAAAACUUUUUCAACAACAAUGCAAUAGAUUCCAUCUUUCCUAUUCUCUUGACAACCAAACAAAGCCUAAGACUCCUUUUUUUCUUCACUUUAAAAAAGCAAAAUAACUAAUAAAUAAAUAACAUUUUCAAUUGAAGAAAAAAAUAAAAUCACGUAAUAUUAGAGAGAACAGGAAUAAAUUGUGAGUACAAUCAACAACACAAAAUCUUGAAGGAAUUGGCCAAAUUGGAUGACAUAUUUCUCGAAAACAAUGCAUGAAACAAUUUUUAGGCCCAUACAGAAGAAAAUUUCAGCAACAUAGAACUUGAUCCUUCCUAGAAUGAAUAUUUACAAUAUUUGUCUGUUGUAAACUGUAGACAUAAUGCAAUUCACUCACAAUAUGAGAAUGAGCCUUAUUCAAUUCAAAAAAAGCUAUGGGCUUAUAUAAGCCUUAUAAAAGAGAUUAAAGAGGAAACAAACAGCCCAUGUAAGAACGUGGUAAAUGGCUAAGGAAAUAGUCAAAUCCUACCAACAUGUCCCAAGAAAUAGGAACUAUUAACAGAAUGAAAUUCUAACAACUUUGACUACUUUAACUGAACAUCCCAACAAUUCCUCCCCUAAACUGAUUGCAAUAAUGCAUUCAGUUGUUAAAGUUGACUACUUUAACAACUUUCACGUGUAUUUUUGCUCAACCUACGACACGGUUUAGAUAAGGGGUAGAAUUUUAAUCGUGUUUCACGUGUAUUUUUCUCUCCAGCCUCUGGAAGCUACAACAGCGUCUAGAUAAAAAAUAAUUGGUUAGAAGGAACGAAAUACUCCUCAUAUUUGUGAAUUUAUCACCUCCUAUGUUUUUUUCAAAGAGUAAUCUAUUUUUGACAUAAAUGCCUUUAACCAUUUCAAGUAUUUACAUUUAAAAGAAAGGGUUAUUUUUACAAGAAAAAAUAAGGAUAUUUUUACCAAAAUAAGAUCAAAAAAUGAUAAAGGGUUAGAUUUUCAAAAUUGGGUUCCCAAUGACCCCUUUAAUCAAACAACUCUUUAGAUAAUAGGUAGAAUUUUGGGUGUAUGAUCUUUCAUUAAACGAAGUUCUGAUACCAUGUUAAAAUAUUAAUUUUCUAAAAAAUUUAAGCUUAUAAAAUUGAGUUCACAAUAUAUAUCAUGCUCUUUUGGUACCUUUUAAACAUGUUUUAAAUCUUUUGUUCAAAAUAAUCUUUUUCUCUUUUUUCUAUUCAAAAUUUACAGUCUCAAAUGUAGUUUCAUUACAAUUCUAAAACCACAUCACAUUUUCAAAAUUUACGGUCUCUUUUGGUUAAUUUGAACAAGAUUAUGAAACUGAAAAGGAUUAGUUUGAACAACAAUUUGAAAAAAAAAAAAAAAAAAAACUCAAAUGAGCUAUGAGAAAAUGACCAUUUUGACUCAAAAUUCACGUGGAAAGUAUUUCAUUUACAUAUCUCGGACCACAGGAUAAGGUGGCUGCGUGUGAAAGUAUGUGGUCUGUAUUCGAUGAUGUUUGAUAUCAUGGUGUAGGACUUGUCAGCGAUCCGCACCAAGAUAUCAACCAUACACCUGCCAUGCAUUAAUUGAUUAAGAAGGGUUCUCAUUCAAAAACCACAAAAAAUAGAGCGGUUGUUGAUGUUGAGUUAUCAUUUGACUUAAGUUGGAUUAAACUAAUGGGGGGUAAAUAAAUAGAGAAGUGUAAACUUGAGAUCAAAGUUUGGAUUCUAAUUAACAAUUUAACUUAAAAAGUAAUGGACGUAUGAUUUGACUUUUUAAUCACAUAUCUCAAAAGUAUAAAGGUAGUGUUUAUUUUUGACUAAAUAAAAAAAAUCAAAAUAUUGACUUUUUUUUUUAUUAAACUAAAAGUAAUCUAUUGAUAUUAAUCAAUAUAACUAAACUAAACUUAUUGAUAACAAGUUCACUUUAAUUAUUUUGGCUAAUAUAAUUCACUUUAAUUAUGCGGAUUAAUAUGAACAUAUUACUUUUAACAAAAUAGAAAAAAUAAUAUAUUUUUACUUUUUUUAUUCAAUAAAAAAAUAAACACUAUCAAUUUCACAACCAAUAAUUGAAAAUAAACAACUUAUGCCUUAUUUGGUAACUAUUUUUUAAAACGGUUAUUAAAAAAUAGUUUUUAAGAAUAGUUUUUGAAAACUGUUCUCUAAUGUUUUGUAGAAGAACCUAAAAUUGUUUUAAACCUGUUUUUAAUAUUUUAAAUACGUUUUAAAAAUAAUUUUUAUGUCCAUAUCUUUAUUUUUAAUCAUUAUAUAUGUUUAUAUAAUUAUUCUUUAAAAUAACUCUCGAAAAACAACUGAAAAAACUAAAAGAUGUUAUCUAAAAACACCCUAUUUUUUGUUUUUUUGAUAAUAGAAAACAAAAAGAAAAUAGAAAAUAGUUUAUGAUUGUCAAACAUGUUUUUCGGUUUUUUUGUUCUAAAAAAGAAAAAACUGCUCUUGAAAACAGUUGUCAAAUAGAGCCUUAAAGUCUUAAAGCAAAUUGUUUUCAACAAAAAACUAAAAAAACAAACAUCCUCCAACCUUUUUUUUUUUUUUCACUAAUGAACCAAUAGAUUUUUAAAAAGGAAGAAAAAUAAAUGAUGAAUAAUUUUAUCAUUUUUCUCAAUUAUUUAUCACUUUUUAUGUAAUUGUUUGUUUGUUUUCGGUUCUAGUACUCCAAUAAACAAUAACAAGUGAAAAAAAAAAAAAGGCAAGGAAAGUUGAUAGAAUUUUUUUUUUUUUUUUUUUUUUAGGUUUCUAGGAAAAAGUUGAUAAAUAUAAAAAUUAAAUCUUUUAGAAUGCCCUUUCCCCAAACAUUCAUCACCUUUUUUAUAAGAAAAAUGGGAAAGGAAAUCGGUUAACAUUUUCUUCUUUUCUUACAUAUUUUCCAUCUUUGGUUCCUUAAAAGAAUAAAUAAUAUAUAAUAAAUGAAAAAGAUGAGAAAAAUUUAUAAAGUUUUUCAUUUUUUUUUUGUUAUUUAAGGAAAAGUUGAGAGAGAAACUAUUUACUCUCACGUUCAAUAGUUCUGCAAACUUUUCUCACUUUUUUUUAUUGGAAAAUGAGGAUAAUAUUUUAAAUCUGUUUGAUAACUGAUAUUUAUAGUCUAAUGGUGCACUCCAAUAAUGUGGCACAAUAUAUGUCAUGCUCAUUUGAUGGAAUAUAAUUUAUUUAUUUUUUUAAUAAUUUGAGAAAAGGGAUUCCUUUGAACAAUAAUUUGAAAAGAAGAGUAAAACGAGCUAUGAGAAAAUGACCGUUUUGACUCAAAAUUCCAUUCCACGUAGAAAGUAUUUGAUUCACAUAUCUCUGACCACAGGAUAAGGUGGUUGCGCGUGGAAGAUAUCAACCAUGCACCACCUGCCAUGCAUUAAUUGAUUAAGAGGGGUUCCACUUCAAAAACCACAUAGAGCGGUUGUGGAUGUUAAGUUGUCAUUUGACUUAAAUUAGAUUAAACUAAUGGAGGACAAAGAAAUAGAGAAGUGUAACUUGAGAUCAAAGUUUGGAUUCUAGUUAACAAUUUAUAUAAAACAUAUUAUAAUAAUGUUUGUUUUAUAUAAAUGUAUUUUAAGGGCUAUUAAUUAUUUAUAUAACUCUUAACAAAUAUUCAUUAUAAAAAUAGUUAGGGAAGAUUUAGGAAUUAUUUAGAAAAUAUUUUGAGGUGAUCACGUUUGAAAAAGUAAAAGAAAAAAAAAAGGUAAUGGGGUGUCCAGGCUUGAAAGUCUGAAUGCUUUUAAUGAUGUUCAAAACUAUAAAGUCGAAUGGAUAUUCGAAGGUAUAAUUUCAUAUAUUUUAAAAGCCAUCCAACCCUACAUAUAUUUUUAUUCAUUUUCCAUUUUCAAGUGCUAAAAAAUAAAUAUAAUAAUUGAUAAAAGUAUCUAUAAUUUUAUAAAUUUUACAUACUUUUAAAACAUGUGAUAUUAUACCUUUAGAUAUCCUUAAAAGUGUUCGACUUUGUAAUAUAUAUAUAUAUAUAUAUAUAUAUAAAUUCUUCCAUUUUCCAGUGCUAAAAAAUGAAAAAAAAAAUUAUAAAGAUGGUAAAUAUGCACUUUUAACAUCAUCAAAUAUUAUUUAUUACAAAUGUUUUAAAAUAUUUAUUAGGAUUACUAAGAGAUUGAAAAGAAAAAAUGGGAGAAGAAAAACAAGAAGAUGAGUAUGCAUUAAUUUGAAAUGGGGUGUUUAGUCUUUCACUAAUGGAUCCUUGUAUUUAAAAAAAAAAAAAAAAGUGAUACUUAAAGAAAUUAGUGGAUACAAAUAUAAAUCAAAAAGAAAAAAAAAAUCCCAAGAUUCUAAAAUGUCAAAAUCACCUUUAUGCUCAUUUUGUUCAAAAGUCUAUAAAGUCAUCUAAUUAUCUAAUUUCCCAAUACCCCCUCCAAGGGCGUGACUAUCAUUUCAAACCUCAAGUCCUAAGACUUAAAAGUGCAAAUGACUCAAACAAUUAUCUUGUAACUAGAAGAUCACUAAUUACCAAAUCUUAUUUAGAGUAGUAAAAUAUACUAUAAUCCUCAAAAUUUAACUUCAGAAAAGCUAACACAUCAACUACUUUGCUAUUGUCCUAACAACUUCAAACCCAAAUGAUUCAAACAUAAUUAAUUUUUAACAUUUAAACAAUGUCCAAAAAUAAAGUUUAAACCAAAGCCCUAAUAAAGACAAAUUCUUAGCCUAACUAUUAGUCUUCGCUUGAACUGAGAGUAUCUGAAAAAAAGAGAACGAGUCCAAAUCUAAUAAAAAAUAUUAAUAUUGUUUCAUGGAUCGAACAUUUUCAAUUAUGAUUAUAAAUAAGAGAUAUAAUGUACAAUUUUUUUUUUCAUAAAAACUUUGAAUUCAAACAUGUUAAAACAUCCAAAACUUUUCAACCAAAUAUUUUCAUAUGUAUAUCAAUAACAAUUUCAUAUCAAAUCUAAAUGAAAUGCAUUCAAAAUAUUUUUACUUUGAUUAUCAAAUAACAAAUAGUGUCUAAUUAGGUGGGAUUUUGUUGCCCAAAUAAGCAAAACUUUACAAAUGGGAGGUUACCCUCAAAUUUGUUCUUUUUAAAGUGGAUGGAACCCAAAUACUAUUAGUAUUAGUAACCUUUAACCAAACCCCUAGAGGCUGACAUUUAAAACAAUUACAUUUCCACUAAGAAAUGUAAAAGUCAAACAAUUAUAACCCAUUUAUUAGGGUAAAAAAAGUCAACAAUUAUAACCCAUUAAUUAGGACAUAAAAUGUCAACAAUAUAACCCAUUGACUAGGGCUAAAUAAACCAAAGUCAAACACUUUCUUUUAUUUAUUGAAACUUACAAAAACAUAAUGUUUUCAUUUUUUUUAUUAUAAACAAAAGAAAAUGUUCUUAUAUAUUUUUCAUGCAAAAUAUAUUUGACCCAUGCAUAGAAACAAAAAUAUCAUUUUAUAUAAUUCAAAAUAACAUAUAAAAAGAAAUUAUUUUCUUUUAAAAAAUUUGUAUUAAUUUCUCCUAUCUCAAAAAGCACUCAAAACUCUUAAGGAAUUUAUUGUUGAAGAAUCUAAUUCUCACCUAAAAAUAACAUAAGAAAUAACAACUAAGGUUUAUUACACUUUAUCCCCCAACCUAUAACGUGUUUUGCACAUUGCUCCUUUGAGUUCAAAAUUGAGUAAUAUACCCGUCAUCCUUUAUAAUUGCAUACAAUGUGCAUUUUUUAAGAGACGACGUUAUUAUUAUUAUUAUUAUUAUUGAUAGAAAGGCAUGUGCUCUCCACGUGAUUGAGUGCAAAAAUGUAGUUUUCUUUUUAAGUGAGGGUAAAAGGGUCAUUGUCAUUUUAAAACCCUAAACUCCAAUCCCUCUUCUUCCCUGUCGAUCAUUUUUCCCCGUUGCUGCUGUUGAAUCCCCAACCCAAAGCCCUAGAAUCCUAAGGAAGCUAAUGUAGGCUUUUCUUUCUCCAUUGUAUUCACCUCUCUCAUCUCUUUGCUUUAUUCGAUUUGUGGAAUUUUCUUGAUUGAAGGUCAUGACGGUGUGGAUUGAUGUUAUUUUAUUUUAUUUUAUUUUAUUGAAUUGCUUGUUUUGGAUGUGAGUGUGUUAAUUGAUUGGGGAAUUCACCAGCUUUCAAAAGAGUUGAGAUUGGAUUAUCUGCAUGUUGUUGGUUUGAAUUGUUUUUUGUUUUGGAUUGGGUUUUGAUAAUGUUAUGUUUGGUUGUGAAGACAAAAGUGAGGUUAUAAGAGGGAAAGAGAAUUUUGUGAAUUUAGGUUAGGUUUUGAAUUUUUUAUGCUCAACUUAGUUGAAUGAUUGUGCGAAUUUUUGUUUGAGUUUGUUGCUAUGUUUUUUCUCUGGAAAAUGGCAAGAGUAAAUCCUAUAGGAUUUCAAAAUUGAUUUUUUUUUCAUUUCUUUUGGUAAAUUUCAAUUCGGAUGAAUUGAUGUUGAAUUUAGAUAUAUAGGAUUAGAACUUGGGUGAGUUUUCAAAUUAUUUUUAUUGAAUUCAAAUUUUGUUGAAUUGAAGAAACAAAGUUCUCAUGGGGAUGACACUUUGCAUACAUCUCGAGUUGUUAUGACUUCAAAUGAAUUUCAUGCCUGAUUGAACAAGCUACUGAACUCUCAUUUGAAAAACCCUACUUUAACACCUAAGGAGACUGCAAAAGCAUCAAGAUCAACUGCCAAAGUGUAGUUAACGUGGUUGGGGUUGCUACUAAGGAGAAGACUACAAUUAUAUAAAGAAAAUGAUCCUUUUGCCCUCGAUCACGUGAAGAGCACAUGUGCCUUCCGUAAAAAAAUGUAACACCGUCAUUAAAAAAUGUACAUUGCAUGUAAUUAUAAAGCAUGAGGGGUACAUUACUCGAUUUUAAACUUAAGGGGGAAAUAUGCAAAACACUCUAUAGGUUGGGGGAGGGGGGGGGGGGGGAAAAGGUAAAAAAACCCAAAAACCAUUACUAUUAAUUAUUUUUUUAAAAAUUUCGGGUUUAAAAACCCAAAAAAUUUCCAUGUUAAAAUUAUUUUCCCCCAAAUUUUUUUUUCACCUCCUAUAAAAAAAAACUUUUUUAAUUUUGAUUUAAAAAAAAAAACCAAAAAUAGAAAAUUUUUUUUUAACAUAUUUUAAAAAAAAUUAAAAAAAUGUUAAAAAAAUUUUAAGGUUCCCAAAAAAAUUUUUUUUCUUUAAAAAAAAUUUAAAAAAAAUUUNNNNNNNNNNNNNNNNNNNNNNNNNNNNNNNNNNNNNNNNNNNNNNNNNNNNNNNNNNNNNNNNNNNNNNNNNNNNNNNNNNNNNNNNNNNNNNNNNNNNUAACAACUAUUACUAUUAGUUAUUUAUCUAAAAUUAUCGGUUUGACAAUCCUAAUAAUUUCCUAUGUUAAUAUUAUUAUCACCAAAUUUUAUUUUCGACUUCUAAUAAAAAAUAACUAUAUAAAUUAUGAUUAAAAAUAAAACACUAAAUAUAGAAAUUAUUUUUUAAACAUAUUUAAAAAAAUAUUAAAAAUAUGUUAAAAAUAUUUUAGGCUUCCAAACAAACUUUUAUUCUGUAAAAAAAAUUAUAGAACAAUUUUCAUAAACUAUUCUCAAAAAUUGUUUUUCAAAACUGUUCUUGAAAACAAUUAUCCUAUUAUAAGCUCUUAAAAGCUCUCAAGUUCUUUGAUUGAUAUCAUAUAUGGAUGAAAACAAAAAUCACAUCUUAUAUUCGAUUUUAACAUUAAAUGCACUCCCCAACUAGCUAACUAUAUGCUACAUCACAUAUGCCACAUAUGCCUAGCUUUCUUAGAUUUCCCCUUUAUUCCUUAAUGUUUCCAGCUAUUUCAAUGAGUAAGGAUGGUCAUGAAAACCAUUGAGACUUCCAAGAUGCACUUCAAAAAAAAUUUAACCAAAAGAAAAAACUUGUCAAUCAAGAAAAGAAAAAGAAAAUAGUCCAGUGAAAAUACAUAAAGUCAUUUUUUUUUUCCAAAUUCAAGGAACCAAACCUAAAAGAAACUACAAAAUAUCAAACCAAAAUUGAAGAAGUUGUAAAUCAAGAUAACCUUUUAAAAAUCAAUUAGUAUAUAUUGAUUAUAUUAUAGUACUUAAUGACUUUAUUAUUGUCAAAAAAUUAACUUAAAGCAUAUCCAACAAUCUCUCAAUUUAAAUUAACAAAAUCAAUCAAAACAAAUAGCAAAAGUAGGCAUCUGGGAAAGUCAUGCAUAUGAGUGAAGGUCUCUUCAAGAUUUAAACCUCCACUUAGUAUAAACAAAUCAAAUUUGUCAAGGAACUUAUUAGGUAAAUCAGAUAUGUCACACACAUGCCUUCUAGAGGUUAUCGGUCCUUUAAAGCUAACACCUUUGAAGUCUAUGAUUAAUCCCAUUUUAAUGAGUGAUCUAAAGAGGAUCUAUAGUCUCCUGCAACAUGACUAGUUUCAAUGCUCAAAACGGUAAAGCCAAUGAAGAGUGUAGCAUGUUUCACUCCUACCAUAAGUAUAUAGAUUGAUGAAAAUGUAAUAAUCCUCAUCUUCACAAAUAAUAUGACUUAUUUGCAAGAAGUCAACCAUUGGAUUAACACUAAUUUAUCAUAGGAAGGGAUAUUCAUAUAUAAUAUGAAUGCAUUACAUCACAACUAUUUCUUUGCCUCUUUUUUCAUUGAACAUGAGAAAUCUCAUCAAAUUGAGUUCCCAUUGACCAUAACUUAACUAUAGAUUUUCAAUCUCAUUCCCCUUGAUGAAAUUCUCUCUGGACUUGACAUAUUGUGUAGCCAUGAUCCCAUGAAGCCUUACAUGAUUAUGUCUCACAUAAACAAGUCUAAAAUUCCCAUUAUCGAUCUCAUUAUAUGACUUAAGCAUUGUAACAAGAUUAUCACUACAAAUAGUGAUUGAUUACAUUGGCUUAUUUCAUAUAGACGUGUCUACCAAUAUAUUCCUUAGCCGCUUACCUACCUUUCUCACAAAUGAGAGGGGAAUGAAUUCAUUUCAUUGUGUAAUGAGAUAAACAUGCUAAGGCUAAGGUUGGGUUAGGUUAAGAACAAGGUUAUUUUUCAUAUGUUUAUUUUUGCCUUGAUUUUAGAUAGAGAGGUCCUUAUGUUUUUUUGUGAGUUUGAUGUAAAUUUUUACGUUUGUUCUAUUUCACCAUAGUUUUAAAUAUCAAUUACCUUGUUAGAUUUCAAUUUUUUAUUUUAUUUAUUUAUUUUUGGCUUCUCUUUCAUAUGGGCCCCAUCUUUAUUGUUAUUUCCAUGAUUUUAAUUUCAUUCUUUGUUUCUAUUCCACUUGGUGUUGGCAUCUUGUUGUCUGAGGUUUCUAUAAGAAUUUUUAAAUUUCCAUAGUAGAGUACAACACUCAUCCUUUGCAUCGUUUUUAUCAUACUUCUAUAAGAUAAGAGGAGAAUGAUUGAUCAUUUUCAAGAAAAGGUUUUAUUUUAAGUCUUUGCACUACUUACGCUAUCUCUCCUUAUUCAUGCAUCUAGAAUUUAAUACAUUAAUGACACUUCAUUUUUAUUUCACAAAAUGUGUAUGGGAAAAAAUAGAAAAUAAGAAAACAUACUUAGCAAGCUUGAAGAACAAUCAAGGUAGAUUGCCUUAGUGAAACAAAACUCAUGUGAGAAGAAAAUAGAGUUCUCAAUAUAAUGCCCACUAGGAAGGUGGCCCAAUUCUCUACCAACUAGUGUUAAGGUUGAAUAUGUGAAAGUGGAACAAGUUGUGAUGUUUACUAAAGGUUAAAGAUAAGUGGGUUUUGUAUUAAGAUAGAUACUAUAAUAUCUAUUUAUAUUAAUUCAGUUUUCCUAUUUUAGUUAAUUAUAUUGUAAAAAUCUACAAACACAAAUACAUGUAGACUACUGGGAACAUAAAUAAUUAUGAUAAGUUAAAUUGAAUAAUAAUUAAGUUUCCAAAAUUCUCCAUUGUACAUACAAACACAACUAUUUAGUGAACCAUAUGUUAUUAUUUUCAUAGUUUAUGUAAUUGGACAUAGGUUGACCAUUGUUUAUCUUUCAUUGCAACCAUGAAAUCAUACCUUAACAUUCAGUACUACAAAUGAUAAUAUUUCAUAUACAAUUGCUAAUAAAACAUACAUAUAAUGGUGAUAAAUAAUUGUCACUAAAACCUUUCUUUUAGUUGCAAUAUAAACUUGCCACUAAAAGCAUAAUAUUAGUGAUAAAAUAUUAUUGCGGCUAAAAGUUCACAUUAAUGAUAAUAAAUAAUUGUCACUAAAUUUCAUUAUUUAGUGACAAAUUUGUGUUCUUUUUAUUGUAAUUAUAAUUUGAAAUAGUGGUAACAAGUAUUGCCACUAAAAACAAAAUUUUACAUACAAAAAAUCUAUUGUGGCUAAAGUUGUAAUAAUUAGUGGCAAUAUUUUAAACUUGUGGCUACAACAAUUAGUGACAAUACUUAUAGUGAUGGUCUUGUGGCAACCAAAAUAUUAUCACUAAAUCUUUUAGUGACAAUUUUUAAACUAUUAGCUACAAUUUUAUUCGCGGAUAAAAGUGUAAUUUUUUGUAGUGGCUUAUAUAUAUAUUUAUAUAAUUGUUUGGAUUGGAUAUUUAGAUAAUAUUGGGUGAUAUAUGAGUGUAUACAAAAUGAUUAUAUUUACAAAUGUACAUUAUUUUAUAUAUAUCACCCGAAUUUACCAUCUUACAUUGUUCAUGGCACCUCCUCAUAGGAUAGCUUUUGCACUUUAAUCCUUCUUAUUUCUUUGUGAACUACUAGAGGGAAUAUCAAUGAUAUGUCUAUAUUAUAGUUAUGUUUCACCAGUACUGAUAAUCAAUAACAAUAUAGAACAUUUUCUAUACUACUAGUUCACAUGUGGUAUGAAGAAAAUACUAUGAUCCAGUUUUUCAAAUAAUGUCAUUUUCCUUGCACCAUUUACUUCUAACAACUAUCAACAACUAUAGGCAUUUAAAAAAUUGAAUGUUUAAUUUUGGAUCAAAAGGCCGGGGUUUCAUAGAUAGACACUAGAUAAGAAAUUCUUUCAAUGAAAAAAUUAUUUGAAUCAUCAAUUUCUUCAAGAAAUCUUCAUAUGUUAAUUAGUACUUGAAGAGAUCUUCAAAUUUUCAUCUUUUCACGACAUCUUGAAUCUUGAUGGAAUUUCUUCAACAACUGUAAAAAUUUUGGUCGGUGUUUGAUGUGUGCUUUGAAAUGAGAGGAGACCUCCACUUAUUGGGUUGGAAAAUUUAUUUUAAUAUUAUCUCUUUCUUUCCUAGAGACAAUCAUCUUAUUUAUUGUGAUAAUUAUCAUUUAUUUUAAUGAUCAUAAUUAAUUAAUUAAGAUAAUUAUAAUAUUCUUUUUCUUUCUCACAAUUAAUUGAUUUCUUAUUAUUUUUAAUUUAUCAAUUUUUUUAGCAAGAUCCAUUUGAUAAGUGUCAACUAUUAGGACAUUGAGUCUUAUUUAUAUGUUGGUAAUUUUGUUCCAAUUUAUGUUUGAUCAUAGAAGUCUUUUUAGAUAGUGAAUUGCUCUCCAUUGAAGAUCAAGGGUUACUUUUCAUCCAAUUGGGAAGUCACAAGUACAUUUUAAAAGAUUUAGGUUGUGACAUAUGAGGCUUCGUUGAGGUAUAAAAAGGUUCAGUAUCAAUUUUGGACUUAUAAUUUUUUUUAAAUAAUUUUUCAAAAAAUAGAGGAUGCUCAAGUGGUUAAUCCCACUUAUAUGGUCAGCCUGCUCAAGUGGCAAUGAACCCUCAAGUGGUCCAAGUCCACUAAAGUGGUCAUGUUAGUCCUUCCAAGUUUAGAAAUGUAUUUUGGUUGAAUUUUACUCAAGCUCUAAUUUGGAAACUUAAGAUGUCGGGACUCUUUUGACUUGUGCAUAUAUAUAUAUAUAUAUAUAUAUAUAUAUCUCAAAUAAACCCUUGAGGGUUAGAGAUUCGGGCUAAGAGAUUGUAGAGAUCUAAGAGUUUAGAGAUCUCUUAUUCUUUAGGGGGACUUCUUGAGAGAAAGCCUUAUUGCCAUGCCACUUUUUAUCUCUCAUUCAAGGAUUGGAUCUUUGAAUUGUUGGUUGAUGACUUAAAUCCCUUCGGAGGGACUAAAUGAUCUACUAUGGAGCAAAAGGGAGUUGUUGCGUUGUAGAUGUGGAUCAAGUUAUAGGUACUAAAAAGUAAGCCUUUAGGGUAAAGCGGUUAGGUAAAUCUAUGUAACUUGAUUUCAAAUAGUGGAUUUAGAUUGGUACGUCUUAGACCUCAUGAUUUUUUAUCUCCACAAGUUUGUAAGGGUUUUCCACUUAAAAAAUCUCAUGCCUCAUUGUCUAUUUCUUUAUAUUUGUUAUUAUGUUUAAAGUGCCUAUAUUAAGCUAAUUUGAUUAAUCCUAAUAUAUUACAGGGCUUUCCUAAAAAGUGCAUAUCUAUUUAUUCCUACUCAUUUUCUAGUUGAUAACUUUGAUUGGUUAAUUGAUUAUUGAGUUAAUUGAUUUGUUAUCUUGGUGGUUGUGGUGGUUAUACCCAUAACUAAUUAUUGAUUAAUUUGUUGAUAUUAUUGUUGAGUUUGAUAGGUUGGUUAUUCUGGUAGUAAUUAUUAAUAUCCUUAACAUAUCUUAACAUACAUCCUUAAUCUUUGGAUAUCAAUUAACCAUAAAAAAUCAGUUGUUUAUUUGGGGCGAAUUAUUGAGAUAAAGUUUAGACAUAUUUUAUAAAUAAUUUAUUUAAAAUUUUUUAAAUCACCCAUUCACACCUCUCUGGGUGUUCCUUACUAGACUUUCAAUUAUUAUUUGAGUGGUAUUUGAGCAAUACCCAUUUUUCAUCAACAAAUUAUUAAUUAUUGACGCUUGACUUUUAAUAAGUGGACAAAAUUUGUCUUUGUACAUAUUUCUUUCAAUAUUAAUCAUUGUUAGUUAGUGGCAACCAUCUACUCAAACCGGUAGGGAGUUCUUCAUAUAUUUAAUGAUUUCUUGAAACAUCAGAAAAUUCUUUCAAUGCUUAGGUUUAUUUUUCACUAAUGGCCAGUGUUAAGGCUAUGGUUAGGUUAGAUUAAGAACAAAGUUAUGUUUCAUAAGUUUCUUUUUGCUUUGAUUUUAGAUAGAGAGGUCCAAAUGUUUCUCUAUGAGUUUGAUGUAAAUUUUUGCGCUUGUUCUAUUAUACCAUAGUUUUAAAUAUCAACUACCUUGUUAGAUUCAUUUUUUUUUCUUUUUUGGCUUCUGUUUCAUAUGGGCCCCAUCUUCUUUAUUGUUGUUUCCACGAUUUUAAUUUCAUUCUUUGUUUCCAUUCCACUUACUGUCGGCAUCUUAUUGUCUACGGUUUUGGUAAGAAUUUUUAAAUUUCCAUAGUAGAGUACGACACUCAUCAUUUGCAUCAUUUUUAUUAUACUUCUAUAAGAUAAGAGGAGAAUGAUUGGUCAUUUUCAAGGAAAGGUUUUAUUUUAAGUCUUUGUACUUAUGCUAUCUCUUGUUAUUCAUGCAUCUCGAAUUUAGUACAUUAAUGCCACUGAUUCGUCCCUAGCAGCGGCAGUGGCAAUGGCACCAUUUGAUUCGGGGUUCGAUCCCCAGCAACGGCGCCAUUUGAUUCGUCCCUAGUAGCGGCAGUGGCAAUGGCACCAUUUGAUUCGGGGUUUGAUCCCCGGCAACGGCGCCAUUUGAUUCGUCCCUAGCAGCGGCAGUGGCAAUGACACCAUUUGAUUCGGGGUUCGAUCCCCGGCAACGGCGCCAUUUGAUUCGUGCCCAAUUGGUGUCUCAGCUGAUUCGUGUCCAGCUGGUGCUCCUUGAUUGAGGGAGUAAUCAACAAAAUUUAUAACCUAUUACACCAUAUACUAGGGUAGCAAAGACAAAGCUACUAUAGAAUAGUGGCUCUAGGAUCGUUCACUGGGAUGGGUUUUCACUUUGCAAAUGAUAUUAAUUCAAAGCUGAAUUGGUGUCUUUUCAUUUUAAGGUUAGCUUUAAAAGAAAACAUAAAGAUGUUUGAAUGAAAAAGGUUUAGAUUUAAACUAACCAAAAAUAGUAACUGAUUUUACUUACAAAGAAAAAUGUUUCUUGGAGUUUAGAUCACUAGGCUCAGGUUCCUCAUACAAAAAGGAGAGUUCCGGUCACUUGUUUCUUUUCCUCGCAUUAGAGAAUUAACAUAUAGUUCAUUCUCCAACCGGUGUUGUACAGAUGCUUCCCAUUAAUGGGUUCAAACACUAAAUCCCUCUCACUGAUGCAUCUUGCAAUGACUCAUACCUCUCACCUAGCACUUGCCAUUCAAGGUGAUCUUUAACCUUGGAUUACCCAUCAAAAGCUCGCAAGAGAUAACUAAUGGAUGUCUCCUUGGAGUCCAAAAGCUUACCAAGUGUUGGCUAUUCUAGAAAAUCCUACCUUCAAGUCACCUCCCAUAAGCUCGCAAGAGAUAAACUAGUGAAUCUCCAUGGACGGAGAUCACUUUCCUUACCAAGUGUUGGCCCAAGUGACUUCAAGGCGUUUUAAGUUAACUAAAAAGAUAAAAACCAUUAACGGGUCACACUUUCUCUUCAUUAAAAACUAAAACAACAAAACUUCCAAUUUAUGCAUGUGGAAACUUACCCGGCUUUCCUCACUCCAAGAGACAAAGAGCCUAGCCUCUCAUCCUCUGAGGAAAAAUCCUCAGAGUUUGGUUGGCUAGAAAUAAAAAGAAAUGAAAAAUGAAAGAGAAGGAAAAACAGAGCAAGGCUCUGUAUAUUCUAUAUAUUGAUCGAUAUUACAUAUAUGAUUCUCUUACAGUGGAUGCAAGGGAAUAUAUAUAGAGACGUUUUUCCAACCUUCCUAACUAAGAAAUCUUAUGGUUGGUGGAUUACAAGGAGAAGAAUGGAAAUUCAUACAAAAAUAUCUGAAGAAAAAUAUCCCAAAGUGUCGGUCACAAAUAUCGGGGUACUUCAGGAACCAUUUCGCAAGAGAAAAUGGUGUCUGCGAGAUUUCGCAGGUACUCAAGAAGGGCUGCGAAAUCACUUCGCAGCAACAAGCUAUCCUCGCAGGGCUGCGAAGUUGGCUUCCACCUUGAGGUUCUCAGCUUCCAGCUUGCGGCAUAUAUAGGGUAACUUCAGGAGGAAAUCCACAACACUGUGCAAAAAGGCUGCGAAAUUCUCGCAACAAAAGGCUGAUUUCGCAACACUUUGCAAAUUUCUUCCUUCAACUUAGAGUGAUCGACUUGCAGUGGCUGUAACUUCUUCAUUUCAACUCCAAAUUGCGCACCGUUUAAAGCAUUGGAUUCUUGACUUCCUGAGAUUUGAAAUGGUAUAUAUUAUGUAGAAAUUGGACUUCAAGAAGUGCUCCAAAAGUGGCUGACAUGACUGUCAUCAAGAAUGCUUCAUGGCAGAUUUCUCUUUGCUUUCCCUCCUUGCAUUCCGGAUUUGCUUAUGGCAAAGGACUUCAAAGCUUUGGUUCUUCAUGAAUUUGAGCUUCCAAAAGCUUUGCCAUAACUUGUCCAAGUAGCUCCUCCAUCAUUUGGCAUGCUUGAAUUGAUUCAUAAGCUGAUAAAAACAUGUAAACUUGCCACAAAAUGGUUAAAACCAAUUACUAAGGAUCUUAAUGAAUUAAUUGGGUUAAAUGAAUAUGAUUACUACUCAAAGGUGCUUAAAACCAUUAUAAUUAGGUCUACAAAAUAGCACUUUUUGGUAGUAAUCAGCCACUUUAUUUUCAUUUCACAAAAUGUAUAUAGGAAAAAAAAAUAGAAAAUAAGAAAACAUACUUAGCAAGAUUGAAGGAACAGUCAAGGUAAAUUGCCUUAACGGAACAAAACUGAUAUGAGAAGAAAAUCGAGUCCUCAAUAUUAUGCCCACUAGGAAGGUGGCACAAUUCUCAACUAAUUAGUGUUAAGAAUGGAUGUGUAAAGUGGAACAAGAUGUGAUAUUUAUUAAAGGUUAAAGAUAAGUGGGUUUUGUAUUAAGAUAGAUAGUAUUUAUAAUAUCUAAAAUUAUUCUCAAUCAUUAAGAUAUAUUAAUUUAAUUUAUAUUUAUUUUCCUGCUUUGGUUAAUUAUAUGGUUAAAAUCUAUAAAAACAAAUACAUUUAGACUAUUGAGAACGUAAAUAAUUUUGAUGAGUUAAAUUGAAAAAUAAUUAAGUUGCCAAAAUUCUCCAUUGUACAUACAAAUAUAACUAUUUUGUGAACCAUAUGUUGUUAUUUUCAUAGUCUAUUUAAUUGGACAUAGGUUCACCAUUGCUUGGCUAUCAUUGCAACCAUGAAAUCAUACCUCAACAUUCAAUACUACAAAUGAGAAUAUUUUCAUUUUCAAGGAAUCAUACCUCAACAUAGGAGAAUGAUUGCUCAUUUUCAAGGAACGAUUUUAUUUUUAGUCUUUAUACUUAUGUUGUCUCUCUUUAUUCAUGCGUCUUGAAUUUAAUACAUUAAUGCCACUUUAUUUUCAAUUUACAAAAUGCGUAUAGGAAAAAAAAAAUAGAAAAUAAGAAAACAUACUUAGCAAGCUUGAAGGAACAGUCAAGGUAGAUUGCCUUAACAGAACGAAAUCAUAUGAGAAGAAAAUUGAGUUCUUAAUAUUAUGCCUAGUAGGAAGGUGGCACAAUUUUCAACUAAUUAGUGUCAAUGUUGAAUAUGUAAAGUGGAACAAGAUGUGAUGCUUACUAAAGGUUAAAGAUAAGUGGGUUUUGUAUUAAGAUAGAUACUAUAAUAUCUAAAAUCAUUCUCAAUCAUUAAGAUAUAUUAAUUUAAUUUAUAUUUAUUUUCCUACUUCGGUUAAUUAUAUGGUAAAAAUCUAUAAAAGCAAGUACAUUUAGACUAUUGGGAACAUAAAUAAUUUUGAUGAGUUAAAUUGAAUAAUAAUUAAGUUGCCAAAAUUCUCCGUUGUACAUACAAACACAACUAUUUAGUGAACCAUAUGUUGUUAUUUUCAUAGUCUAUGUAAAUGGACAUAGGUUCACCAUUGCUUAGCUCUCAUUACAACCAUGAAAUCAUACCUCAACAUUCAAUACUACAAAUGAGCAUUUUCUCAGCCUCGAAUUCAAGCAACACCAAGCCAUGGAUUGGGCCUUAAUCUAACCAUAGAGUAAACCCUUCUUGUGUUGUUUCAUUGCCUAUGGUGGUGUGCACUGAAGGCCCCUCCCAUAGGUGCUUAGAAGCACAUUAUCUUAAUUUCUUUUUCAUAUCUUUGAUCAUACAUUAGGCUAGUUUCUUAAGUUGGAGUGUGAGACUGUUUGGUGCUAAAAUACUUUAUUUUGAUGUUAAAAAAAAAAAAAAAGGUAGAGCUAUUGAUAGCUUCAAUAAACAUAAAACAUCUUGUUUUUAGUUAUGUAAAAAAAAAUUAAAUUAUUCCAAUUUUAUUAAACAUGAAUCAUCUUACACACAAUACUAAAAUAAGGUAUUUUUCUGGAAAAAAAAAAAAAGGAUUCCUUGUGUGUGAAAACUCUUUCCAAAGAGAGAAACCCUUUAGAAAAAAAUAUUAAAAUUCAAGUAAAAUCUCUUAAUGAGUGGAUGCAAUUUGGCGUUACGUUGUAAAAAACCAAUCACACAUAUUACUUGAGAAUAGUAGUCCCAUUCUAUAUAAUGGUAGCUAGGGUGGAACCCACUCUUUUUAAAAACCUAAUACACAUUGAUUCAUUGAACCUUAGCCUUCAAAUAUAUAAACAACGAUAAGGCUCAAGUUGGCAUAGGUGUUCGAGGAUUACUAUAAAAAAUGACUCUAUUCUUGUAUUAAACAUAAAUAUAUGAUUAUGCUUGUAACAUUGUGUUGACAAUAUUAACACAUAGAAAGUGCUUAUAUAUAUGCAAUAUCGUUUGGAUCCAAUAUUUGGAUAAUAUUGGGUAACAUAUGAGUGUGUAAAAAGUCAUUAUAUAUACAAAUUUACAUUAUUUUAUAAAAAUCACCUGAAUUUGUCAUCUUAGAUUGUUCAUGGCACCUUCUCAUGGGACAUCUUUCGUACUCAAAUGCUUUAUACUCCUUUGUGAACUGCUAGAGGGAGUAUGAAUGAUAUGUCUAUAUUAUAAUUAUGUUUGACUAGAAUUGAUAAUCAAUAGCAAUAUAGCAUCUUUGCUCUACUAUUGGUUCACUUGUUUUAUGAAGGAAAAUACUAUAUGAUCCAGUUUUUCAAACAAUGUCAUUUACAUCUAACAACUGUCAACAAUUAUAAACAUUUAGCAACCGUUGGUGACAUCAUCAUUGGUAAUCUGGUUCUUUAGUAGGCUAGGGUUAAUGAUUUUUUACAUGUAAAUUUUCUAAAAUAAGAAAAUUGUUGGCAAAAUUUUAUGUUGAUUUAUUUAUACUCUAUUGUCUUUAAUAUGCCCUUUGAUUCUUCAUAUCAAGACACAAACACCCUUUUAAACAAUUUAAUGUUUGAUUUUGGAUCAAAAAAUUGGGGUUUCAUAAAAACCAUUAGAUAAUAAAUUCUUCCAAUGAAAAAAAUCUUAAAACCAUUAAUUUCUUCAAGAAAUCUUCUUAUAUUCUUUAAUUGUUCAAGAGAUCCAAGUAUUCAUCUUUUCAUGAAAUCUUGAAUCUUUAAGGAAUUUCAUUAAUAACUGUAAAAAUUUUCAUUAGUGUUCAAUGUUUGCUUUGAAAUGAGAGAGAACCCUCUACUUGUUGGGUUGGAUUUUUUUUUUUUUUUUUUGGCUUCUUUUGAAGAACAUAAACUAUUUUUUAAAAGGUUGAAUUUCACCACACUUUACUGAUUGUUUUCUAAAGAAUAAAUAAACAAUACAUACUUUCUUUACACAGAAAAUGGAAUAUUACACAGAAUAGGUAAGUAAGAUUUCCUUCCAGCCUUGAUUUUCCACAUUACAAAUAUGGAGAGGCAGAUUGCGUUAUCAGCUGGCUGAUUUUCCACAGUACAAAUAUGGAGAGGAAGAUUGCGUUAUCAGUUGGCUAUGGAGAGACAGAUUGCGUUAUCAGCAGCAGCUGGCUGAGUUGGAGUUUCCUUUAUCAGCCCCCCGCAAGCUAGUGAGUGGUAACUUGUGCACUCCUAGCUUGAAUCGAAAUAAUUGGAAUGAAGUCUUAGGGAGUGCCUUUGUGAAUUUAUCAGCUACUUGUAAGGACGAUGGAAGGAAACGAGUAAUCAAAACUCCUCUUGCAACUUUUUCCCGAACAAAAUGAUAGUCCAACUCAAUAUGCUUGGAACGUGCAUGGAAAAUAGGAUUUACUGUCAUGUGAAGGGCACUGAGAUUAUCGCAUAGCAAUUGAGGAGGUUCACGUAGUUGAAUGCCAAUAUCACGGAGAAGGAAAGUAAGCCAAGUUAUUUCUGCGGCACUGGAUGCAAGGGAUCGAUAUUCGGCCUCAGCGCUUGAUCUAGAAACUGUAGGUUGUCGCUUUGAGGACCAUGAGAUACAAUUGGCUCCCAGAAAAAUACAAUACCCAGAUGUGCUUCUUCUUGUGUUUGUGCAUCCCGCCCAAUCAGCAUCACAAAAACCAGUGAGACGAAGAGAACUUUGCUUGAAAAACCUAAUUCCAUGCUCCAUUGUUCCUUUCAAAUAUCUAAGAAUGCGUUUGACAGCUCGCAAGUCAGCUUUAGUGGGUGCUUGGAAAUGUUGGCAAGCCUUGUUUACUGCAUGCACAAUAUCAGGCCUUGUGAAAGUUAAAUAUUGAAAGGAUCCAACAAGUUGCCUAUAUUGUGUAGGAUCAAUAGGUUGUUCAUCAAAAGAUGUGAUGAUGGACUUAAGAGCCAUGGGUGUGUUGAUAGGAGUACACUCCAUCAUUUUUGUGUGCUCUAGGAGAUCUCUAAUGUACUUUAUUUGAGAAACUAACAACCCAUUAGGAAGAUAUUUAACCUCCAAUCCCAAAAAAUAAUGCAAAGAUCCUAAGUCCUUGAGAGAAAAUUCACUACUCAGGGUGCUGAUGAGGUCACUAAUGAUGUUGUUAUCAUUGCCUGUGACUAUAAUAUCAUCAACAUAGAUAAGUAGCAAAACAAUAGACUGACCUUUGCGAAGAAUAAAUAGAGACGAGUCUGCUUUACCACAACAAAACCCCAGAUGAAGAAGACAUUGGGAUAGUCUAUCAAACCAGGCCCUUGGAGCUUGCUUAAGGCCAUAAAGAGAGCGAUUCAAUUUGCAGACAUGAUUCGGAAGGUCCUCAUUUAUAAAUCCUGGAGGUUGUUCCAUGAAUACUUCUUCCUUUAGAAACCCAUGUAGAAAGGCAUUCUUAACAUCCAAUUGCCUCAUUUUCCACCCCAAGGUUACUGCUAGUGAAAAGAUCAUUCUGAUUGUAGUAUGCUUUAUAACUGGACUGAAGGUCUCUCCAAAGUCCAAACCCGGUAUUUGAGAAAAACCUCGAGCAACUAAUCGUGCUUUGUAUCUAUCUAUGGUUCCAUCUUCCUUCAGCUUUGUUUUAAACACCCAUUUAGAACCCACAAUAUUUGUAGUUGGAGGCCUAGGAACCAAAUCCCAUGUUCGAUUUUGGAUUAAAGCCUUGAUUUCCUCUUGCAUUGCUUUGAGCCAAUGGGGAAUUUUCAAUGCUGUACGAUAUUUUUUUGGCUCACUAAUAUCACUUCUUGUGGCAGCAAAAGUAACCAUUUGAGAUUUUAAACUGGGAUCAUUCUUGAGUUUACUUCUGGUGAUCAUAUGAGUUCCUUUGUUAUCUGUGUGUUGGCCUUGAGGAGGAGAGAUGUCAACAACAAUUUGCUUGCUACUAUCAGGAACUUCAUCAUCAGCACUAUAACUAGUUGAUUUGUUUUGCAGAGAUGGAUCUACAUGCUCAUUUUUCUGCCAUUUUUGAGGAAAAGAUAGAUCAACUACUAGGUGCUUACUGAUAUCAGGAAAAUUACUAACCUUGGCAGGCUUGUAGCUAUUAGUAGACUCAAUCUGGGAGAGUGUUCCAGUAGUAGUAGCAGUGUGGGAAUUGUGGUCACUGGCACCAAGAGCAACAUCAGUGGGAGUUUCAGUAGUAACGACAGUAUUAUGGUCAUUUUUACUAGCAGCAACAGUGGAAAUUUCGGUAGCAACAGCAGUGGGAGUUCCAGUCGAAUUAACACAUGAUGCUUCUGUAUUUUGGUUAGUAUUGCAACGAGCAGAAAUUCUUCCUUCAACACUGAACUGGUUUCUUUGCUCAGUAGUGCAUGGGCAAUGGCUGCACUUCUUAGAGUUGCUUGAUUGGUUAGCAGUGUUCUCCUUCCAAGACUUAGUUUGGUGAUCUAUUUUUGAAGUCUCACAAGAAGCAUCUGAAGUUGAGAAUGAUACCAUUUCUAUAGGAAUCUAUAAAUGAUUUUCCUUAACAAGAGAGUUAUCAUAAGGAAAACAAUUUUCAUUGAAAAUGACAUGACGAGAUAUGUAAACUCUUUUAGUUGAAGGAUGCAAGCAUCUAUAACCCUUGUGUAGAGAGCUAUAUCCAAUAAAAACACAUGGAUAUGUCUUAGGUGAGAAUUUAUUCUUCCCGUAGUCUCUAAGGUAUGGAAAACAUUGACAGCCAAAAAUUCUUAAGCUCCUAUACUCUGGAUAUUGUUUGAAAAGCAUAAAGAAUGGACUUUCCAUUUUCAACACCGUGGAAGGCAGCCGAUUAAUGAGAUAUACGGCAGUAAGGAAUGCAUCUACCCAUAGACUCAAUGGUAGUUUGGCAUUGAAAAGCAUUGUUAGACCCAUUUCAACAAUGUGUCUAUGCUUUCUCUCUGCAACCCCAUUUUGUUCUGGAGUUCGUGGACAUGAGACUUGUUGCAAAAUUCCACACUUGCUCAAGUGAUUUUGAAAUUUAAUUGAUUGAAACUCACCUCCACCAUCACUUUGGAAGAUUUUUAUCCGUCUUUCAAGUUGAUUCUCAACCAGAAUUUGAAACUUCAAAAAACAUUCAAAGAAAUCUGAUUUUCUUCUCAAGGGAUAAAGCCAUGUAUAGCGAGUAUGAUCAUCAAUAAAGACAGCAUAAUACUUGUAUCCUUGAGUUGAAUUAUUUGGUGCAGGUCCCCAUAAGUCACAAUGAAUUUUGUCAAGAGGAUUGCUAGAAAUUUUAUUUCUUAAGCCAAAAGGAAGUUUACAGCUUUUUCCUAACUGACAACUAACACAUACCGUUGCUGAUUUCAUCCAACUGGAUACCUCAAUGAAUUUCUUAUCUUGCAGAAGCUUUAUAGAUUUUGUUUGCGGAUGCCCCAUGCAUUGAUGCCACACUUCUGAUGAUGCCUUGCUAGACCUAGUAACAGUCAUGGCUUGAAUCACAUUUUCCUCCAAUGCAUAGAGACCUUCCUUCUUAGUUCCUCUGGCUAGCACUUGCUGAAGUUGAUCCUUAAUGACAAAACCAGUUGAUGAGAAUUCUAUGGAGCAUGCGUUAUCAGAGGUAAGUUGUCCAAUGGAUAACAAAUUUUUCUUAAUUUCUGGAACAACCAAUAAUUUUUUAAGCUUUAGAUCUCUAUGUUUAGUUUUUAGUCUGGCUUCACCAAUAUGUGAGAUUCUUAAAGCUUCUCCAUUUCCAACAAAAAUUGCAUCAUGCCCUUUAUAUGGAAUUACUUGGGACAUCUUACCUGGGUCAUUUGUUAUAUGGGCUGUUGCUCCAGAGUCCACAUAAAAAUUAGGAUCCUUUUCUUCUUCAUGUAGAGCCAUAGCAGCCAAAGCUUGAGGAAUCUCUUCUGAUUGAUACGAAUAGUCAAAUCUGUUCCAGCAAUCCAAAGCUGAAUGGUUAGUUUUACUACAAAUUUGACAAAUAAGAGUACCUUCAGAUUUUUGAAGUUUCUGUUGUGGUGGAAACUGGUUGUUGAAGCUAUUUCUUGGAUUUCUGGUGCUGAUCUAUUGUGGUGGAAACUGGUUGUUGAAGCUAUUUCUUGGAUUUCUGGUGCUGGAAUGAACAUUCUGCCUUUGGUCACUGGUAGCAUUGUUAUUGAAUCGUCCUGCUGGAGUGAAGCCACGACCUUUAGAAAGAAAUCUUCCUCCUCGAUUUCUUCCUCUUCCUCGUUGGGUAAAAUAGGCUUGUUCAUGGUUUAUUGACUCCUUGUUCUCUUCAUUUUCUAUCAUAAUCAUUUGUUCAUGCCCUUGUAGAGCCAGAACAAAUUGAUUGUAAGAAGGAUACGGUGGCUUUGAUAACAUGGCCACUCGAAAAUCCAUGUAUUUAGUUCCGAGACCUUGAGCUAGUUGAAAAACUUUGUCUAGGUCACUUACUGGUUUUCUAACUGCAGCUAAUGCAUCACAAAUGCCUUUAAACUCCCUUAGAUAUUCAUCAAGGGACCUUGUGCCUUUCUUUACCCCUCGGAGUCUGUUGGUCAAUUGUACUUCCUUCUCUUUCGUCAUUGGAAGGAGCUUUUCUCCUAGAGAGUUCCAGACAUCAUAGGCAGUCUCUGUUCCAUCCAACAAAAGCAUCACUUCUUUUGUCAUGAGUCCAAGAAGCCAGGAGGUAAGUAGACCAUCAUUGUGAGACCAUGUCUCGAUUGACUGAUCAUGGGUCUCCUUUGUUUCAGUACCCAUUGUCUCCUCUGAUGCGUGUCUAUUUUCAGAGAGAUGAUGGAUUAAUCCAAGGCUUCGCACAAGAGGAAGAACUUGUGAGCGCCACAAAAGGAGAUUGGACAUAUUCAGUUUGAUGGAGACGAGGCUUGAGCAUUGAUGAAAAGCUUGAAUGCUAAGAACAUUUUCUGGGUUUGCCAUGGAAGCUUUGGAUUGUUUUAGGUUAACCCGCUCUGAUACCAUGAAGAACAGAAACUAUUUUUUGAAAGGUUGAAUUUCACCACACUUUACUGAUUGUUUUCUAAAGAAUAAAUAAACAAUACAUACUUUCUUUACACAGAAAAUGGAAUAUUACACAGAAUAGGUAAGUAAGAUUUCCUUCCAGCCUUGAUUUUCCACAUUACAAAUAUGGAGAGGCAGAUUGCGUUAUUAGCUGGCUGAUUUUCCAUAGUACAAAUAUGGAGAGGAAGAUUGCGUUAUCAGCUGGCUAUGGAGAGGCAGAUUGCGUUAUCAGCUGCAGCUGGCUGAGUUGGAGUUUCCUUUAUCAGAGUUUCCUUUAUCAUCUUUCUCAUAUGGGCUCCAUCUUCUUUAUAGUUGUUUCCAUGAUUUUAGUUUCAUUCUUUGUUUCCAUUUCAUUUGGUGUAAUAAGGAAAGAGGGUAAUUCUUCUACAGUUUGGCAUCAACGACUUGGACAUCCUUAUUCAAAAAUAUUGUCUUUGUUAAAAGAGCAGAAUAUUAUUGAUUUGUCUCAUUGGAUAUCUAAGCCUAAUAUUUGCAUUAGUUGUCAAAUGGGAAAAAGUUGCAAACUUCUUUUCAAAAGCAAUAAUAAAAUCUCCAAGUUUCCCUUUCAAAAAAUUCAUUGUGAUAUUUGGGGACCAACUCCUAUAGCUUCAAACCAAGGUUUUCGAUAUUAUGCCAUUUUUAUUGAUGAUUUUAGCAGAUUCACUUGGUUAUACCCUCUCAAGUGAAAGUCUGAUUUCUUUAGUUGUUUCAUCUAGUUUCAAAAACUUGUUGAAAAAAAAUUGGAUUCAAAAAUUAAGAUUUUCCAAUGUGAUGGAGGAGAAGAGUUCAGUUCAAUUGAAUUUAUUAACCAUGUUCAAUGUUGUGGCAUUGAACUCCAUGCGUCUUGUCCAGGAACUACUCAACAAAACGGUGUAGCAGAACGAAAACAUCAACAUAUAGGUGAAAUUGGGCUUACAAUGUCAUUUCAUGCUAAUAUGCCCUAUCUUUAUGGGUAGAAGGCUUUUUCCACGGCUGUGUUUGAUUAAUCAUUUACCAUCUUUAGUCUUGCAGAAUGAAAGCUCAUAUAAAAAACUUUACAAAAGACAUCUAGACUAUAGUGGUUUGCAGGUAUUAGGAUGCCUAUGUUUUCCUUCUCUUCGAAAUCAAGGGGGUUCAAAAUUGGGUUCAAAAUUUGUCAUAAAAACAUAUCCGAAUUUCCAAGUUUGGACGAAUGGAUUGGCAAAAUUGAUGACUCAUACAAAAUCCUUUCAAACAAGGAGAUUUCUAGAAAGGAAAAAUCAACAGCCUUGCCUAUUUCUGACUUUACAAAUUGUUGCGACUUUAAUGCUGAUUCUCCACAAAAUAAUGUUUCAGUCCCGAAUGCUCUAAUCUUUGAAAGUCAAGCAAAUCAAGAUGCAAUAUUUCCAUCAUCUACUCCAGUAGAUUCUCUCCCAAACAUGGAAGGCAUCUCCACACACCUUGACAUCCAUGACGUGAAAUGCUCAGAUUCAAGCUCUCACAUUUCCCUUCAGGAAGCCUUGAAAGAUCCUUGCUGGAUAGCUGCUAUGGAAGAGGAACUUUCUGCCCUCAACACUAAUGAUACUUGAACUUAGUUCCAAGGCCGCCUAGUAUUAAUAUUGUCGGCUCCAACUGGAUUUAUCACAUUAAAACAAAGGAAGAUGGAACCAUAGAUCGCUUCAAGGCUCGUUUGGUUGCAAGGGGAUUCACUCAAAUUUCUAGAGUUGAUUAUGAUGAAACCUUCAGUCCAGUAGUUUGACCAACAACCAUUAGGUUAGUGAUUGCUCUCUCCCUAUCCUUCAAAUGGAAGAUAAGGCAACUUGAUGUUAAAAAUGCAUUCUUGCAUUGUAACCUCAAAGAAAUUGUCUACAUGGAGCAGCCACCAGGGUAUAUUCAUCCAACUAAGAAAGAUCAUGUUUGCUUACUUAAAAAAUCACUCCAUGGAUUGAAAUAGGCACCUCGUGCCUGGUUUGAUAGACUCUCUAAAUAUCUUCUGCACCUUGGAGCACGUGUGAUGCCUCUUUUUUUAUAUAUUACAUCCAUUACUCUCAUUUAUGUAGAUGAUAUUCUCCUUACAAGGAAUAACGAUGAGUUUCUCCAACAUCUAAUCUUCAGGUUGAGUCAUGAGUUUAUAAUCAAGGAUCUCAGAUCAUUGCACUAUUUUCUUGGAAUAGAAAUGAAGCCAUUUCCUAGUGGAGUGUUCUUGUCUCAACACAAAUACACACAAGACAUUCUUCACAAAACAAAAAUGUUGGAGAGUGCUCCCCUUGCUACACCAAUGGCUGUAAAAGACAACUCUUCGAACUCAGAACCCGUUGAUGCUACCCUUUUCCGCAGCAUAGUAGGGGCUCUCCAAUAUCUCACUUUCACAAGACCCAACAUCACCUUUGUAGUAAAUAAAGUGUCUCAAUUCCUUAGCAGCCCCACUUUUAGCUAUUUGAAGGUUGUAAAAUGGAUAUUGCGAUACUUAAAUGGGACACAACAUUUUGGUCUUCGUUAUAUUGCCCAAAGCCCUACCAACCUUUAUGCGUUGAGUGAUGCAGAUUGGGCUAGUUGCACCACAACAAGGAAGUGCAUCACUAGUUUCUGCACAUUCCUUGGUACCAAUUGUAUUUCUUGGUGUGCUAAGAAACAACCCACUAUGUUUCACUCCAGCAUUGAAGCCGAAUAUCGUUCUAUGGCCUCCACCAUAACUGAGAUAACAGGGCUCGCAUUUCUUCUUCAAGAUAUUGGUGUUCCCUUGGCACAACCCCCAUAAUUAUUUUGUGAUAAUAUCAGUGCCCUUUACAUGUCACUUAACCCUUUGUUUCAUUCAAGAUGAAAGCACAUUGAGCUUGACUACCACUUUGUCCGAGAAAAGGUUGCAGUGAUUCAUCUUAUCACACGACACAUCCCUUCAUCAUCUUAGCUCUCUGAUAUCUUCACCAUGCCAUUACCCAAGGCUACCUUUCAGGUGUUCAGGAACAAACUGGGUGUUCAACCUCAACCACACACUAGUUUGAGGGGGCAUGUUAAGAAUCUAGUCAAGAAGAUUCUAAUACAGCUCAAGAGAAUAAAAUCUCCAAGCUCUAGGCUGUAACUCUAGAGAAUAAAGUCACAGAGAAUAAAAUUUCCAAGUUGCAGGCUGCAAAGGAAGGAAAAUAAACAGUGUGUAUAUUAAAACCUGCUAGUCAAUGAAAAUAGCAUCAACUUCAUCCAUUCCUUUCUAAACUUUCUUUAGAAAGCAUAGGUUGUAUCAUUUUUCUUUUCAAGAAAACAACCUUUAACUCCCCAUUGGAUCACUUUGAAAUGAAUUUGAAGGUGAUAUCAAAAUAUUCUACUCAUCUUAAGCUUUUUUAUGUAAUAUUUUGUCAACGUUUUAGGUAAAAUUAAUGAAGAAAAUAUGAUUUUUUUUUUCUCUUGCAAAUAUAAGGAUCCAUCUUAGAAAAGAGUGUUUUUUUACCAUGAACUUCAAGACACCAAAAUUAGAAAACAGGUAGACUAAUGAAAUCCCAAGUCCAAAUGGAGAAGAUUGAUUGCAAUUGGGAGGCCUACAACAAUCAGGAAAGGAUCGCAUGGAACCCACAUACCAAGAAGGCAUAAUAACAAAGUGGAUUGUUAUAGGGCAUGUGUUAGCCAUGCUCAUGUGUACAACCAAUGCGUGAUAGUGCUAUCCUAUGUCCUUUCUUGACACUGACUGCAUGUGAUAUAUCCCCUCAUUUUUCUUUGUAUUUGUUUGAUUUUUUAAAAGUAAAAAGUACACUUCUUUUUUAGUAAGUAGGAAAGCGCUUGGGGUUCAUUGACCAUGGUUUUUAGGACAAAAAAGUUCCAAGAUAUAUAUAUUUUUUUUAUGUGAUGACCUCUCAUAUUUUUCCAUGAUUAUUUAGAUUUUUUUUUAUUUUAUUAAUUUUUAAUUAUUAAAUUUGUGUUUCAAGAAAACAAAAACCACAAGAAAAUUCUUGUCUAAGUUUUUUAGAAUAUUUUUGAGAUUAUUAGAGAACAUUCUAUUCUACAAGAAAUUUUUUAUUAUUUUAUUGUUUUUAGAUUUUUUUUCUCAUGCAUUUUAUUUAAGUGGAUUAUUAUUGUAAUAAUUAUUUUUGAGGCAUGAAAAAUAGAAAAUAAUUUUCUGUGGCAGAUUUUUUUUUCUUUUUUUUUGCAAAUUUUAAUUGCUUAGUAGCUAAGACAUGUCUAGAUCUUGUUUACAAUCCUCGUAACAAGUCUAUAACCAUCAACAUCAAUAUCAAGUUGAGAGUUUCAUCUUUAAAACUGACCACUCUAACCAAAUAUAACUAGUUUAUGCAAAUGAAACUCAAUUUCUCUUAUACCCUACCUUUACCCACUUUUAUAGCCAACAUCAAAAUGAGGUGAUAGAUUUGCCAAAUCUCUCUCCCACUAAUUUUUUCAUAAUUGAAAGCUUCUUUGAUUUUAUUUCCAAGACCUCUUUAAUUAUGAAAACCUUUCUUGUAUGGUCCUCGAUUAGUGGGAGUUUAAAAAAUAAUUCCAUCAUCCCACCAUCCUAACGCCAACACCCCCAUCCCCAAAUCCAACUUGCCUUUUUAAGAACCUUUGAAGAAUCUAAGUCUUAUCCAUGCAAGGAAAGUGCAAUUUUACUUUCAUAGUCAACCAGUUAGUCUUACAAUCCUAGCUUCAUAUGAAAACAACUUGUACAAUUAUUUCCAAAAGAAAAUACAAGUUAGAAGAGAUAUCCUCAUCCCAAAAGGAAGUUCAUCACUUUUAAACUAAAAAUUUCAAAUUUCAAAUAAUUAUGAAAGGAUGACCUCUAAAUAUUCCAGCCCACAAGUCUACCAAAUCUUAAAAAUAAAUGGAAGAUGUUCAUAAUUAUGUCGAGUAAAAUAAAAUCCUUCCUUUAUGUUAUAAAACUUUCUAACCAAUUGCUUAUUUAAAUAAAAAUUUGCUGGAAAAAUUCCAGCCCCCAAGUCUAUCAAAUUGGACAUGGGUUAGCCAUCGAUUAGCUCACAUUGCAACCUUGAAAUCUCCAUUCAUCAGCUCUCAUUGCAACCUUGAAAUCAUACCUCAACUUUCAAUUCCACAAAUUAGCAAAUUCUCAGCCUCAAAUUUAAGCAACUCCCAGCCAUGGAUUUUGCCUUAAACCAGCCACUCAUUAGACUCCUUCUUGGGUUGUUUUGCUGCCCAUGGUGGUGUGCACCCAAGGCCCCUACCAUAGGUGCUUUGAAGCACAUUAUGCUUACUUCUUUUCCAUAUUACAAAUUUCAUUAAACAUGAAACAUCUUGCAUAGCAAACUAAAAUAAGGCUUUUCUAAAAACAAUUUUAUAAUUCCUUGUGUGUGAAAACUCUUUCCAAAAAGAAAGGCCUUAAAAAAAAAUAAAUAAAAUUCAAGUAAAAUCUCUUAAUGAGUCCAAAAAAUGUGGUUUUAAAUUAUAAAAGUCUAAUAUAAAAAUAUAAUUGAAUAUAGUAGUCCCAUUAAUUAUAAUUGUAGCUAGGAUGGGCUUCACACUCUUCUUAAAAAUCUAAUACACAUUGAUUCAUUGAACCCAAGCCUUCAAAUACUUAAAGGCCUAAUACAUAUUGGUUCGUUGAACCCUAGCAGUUAAAUAAUGAUCUAUGAAAUUCCUUCAACAGUCAAAUAAUCAUUUAAGAAAUUCUCAAUUCUCUCAUAUGAAGAAGAAGAAGAUUCCAAACAUGAGUCUAUUUUUUAUUAAUAGCAUGCAAAAUUGGAUCAAAGAUUUAGCAUAUGGUAAGCUAAUUCAUGUUUGAUUUGUAUUACUUUGGGAUUUCUUUAACUUUCAAUCAUUUGAAAGUAGAUGAAGUCAUAUUUUUAAAUUUUUAUGGUUCCUCUAUUUUCUUCUUGUUUUUAUUUUGAUAUUUGAUGUUAUUCUAAAUCUAAGACAUUCUUCCUCAUUUUCUUACAUAUUCUUUUAGGUUUCCAUGGUUGAAUACUAGUUAGUAUGCUCUUUGAUGCAUAACAUCUACGGGAUGUAAGUCAAGUGUGAGUUUUGUAUUGAUCCUAAACUUACAUAUACUUUCCAUAAUCUUAUUUCAUAAUUAAUUCUAAAAUGUGAAUUAUAUUGACUCUAAUUUUACACUUACUUCUCCUACUAUUUAUAUUUGAUUGUGAAUUCUAAAAUUCUUUAUUAUUACAACUCUAAAAGAAUUCAUUAAACAAAUAUACCUCACUAUUAUCUUUGGGCUAUUAUUGCUCAUAAGAUAUUGAUCACUAUGUCCUUUUACUAUUGCCAUUUUAAAUGUAAGAUAGAUACUAGUACCAUCUUCAAGUUUUAAAAAGUUGUGCUUAUUUAGAGCAUGACCAUAGUAGGGAGAGUUCCAUCGAUGUAAUCCUCAACCCGAUUGACAAUGAUUACAUUCAGAAACUAAUUUUUCUAGAUGAGGUAAUUGCUUUAAUCCAAUUUGAUUGUGAGUGGUUGGCUAAGAGUUGGAAGAGAUUGAUGAAUGAACUGAGUAGGGUAAGAUGUUUUGAAUCAAAAACUGGUUUCUGGAAAAUUUUGUUACAUGUUUGGAAUCUGUGGAGGAAUUUCAAUAUUAGAUGAGGGAUUUGUAGCAUAAGAGGUUCCAAGAGGGGUUGAUGAAGAUGAAUCCAUUUUGGAUUGAAGCAACUUUGAUACCAAAUUGGAUCUGGAAAAGAUAGCACAAAGGAAAAGAAUUCAAAGAGAAGAAAGGAAAAUAGUGUAAAGAGGCUCAAUUCAUUACUGAGCAGAGCAAGAAACAUUCUUUAUAUAAGCAGUUAUGUACACAUAGAGGGAAAUCUCACCCUACAUAGUAAUUAUUUACAAUUACUUACAGUGGUUAAAAAAAUUGAAUAUAUCUCCCCCCACACUUGCAAUGAGAAUAUCAACGACGACAACGAUCAGAGCGGUAUGGUUUCUAUAGCCACAGAUUUGGCAAGGACCACGGGGUCGAUUUCCAUUCCAAUUCGAAGAUUUCUUGUGAUUAUUAUUCUGAGAUGAAGUGGGAAGCAAUGGAACAGAAUUAGACUGACUAGCCCCCAUGUUUGCUUAAGGAAAAUCAGUAGAGCUCUUAAGUAAAAUUNNNNNNNNNNNNNNNNNNNNNNNNNNNNNNNNNNNNNNNNNNNNNNNNNNNNNNNNNNNNNNNNNNNCCCUAUGGGGGAAAUUCCCCCCCCCAAAUAUUAUUUUUUAAAAAUUUUUCCACGGGUUAAAAAAAAAAAAAAUUUGGUUAAAAAAAAAGAAAAUAUUUUCCCCCCCCCCCCCCCCCCCCCCCCCCCCCCCCCCAAAAAAAAAAAGAAUAUAAAAACUUAUGUCAUUCAUCAUCAUUUAAGAAAAAAGCUUAUCAAAUAACCUAUUAGAUAUUUAAACAUAUUGAGGGUUAACAUUGUUCAACUUUAUAUUGACAUAAUUAUUAUUUAUUAAAAAAACAUGAUCAUUUUAAAUACAAAUCAACUUAAAUUAGCUCGGUAUAUUGUUAAACUUAUUACCUAUCAGUUUUAGCUUUUAGGUUAAAUUUGUAGCUUAAUAUGGUAUUAACAAUAACAUUGAGAAUCACCAUUUCCUUCAUUUGAUAUCUCAUAUCUCGUUCACAUGUGAAGGAGAAAUAUUAACUUAAUAUAUAUUAUUGGGAUCCCAUGAGUAGCUUAACAGUUCUUUUAAUCUAUGCUGCAAACUACUAUCCACCACAAGUUGUACAAGCAAUAUAAUAUACUCUUGAUACUUUUAUUACAAUUAAGACUCUACAUUGAUGAAUUUCCUGAUUAAUCUUUGGAUAUCAAUUAACCAUUAAAAUUAUUAUUUGGGAGAAAAUCUUAAGAUAAAGUUUAGACAUAUUUUAUAAAUCCCCCCCCCCCCCCGCUAGGUGUUCCCUAUCAAACUUUCGGUUAUUAUUCGAGUGGUAUUGGAGCAAUACCUAUUUUUCAAUUGGUAUCAGAGCAAGAUAACAAACUGAUUCUUUAUCCUAUUGAUUAAAAAUUCAAUUUAUUAUUUUUUACAUUGUUUAAAAAUCAAAUUUUUAUUAAUCAUAUUAGAUAAAAAUCAAAUUUUUAUUAAUCUUAUUAAAUAAAAAUCAAACUUUUAUUGAUCUUGUAAGUCUGAUAUGGAAUAGUCAAAAAGUGGUGCUCCUUUGAAUAGUCUACUCUAUUAUGAUGGGCGUAAUUACUCCCAUUGGAAAGCAUGAAUGAUGUUUUUCCUCAAAAUGCAAGAUGAAAGAGUAUGAGACACAAUUGAAUAUGGUUAGGGACCAUCAUUAAUUCUUAAUGCUCAAGGAAGAUCAACAGGAGAACUUAAACCUAAACAUGAAAGGACAAAGCCGACACUGAAGGUAGUGAAGCCAAUGCUAGAACUUUAUUUAGUAUUCUUAAUUGAGUUUGUUUAGAUGAGUUUCACAUGAUAGCUGUUAGAGCAACAAUCAGAUAUAGUUUGUUUUAUUUGUAUCUAUCUUAUUGUUGUAACUAUCAUCCUUUAAUCAUGUAAGUAGUUAGCUGAUUUUAUGUUAUUUCAAACUCUGUAAUUUAGCUAAAGCUGCUCUUGUAUUCAUUAUUAACACAACAAUAUAAUACAAACAUUCAUUCUCAUAUUAUCUUUACAUGGUAUCAAAGCCCUCAUUCUAAUUUUUUGAUCAAUCAUGACUUCUUCUCAAAUGAUCCCUUCAAAUUCAAUCUCUUCUUCUACUCAUCAUACCUUCUUUGUCAAGCUUACUUCAAGAAAUUAUCUUGCUUGGAAAACUCAAUUUAAUCCUCUUCUUAAUUACCAAAAUCUGACUGGGUUUGUUGAUGGUUCAACUGUUGCUCCAUCGAAAACAAUUAAAGAUUCUUCUACUCUUCCUACUAAGAUUCCAAAUCCAGAAUAUGAAACAUGGUAUAAAAAGGAUCAUAUGUUUCAUUCCUGGAUCCUUUCUUAUCUUUCAGAAGAGAUAUUUCCUUAUGUUAUUGGGUUAUCUUCAUCUUAUGAAGUAUGGCAGGCUCUCUCUCAAGCUUUUGGUUCAAUUUCUCAAAACCGACAACUACAAUUGCACAUUGAACUCCAAGAAUUGAAGAAAAAUGAUCUCUUUGUCUUAGCAUAUUUGCAACGUGCUAAAGCUCUAGCUGAUGAGCUAAAUGUGGCAUGUCGUCCUCUUGCCCUAGCAGAAUUUAAUGCAAUAAUUUAUCGCAAUAUUGGCAGUGACUAUCAUGCCAUUAUCACUGCCUUAAAUCUUCGUUCUGAACCAGUGUCAUUUCAUGAACUCCAUGUUCAACUUAUUGCUCAUGAAAUUUUACUUAAGAGCUCUACUGAUCUUCCUUAAGCAAACAUGGUGGCUAGUCAGUCUAAUUCUGCUCCAUUGCUUCCCACUUCAUCUCAGAAUAAUAAUCACAAGAAAUCUUCGAAUUGGAAUGGAAAUCGACCCCGUGGUCCUUGCCAAAUCUGUGGCUAUAGAAACCAUACCGCUCUGAUCGUUGUCGUCGUUGAUAUUCUCAUUACAACUCUCACAACCAAAAUGCAACUUCUCAUGCUAAUUACUCUUCAGCUGGUCAUUCUCAAAAUAAUUGUGCAAGUUCUCAAGUUCCUGUUGCCAACUACACUCAUGGAGGUUCCACUAUGCCAUGGUAUCCUAACACAACAGUGAACUAUCACAUCACCCCUGAUUUAGCCAAUCUCAGCAUUGCUUAUGAAUAUAACGGACAUGACCAACUCCAUGUUGGUAAUGGACAAUGUUUGCAAAUAACUCAUAUUGGUAUCACAUCCCUUCCUUCAUAUUCUGGUUCUCUCUCUUUAAAAAAUGUUCUUUGUGUUCCUCAAAUUGUCAAAAACUUACUUUCAGUUCAAAAAUUUACCAUUGAUAAUUCCUGCUUCUUUGAAUUUUGGUCCUCUUAUUUUCUUGUCAAGGAUCAAGUGUUCAUGAAAAUCCUCCUGCAGGGCCUAAGUGAAGAUGGAGUGUACACUUUUCGCCCUAAUGUCAAGCAAGCAUUUACACCUGAAGCACCAACCAUGGAUGAAUGGCAUGCUACUUUGGGACAUCCUCAACGGCGUAUCUUGUCUAGUUUAAUCAAGCAAUUUCAUUUACCUUGUUCCAGUAAUUCUAGUUCUCUUUGUUCUUCUUGCAUUUUGGGCAAACAUGCUAGACUAUCUUUAGGAUCAGUUCAACAUAAAAGUACUGCUCCCUUUCAACUUAUUUACUCUGAUGUUUGGGGCCCCGCUCCUUUGUUGUCCAGUCUUGGCCAUCGCUAUGCUCUUAUUUUCAUUGAUGAUUAUUCCCGUUACACAUGGGUUUAUUUGAUUAAAAAUGAAACUGAUGUUUAUUAUGUCUUUCUUCAAUUUGAGCAAUUCAUUCAUCGUCAAUUUAAUCAGAAAAUUUUGGCAUUCCAUUAGGACGGGGGAGGGGAAUACCGAAAACUAAACACCUAUUUUAAACAAGUUGGCAUUGUUCACAGACUUGCAUGUCCUCAUACUCAUGAACAAAAUGGUGUUGUAGAACGGAAAAUUCGCCAUCUUGUUGAUACUAGUCUUGCACUUCUUGCUCAUGCUAAUUUACCACUACGGUAUUGGAAUUAUGCAUUUGAAAUGAGCUGUUCUUCUAUUAAUAAUUUGCCCACUCCAGUUCUUAAUAAUUCUUCCCCAUACUUUGUUUUAUUUCACAAACACUACUCAAAAGCCUUUUGGGUGCACUAUUUUUCCUCUAUUACGUCCAUAUAAUAACCAUAAGUUUGCAUUUCGGAGCACUCCUUGUGUCUAUCUUGGUCCAAGUCCCUCUCACUUGGGUAGUCGUUGUCUUAAUUUAUCAAAUGAUAGGGUCUAUAUUGCUAGGCAUGUUGUUUUUAAUCCUAGCCUCUUUUUGUAUCGUUCUCAUAUUGCAGCAUCUCAAGCUCCAAAGGACUAUUCAAAUUUCCCAUGGCUUCAUAUUAAAAGUGUACCUCCAUCAUCCACGAGUUCUGUUAGAAAUUCAGGUCAGACCUCUACUCCCUCUAAUAUUCCUUUAUUUUCUACCACUGAUCAAUCUUCAAAUAAUUCCUUAUUGUCAACUUAGUCCCCACCUUUGACCACGCCACCCUCCUCUCACUCUUCUAUCCCACAACAAUCACCUUCAUCAGAUUCAACCACUAAUCCUCCACUAUCUCUUAUUGUUGAUCUCACCCAUUAACUAGCUCAACUAAAUGUUGCGUCUUCUACCUCAACCUCUCCUCCUCAAAUUCACCCCACGCAGCUUCGUUCUUCCACCAUGCAAAAACGACAUGCUUGUCUUUCCACCAAAGCUAAAAAUUACCUUAUCACAGAACCACAAACCUUCACUCAAGCCAAACCAUACGCUGAAUGGUGUGAUUCAAUGCAAAGUGAAAUUAAUGCCUUGCUUCAGAAUCACACAUGGGUUCUUGUUCCUUGACCUCCAAUUGCCAAUAUCAUUGGUAGUAAAUGGGUUUAUUGAAUUAAAAGGAAAACUAAUGGGAAGAUAGAUCGAUUUAAGGCUCGGCUCGUUGCGAAGGGUUACUUGCAGCAGCCUGGUAUUGACUACACUGAGACCUUUAGUCCUAUGGUUAAAGCUACUACAAUUUGGACUAUUUUAUCAAUUGCUACUUCUUCACAUUGGUCAAUCCGCCAACUUGAUAUCUCAAAUGCGUUUUUACAUGGUUUUAUUGAUUCAGAUAUUUAUAUGGAGUAGCUCAUUGGCUUUCAAGACUCUUCACAUCCAAACUAUGUGUGUAAGUUCUCUAAGUCGUUGUAUGGUCUCAAACAGGCCCCUAGGGACUGGUUUCACAGACUCACUUCCUUUCUGUAGGACCUUGGUUUUCAAGCUUCAAAGGCUAAUUCUUCUUUUUUUAUUCUUCAUCAAGGUGCUCUUAAAUUCUAUGUUCUAAUUUAUGUGGAUGAUAUCGUCCUUACUUGCUCUGAUUCUACAAAACUGGAUUGGUUUUUAAGUAAGAUCAAAUCAACCUUUCCAGUUCGAGACCUUGGAUCCCUUCAUUUCUUCUUGGGUAUUGAGGCACAAUUUUCGGCUGAUGGUCUUCUCAUCACCCAACAAAAGUACAUUACUGAUUUGGUGGCCAAUUCUAACAUGUCUGACUGCAAGCCUUGUUAUACACCUAUGUCGACCAGCCCUCCACUUUCCAAACUCUUUAGUGAUCCUUCAUAAAAUGCAGAGCAAUAUCGCCAAGUGGUUGGAUCCUUGCAAUACAUUACUCUGACUAGACCUGAUAUCUCAUUCUCGGUCAAUACAUUAUCUCAAUUUAUGCAUCAGCCCACUCAAGAGCAUUGGACAAUAGCUAAGAGGCUGUUGCGUUAUCUUAAGGCUACUGUUGGUUUCGGUUUGUUUUUCUCCAAGCAUUCCACUCUUGAUUUGCAAUGCUUCACUGACAGUGAUUGGGGUGGUUGCCCUAAUGAUCGUUGAUCAACAAAUGGUUAUGCAGUCUAUCUAGGCAAAAAUCUCAUUUCAUGGACUUCGAAGAAAUAACCAACCAUUGCCCGGUCUUCCACCGAGAGUGAAUAUCGUGCUCUUGCUAACUCUACUGCUGAAAUUAUGUGGCUUCGAUCACUUCUCUCUUAACUUGGCUUCUCUUCCUCAAAUCCAACUACAUUGUGGUGUGAUAAUGUGGGAGCUAUUUAUCUAUGUUCGAAUCCUAUCUUUCAUGCCCGAACAAAACAUAUCAAACUUGGCUAUCAUUUCAUUUAAGAACAAGUCCAACAACAAAUCAUUCAGGUUCGUUUUAUUUCUUCAGAUGACUAGAUUGCUGAUAUUCUUACCAAACCACUUGGUCAGCGUCUAUUUGUUAAGCAUCGAGACAAGCUUCAACUUUGUUCUUCUCCACCUUCAGCUUGACGGGGGGUGUUAGAGCAACAACCAGAUAUAGUUUGUUUUAUUUGUAUCUAUCUUAUUGUUGUAACUAUCAUCCUUUAAUCAUGUAAGUAGUUAGCUGAUUUUAUGCUAUUUCAAACUCUAUAAUUCAGCUAUAUAAGCUGCUCUUGUAUUCAUUAUUAACACAACAAUAUAUUACAAACAUUCAUUCUCAUAUUAUCAUUAAAAUAGCAAAUUGUAAACAUGCAAAGGAAUCAUGGGAUAUUCUUCAAGUCACUCAUGAAGGUACAUCUACUGUAAGGAUUUUAAAAUUGCAAAUGCUUACUACUAAGUUUGAGAAUAUUAAGGUGCAUGAAAAUCAAACUUUUUCUUCCUUUUAUUGUAAAUUAAGUGAUAUUGUAAAUUCUUCAUUCAACCUUGGAGAACCUAUUCCUAAUUCUAAGGUAGAAAAUAUUGAGAUCCCUUCUAAAGAGAUUUAGACCUAAAGUAGCUGCCAUAGAGGAGAGUAAGGACAUCGAUUCCAUGAGAGUUGAUGAACUUGUAAGCUCUAUUCAAACAUACGAGAUGACCUUACCUAGUUCCGAAAAGCCUAAAGACUCUACUUUUAAGGCUUUUGAGGAUGAGGUAAACGAUAAUGAAAUGUCAUAUGAUAUAACGAGUGAUGAAUUGACUCAUAUGGCUAGAAGGAUUAAAAGGGUCAUCAAAUUCAAUAAAAGGUUCUAAAAGAACCAAGAAUCUGGAAAAGGAAAAAAACCUAAUGAACAAUCAUCCAAUGGGAAAAGAAAAGGUUCCUCCAAAGGUAAGAAUGUUGAAUGCAUUAACUAUGGAGGUUUGGGACAUUAUGCUCAAGAUUGUCCUAGCCCCAAAGACGCCAAAAAGUCUAUGCAAGGAAAAUGGAGUGAUACUAAUUUUGAAGAGAGUGGUUCCACAACUUUUAAAAUGUAAGGUACGAUCCCAAUGAUUUGUUAGCUUUUAUUGCAUCUGUUGAAUCUAUGCAUGAUAGUGAUUGUAAUAGUGAUAAUGAUGAUGAUGAGUUUACUAAUGAACAAAGGGUUGAAUUCUUGAGUAAUCUUGUUGUUGAGCAUGAAAGACUAAUAAAGAGUUGUAUGAAAAAUAAUGUUGUUUUGAAGCUCAUAAAAAUAAGAUUGAUGUGCUUAAUGCUAAAAAGACUAAUCUACUUGAGAAAGUUAGAUUAAAUAAUAUAAAAGCGUAUAAGUUUCCAACUAAUUUAAUUUUUUUCCUUAUUUCAAUGGAAAAAUCAAACACUAGAAGUUUUUUUUUUUUAUCAUUUUUUCUUUCUUCAAUUUUUUUUUUUUCUAAGAACCAAACAUAAAAUUAUAUAUAUAUAUAUAUAUAUAUAUAUAUAUAUAUAAACACAAACAGACCCAUUUCAAGAGGAUAGAUCGUCUCAAGCCUCUUGAUUACAGAAUAUAUGUGUCAUGCCAAAGACCCCCUCCAAGGACGUGACUAUCAUUUCAAACCUCAAGUUUGAAGAUUCAAAGUGCAAAUGACUCAAAACAAUUAUCUUGUAACUGUAAGAUCACUAAUUACCAAUUCUUAUUUAGAGUAGUAAAAUAUAUUGUAAUCCUCAAAAUUUAACUUAAAAAAACUAACACAUCAAUCACUUUGCUAUUGUCCUAACAACUUCAAACCGAAAUGGUUCAAACAGUAAUUAAUUUCUAACAUUUAAACAUUGUCCAAAGAUAAAGUUUAAACCAAUGGCCUAAUAAUGACAAAUUUCUAGCCUAAUUAUCACUCCUCGCUUGAAUUGAGAGUAUUUGAAAAAAAAUUAUCAAUGGAUGAGAGUGAAAUUAACUCAUAAAAUUAUUGUUCCCAUAAAUAUUUUUAUAUGUUUAACUACAACUCAGUUGCAAUUAGUAUAGAAGGUUUUUCUAAGUUGAGUGGUUAUGCCUCAUGCAAGGUUCUAUUUAUCUAAAUUAUAAAAUUUGAGUCCUAAAAGUUGGUCAAGAUAGACAAACUCCUAUGACACCAAGCCCUUUGUAUAUUUUCUCCCUUGUUCUAAUUUUUUUUAUCUAGUCAAGUGUUUUGAUUGACUAUAGAUGAGAGGAGUUCAAGUUUAAUAUUCUACUAGGUUUGCUUCGUCAGUGUUUAUACAAGAGAGAGCUCUUCUUUUCUCUACACUCACUACAUAAAAAUGCGUACCUUUCUAUAGAGGUGUAUAGGUACAGACACAAACAACUCUCUUUCUUUGUCUCUCUCUCCACGUCUUGAGUAAGACUUUGGAUUUUGGAUGUUAGGUGUAUGCUCAUGUAACAUUCACUACCAUGGGAUUCUUUUUUCACUACGUCAUAAGGGUAUCAUGAGAGUACUAAGAUAUGCCUAGAUCUAGGUCUUUCACUAUUUGUUAAUAUGUUUUUGAGGUUCUACUAUUAUUAUUACUAUUGAGUGUAUUAUGUUUAUAUUUCAACAUUAGCUUUAAAGCACAGGUUGUAUCAUUUUUUUUUCAAGAAAACAACUUUAACUCCCCAUUGGAUCAUUUUUUAAAUGAAUUUGAAGGUGAUAUCAAAAUACUCUACUCAUCUUAAGCUCUUUUUAUGUAAUAUUUUAUCAACAUUUUAGGUAAAAUUAAUAAAUAAAAAAAUAUGGUUUUUUUUUUCUCUUGCUUUAUAAGUAUCCAUCUUAGGAAAUAGUGUUUUUCUAACAUGAACUUCAAGACACCAAAACUAGAAAAUAAGUAGACUAAUGGAAUCCCCGGACCAAAAAGAGGAGAUUGAUUGCAAUUGGGAGGCCUACAACAAUCAGGAAAGCAUCGCAUGGAACCCACAUACCAAGAAGGCAUAACAACGUGGAUUGCUAUAUAUAGGGCAUGCGUUAGCCAUGCUUGUGUGCACAACCAAUGUGUGAUAGUGCUGUAGUAUGUCCUUUCUUGACACCAACUGCAAGUGAUAUAUCCCCAGUUUUUCUUUGUAUUCGAAGAUUUUUUUUUCAAUUUUUGUGUAGCCCACCUUGUAUUUUAAAAGUAAAAAAGUACACUUUUUAUUUUUAUAGUAAGUGGGAAAGCAUUUAGGGUUUAUUGACCAUGUUGUUUGGACAAAAAUGUUUCAAAAUAUUUUUUUUUAUGUGAUGACCUCUCAUAUCUUUCCGUGAUUACUUAGAUUUUUUUUUUUUAUUAAUUUAUUAAUUAUUAAAUUUGUGUUUCAACAAAAAAAAAAAAAAAAAAAAAAUCACAAGAAAAUUGUUGUCUAAGGUGGUGUUUGGUUUUCGUCUGAAUAGAAAAAACCAAAAUAUUUGAUUUUUUUUAUUCAGUUAAAAGUAACCUAUUGAUAUCAACUAAUAUGAUUAAAGUGGACUUAUUACUAAUAAGUUACACAAUUCUCCAUUGGUUGCCUGCUUCCACAAGUUUCACCAUGUUGGGCACUUCUGUUAACAAUGUACUAAUUUUUUUUAAUAUAUUCACAUUUAUCGGAAAACAUAUAUGAUUUGAGACUUUAUGAAAAUAACACAUGUAAUACAAGUUUAUUUAAUAUAAUUGGGCUCAUAUUACAAACAUUCCCUAUAUCAUUUUUUGAAAAUAAAUAUAUUUAGUCUCUAUCCUUUAUUUACAUUCAAGUUCACUCCUUUUGUUAAAUAUUUUUAGGUAUACUUGAUUUUGGGGAUAAGCAUGGGUAUGAAGGGUUCAAAAGCCCCUUUAUUUCUUUAACUAAGAGACUAAUUAAUUAGAUAAUUUUUUGUAUUAAUGGUUCACUUUACUACUACUUUUCAGGACAUUUGUCAUAAUUUAAUAUAUGGAUUUUUGUAUGAAAAGGUAAAUUUCUAGUUAAAACUUGUUUGUUAGCUUAAUUACUACUUCUUGUGUCUAGCCUUCGUACUGCACAUGUCAAAUGAUCGCGGUGCCCUAACCUUUGGCUUUGGGUCAUCACAUCAUUAGCUCACAUUUCCAUGAGAAGGGUUAUGAUAAAUUGACAAUGAUGUUUCAUUUUAACAUUCCUUCAAAUUUUUAGGUUGAUGUUUUUCUUGUUGCACUAAAUCUCAUCAACAAGAUAUAAAGUAAAUAUUUCUCAAAAGGUAUAGCAAACACAAAUUCACGAAGAAGACCUACCCUUUUGUCUUCAAAAGAGAUAUAAAUGCUUGCAUACAUGUUUUUACUUGCAAACACUAAUGCUAUGCAUGGAAAUCCAUAGCUCAGUUCCUUUCCUAAGAAGAUGAAUGGCUCACACCACUGGCCGAAAUAAGCAUUCAACAGCACUCGAGCCUUCAAGCCAAAUACAGUGUCAUAGACUGAUACAUUGCCUACUAUUGAUAUAACACCUAUCACUAGUAAUCUCCACCCUGCUACAUUUAAAUUGUGAACUUUUUUAAAGAGAUCCUAACUUAAAAUCCAUGUAGAUUCUCUUUAAUUUAGAGCAUGGAUUUAAUAAGUCUAACAGGCUCUGCCUCUUUUGUCAUUCUCUUUAGCUCCUGUUCAAACCUUUCCGUGACUGGCGGAGGCAGGCAUAUAGGUAUAACAUUCCCUUCUUCUCCUUUGCUGUUCCUGAACCGCAUACAGAAGCUAAUAUUAGAUAAAGCCCUAGCAAUCCCACCAUAGACUGGCUUUCCCCACCCGAAGUCGAUCUCUCCAAACCCGGCACGUGUGAGAUCUGAAAUAAGAUAGUUCCCCGGCUGCGUAAAUGAGGGACGGCCCUUGAUGACCAUAAGAUCUGCCACUGAUUUCACAUACUCUUGGCUCAUUUCCGCCUUGGCUUUCUUCAGUAACCUUAUCGCAUAUUCCAAUGGGUUUUUACAUAGCAUUCCAGCCUUAGUAAUUGAAGCUGGAUAAACAAAAGCAUUUCCAUAGUAUCCUGGAGGCAGAUCGAAACCGCGCUUGCCUCGCAUAUUGAUUAAGCAUGAAAUGCGAACAACCUCAUCAGGGUCUACUGCAAAUGCAAUUGUGCGGCAUCUCCAUACAUACGCUAUUAGAACCUCAAACGUCGAGCAGGCACCGAGGCUUGCAGGAAGUCGGUUCCUAAGUGCUCUUAUCUCCUUGGGGCCAAAGAAGAAUGAUCGAUGAACCAAAUUAUUUUCGUCCAUGGUCAUUAGUGUGCCCUUGGCGUUGGUUACCUCCUGAUAUUCAUGAUGUAUACGGGUAAUUCGUGGCGGAUUUCGGGCAUUUAACAGCUCUCUUUGCCAUAUGGGCAGCAGAGAUGGCACAGACAGACCUUGAGCCAUCUCGCUUAUGGCGUCGAGGAAUUGGACCAAGCCAGGACCAUCACUCAUUGUGUGGUUUAGGCGCAAUGCAAAUAUAAAUCCUCCACACCUCAAUCGGGUCACCUGCAUUGUACCAAGAUUUCUUUAUCAAUAUAUGUUUUAGCAACAUCCAAUGAUUUGUAAACUUAACAUUUAUUACUUAAUAACUUAAGUUUAUUAAUUUAAAUUGUUAACUUAAAACUUAUUAUCUAAAUAUUAGGUUAUUUGAUAAAAUUUAUUUCAAAUCAUCAAAUUGACAUAUUUACCCUCCUUAAUUUUGAUUAAUAUUUAUUCUAAUUGACUUUAAUUUAUAUUUAUUUUCAUUAAUUUUAAGUAAUAAAUAUAUUUAUAAAACAUUGAUAUUUAUGUUAUUGUAGAUAUCUAAAAAUAACAAUAAAAUAUUUAUUAUAAAAAGUGGUUUCAAAAAGUUAUUUUUAGUAUUCCAAAAAACUAAAUGUUUUGACUUUUUCUAUUCCAUUAAAAAAUUAAAAGAUAAGUAAUAAGUAAAAAAAAAAUUAAAAACAAAUCAUCUAAAAUGCGAAAGUAAAUUACAUUUAACAUUAAGUUAAAUAAAUAAAUAAAACAAAUACCACUUGAGUUAAAUAAGUUAAAUAAGUUCAUUGAUGAUGGAGAAUAUUUACCUGAAUUAAGAUAAGAGGAGAACCAAGAAUUCCCCCGGAGCCAGGGACAUCAUACAGAAGCUCCUCGAAGCAGGGACACAUUGGUUGAAUUGCAUCACCAAGAUUCUCAAGUGUGGAAUCGGCAUCGGCUUCAAUGAACAAGACCCCUUCACCGGUGCAGUCCACCAUGAGUUUUCUAUUAUGCCCUUCAAUCAGCCUGCCUGCAAAUGGGUAGUAGUAUACAAGCGCCUUACCUAGAGCUUCUCUAAUGACCUUUACAGGGUCUUUUCCUUUCAUUAAAGGAUUGUUUGGGUAAAACAUUAUCACAGGAACUUGAAAGCGAAGGCCUUCUUGAUCAUCUAUAUCAGAAAGCUGCUUCACCUCUCGUGGGGUAGGGUUUGUAGGCCGAACAAAUUCUGGAUCAUGCCGUUUAACCGAGAAUACUAGAGGAGACGAUGACGAUGCCAUGUCCUUCCAGGCAAGGAGUUUGUUGAUGGAAUAUAGAAACAAUGAUAAGAGAAAAUUGCAGGAGUUUAUGUGAUGGUUUGCUUUGAGAAGAAGGUAGCUGAUAUUUGUAGUCUAAUGCUGCACUCCAAUAAUGUGGCCGACCAUUUUGCUCAGCCUACGACACGGUUUAGAUAAGGGGUAGAAUUUUAAUCGUGUUUCACGUGUAUUUUUCUCUCCGGGCCCUGGAAGCUCUUAGUGCAUAUUUGUGAAUUUAUCCCCUCAUAUGUUUUUAUUCAAAGAGUAAUCCAUUUUUGGUAUAAAUGUCCUUAACUAUUUCAAGUAUUUACAUUUAAAAGAAAGGAUUAUUUUUAGAAGAAAAAAUAAGGAUAUUUUUAUCAAAAUGAGAUCAAAAAAGGAUAAAUGGUUAGAUUUUCAAAAUUGGGUUCCCAAUGACCCUUUCAAUCAAAUAACUCUCUAGAUAAUACUUAGAAUUUUGGGUGUAUGAUUUUUCGUUAAACAAAGUUCUGAUAUCAUGUUAAAAUAUUAAUUUUCCUAAAAAAUUAAGCUUAUAGAGUUGGGUUCACAAUAUAUAUCAUGCUCUUUUGGUACCUUUUAAACAUGUUUUAAAACUUUUGUUCAAAAUAAUCUCUUUCUCCUUUUUCUAUUCAAAAUUUACGUUCUCAAAUGUAAUUUCAUUACAAUUCUAAAACCACAUCGCAUUUUUAGUGUAAAUUUGAAUAAGAUUAUGAAAUUAUGGUUUUCUUUUUUAUUUUUUUCUUUUUUUUUUUCUUUUUUUUUUUUUUUGUUUUGAGGAAAAGGAUUAGUUUGAACAACAAUUUGAAAAAAAGACUCAAAUGAGCUAUGAGAAAAUGACCAUUUUGACUCAAAAUUCCACGUAGAAAGUAUUUCAUUUACAUAUCUUGGACCACAGAUAUGUGGUCUGUAUUCGAUGAUGUUUGAUACCAUGGACUUUUCAGCAAUCCGUACUAAGAUAUCAACCAUACACCUGCCAUGCAUUAAUUGAUUAAGAAGGGUUCCCAUUCAAAAACCACAAAAAAAUAGAGCGGUUGUUGAUGUUGAGUUAUCAUUUGACUUAAGUUCGAUUAAACUAAUUAACAAUUUCACUUAAAAAGUAAUGGAUGUAUAAUUUACCUUUUUAAUUACAUAGCUCAAAAGUAUUAAAAUAAAUCAAAAUAUUUAACUUUUUUUAUUCAACUAAAAACAAUCAUACUAAUCAUAUUAACAAGUUUGACCUUUUUAAUCAAAUAACUCUUUAGAUAAUACGUAAAAUUUUGGGUGUAUGAUCUUUCGUUAGACCUUUUUAAUCAAAUAACUCAAAUGAGCUAUGAGAAAAUGACCAUUUUGACUCAAAAUUCCACGUGGAAAGUAUUUCAUUUACAUAUCUCGGACCACAGGAUAAGUGGCUGCCUGUGGUCUGUAUUCGAUGAUGUUUGAUAUCAUGGUGUAGGACUUGUCAGCGAUCCGCACCAAGAUAUCAACCAUACACCUGCCAUGCAUUAAUUGAUUAAGAAGGGUUCCCAUUCAAAAACCACAAAAAAUAUAAUCAAGAAAGGUUCCCAUUCAAAAACCACAAAAAAAUAGAGUGGUUGUUGAUGUUGAGUUAUCAUUUGACUUAAGUUAAAAUAGUUUUAAAAUAUUUUUUAAUAUUAGUUACAAAGUUAUUAAUAUUUUAGGUCAUUUUUUAUAUUCAUUUUAUCUUCUUUCUUAUUUUCAUCCAAAAAGUAUUUUUUAAAAUUUAAAUAUUUUUUCUUCAACUUUUCCAUUCUAUUUUUGAAAAAACAAACAUACAUUUUCCAUUGUAUCCAAAUAUAAAAAAUAAAAAAUAAAAAAUCAUUUUCCUUAAAGAAAAAAUCAUUGCAUCCAAACAUACAAACGUACACCUGCCAUGCAUUAAUUGAGUAAGAAGGUUCCCAUUCAAAAACCACAAAAAAUAGAGCGUUUGUUGAUGUUGAGUUAUCAUUUGACAAAACAUGUAUAAGUUGUAUGCCGUGGCCUGAAUCACCUUACUUUCUUAAAAGAACAUGUGAAACAUUCACUUGCAGCACGACCAAACCUGUACUAGUUGUAUGCUGUGGCCUGAAUUACCUUACUUUCUUGAAAGAACAUGUGAAACAUUCACUUGCAGCAUAGUAGUGUAAAGCACGUAAAUUGUCCCCAAUCUAAAAGUAGUAUUAUUCACUGGGAACGUGUUGUUCAUUCGUACAUGUAUAUUUGAAUGGAUCUUCAUAAGAUUUAGUAUGCAAAUUGUCUCUCGUUUUGCACAAGAUUCAAGGAGUUUCUACCAUUCAAUUCCUUUUUUUUCAAAUAUUUUUGUUUUAUGAAUCAACCCAUUAUGAAUAGUAUGAAAAACUUCAAACCAAAUGUUACAACCAAUCCUUAAGUAGUAUUAUUCACGUGGAAUGUGUUGUCUAUGCUAACAUGUGCAAGUGCAUGCAUCUUCAAAAGAUUUAGCAAUUAAAGAAGAAAUAGUCUUUCAUUUUGCACAAAUUUGAGAGAGUUUCUACCAUUUAGUUCAUUUUUAACCAAAUAUUUAAAUCUUUUUGUGAGGAAAAAUGUGAAGAGAAAACAAAAAUAGGGAGAAAAAUUAGAAAAAAAAUAAAUCGAAGUUAAUAAAUUAUUGUUUAUUUUUGUAUAUGCGGCUUUUAUUUUUUAUUUUUGUAUACGCGGCUUCACAUUUUGUAAAGAUUAAAUAAUUUAAAAGCGUAUAAGUUUCCAACUAAUUUAAUUAUAUUUUAUUUUUUCUAUAUUUCAAUGGAAAAAUCAAACACUAGAAGAUUAUUUUUUUUUUUAUCAUUUUUUUUCUUUUUUUUUUCUUUCCUCAACAUUCUUUUAAGAACCAAACAUAAAAUCAAUUAAUUAUACAUAUAUACACACACAAACAAACCCAUUACAAGAGGAUAGAUGAUCUCAAGCCUCUUUAUUAUAGAAUAUGUAUCAUGCCAAAGACCCCUCCAAGGGCAUGACUAUCAUUUCAAACCUCAAGCUCGAAAACUCAAAGGGCAAAUGACUCAAACAAUUAUCUUGUAACUAGAAGAUCACUAAUUACCAAAUUCUUACUCAGAGUAGUAAAAUAUACUAUAAUCCUCAAAAUUUAACUUAAAAAAACUAACACAUCAACCACUUUGCUAUUGUCCUAACAACUUCAAACCGAAAUGAUUCAAACAGUAAUUAAUUUCUAACAUAUAAACACUGUCCAAAAAUAAAGUUUAAACCAAAGCUCUAAUAAAGACAAAUUUGUAGCCUAACUAUCACUCGUCGCUUGAAUUGAAAGUAUUUGAAAAAAAUUAUCAGUGGAAGAGAAUGAGUUCAAACCCAAUAAGAAAUAUUAAUAUAGUUUCAUGGAUAAAACAUUUUCAACUAUGAUUACAAAUAGGAGGCAUAAUGUACAAUUUAUUUAUUUUUUAAAAAACUUUGAAUUCAAACAUGCUAAAACAUCCAAAACUUUUCAACCAAACAUUUUCAUAUUUGUGUAAAUAACAAUUUCAUAUUAAAUCUAAAUGAAAUGCAUUCAAAAUAUUUUUACUCUAAUUAUCAAAUAACAAAUGUUGUUUGAUUAGGUGAGACUUUGUUACCCAAUUAGGCGAAACUUUACAAAUGGGAGGCUACCCUUAAAUUUGUUCUUUUUAAGGUGGAUGAAACCAAACAUUACUAAUACUAAUAACCUCUAACCAAAUCCCUAGAGGAUGGGGUUUAAAACAAUUACAUUUCCCUCCAAGAAAUAUAAAGGUCUAAUAAUUAUAACAUGUUGAUUAAGGCCAAAAAGGUCAAUAAUUAUAACCCAUUUAUUAUGGCAAAAAAUGUCAAUAAUAUAACCCAUUGACUAGAGCCAAAUAAACCAAAGUCAAACACUUUGUUUCAUUUAUUAAAACUUACAAAAACAUUAUAUCUUCAUUUUUUUUAUUAUAAACAAAAGAAAAUGUUCUUACAUAUUUUUCAUGGAAAAUAUCAUUCAUCCAUGCAUAGAAACAAAAAUAAUAUUUUACAUAAUUCAAAAUAACAGAUAAAAAUAAAUUAUUUUCUCUUAGGUUAUGACACCAUGAUCAUUUCACAUGUGAAGUCUGAAGGCUUGACAUGAGAAGUAGUAAUUAAGCUAACAAAAAAGUUUUAGUAGAAAUUUAUCUUUUCAUACAAAAAUCCAUAAAUUAAAUUAUGACAAAUCUCCCAAAAAUUAGUAGUAAAGUAAACCAUUAAUUCAAAAAUAUAUAAUUAUAUUAGUAUCAUAGCUUAAGAAAUAAAGGGGCUUUUGAACCCUUCAUACCCAUGUCACUUAUUCCCAUAGUCAAGUAUACCCAAAAAAAUUUAAUAAAAGUAGUGAACUUGAAAGUUGAAUAAAGGAUAGAGAUCAAAUACAUUUAUUUUUCAAAAAUGAAAUGGGUAAUGUUUGUAAUAUGAGUUCAAUCAUACGAAAUAAACUUGUAUUAUAUGUAUUAUUUUUAUAAAUUCUCAAAUCAUAUAUAUUUUUCGUUAAACAUGUGUAUAUUUAAAAUAAAAAAUAAAAAAAUUGGUCCAUUGUUAACAGAAGUGCCCAACAUAGUGAGACUUAUGAAAGCUAGUAGCCUUAGUUGUUCCUUACAUAUUAGUGGGUGGAACCAACUUAAACCAUUAAGGGAGUUUAUGUCGACUCCUUUGUGGGCUUAAGUGACUUAAGCUCAUCUUGGGCUUGACUCACUUAAUCCAGUCCUCUAGGUAAUAAUUAAUUAAUUAACUUUAUUGGGCUCCAAUUAAUUAAUUAGCACAGUCCAAAAAGACCAUUCAUAAGCUCUUGUACAACCUAAAAUAUUUGCCAAAAUGCUCUUUUGCACACAUAUGAUAAAUAACCCAAUUAUCCUUUAAAUAAUGUGCCAUCAUGGAAUAUGAGAUAGAAUCAACAUUGGGACCAUAGGAAAAUAUUGGAUGCUUUAGAAUCAAAUUUUGAAAUUGACUCAACAUCCCACUAUGAGGAGUCAACUAUAUUCUAGUACUUGAUGAUAUUAAAUCAAGAUACUAAACUCGGGUCUAUGUCCUACUAAUCAUUGUAUGUAAGCUCCCCAUUAACUAGUGUCUAUAAUUUAACAAUGUGAAUAAUAUCAGUCUCUCAAGAUUACCUCUAUAAUCCUUGAGUCUCAAAUCCUCCUAUUAUGUGAUCAACUCGUUAGGAUAGAGCCCCUAAAAGCAUGACAUGAUGUAACAUGGACUUUAUUAAUAUUUAUAUUAUGAUUAUGGUUUUCCUUUCUAUAUUUCAUUUAUGCAUUAUAUAUGUUGAACAUUUAUACCUAACAUCUUUUGCAUUGUACAUAACGGGUGCAUUAGGAGUUGCAUAAAAAUCUAAGUCAUGGAUUCCUUGCAAGUAGAUGAUUUUAUCACAACUGGUUUAUAGACUUAGGUAAUCCAUUUGAGGUGUUAGUAUACCAACUCCUGAUUGGAGGAAUGAUUGUUCUUGAUCAUUAGGAUAAUUUUCCCAUGGGAAGUGCACUAGUGUGUAUGGUUAUACAUUGAAUAUGACCUAUGGCGAAUCAUGACAUUAGCUAUCGGUUAUUCAUAAUUCACUAAGUUACUAUUCUAUAUAGACUCUCAACCUUGAGAGGAUAUUGAUCUUAUGUUGAGGUCAUCAGGAAACUUUGACCUAUAGAUGAUAAGGUGGUUGUAUAUUCCCUAUGAACUGGGUUGUUGUUGAUAGAGGUUGGUAGCAAUAGGUAUUCUCAAUAAAGACUUCAUGAUAUCUCAUAGGGUUGAGAUAGUGUGUCUCCUCGGGUGAUCAUAAGGACACAUGAUCAUGAAAUUUGUGGCUAUAGUAAUUGCUUAAGUAGAAUUUGACAUAUACUCUUGUGAGCUAGAGUAUGUCAAUUGAUUAUAUAAAAUGAGGAUUUGACCUAUAGGUGAGACCCUAAGAUGGUUAUAUAUUCCUUAUGAAUUAGGUUGCUAUUGACAGAGGUUGAUGGCAAUAGGUAUUCUCAAUAAAGAUACCAUGAUAUCUCAUAGGAUUGAGAUAGCAUGUCGCCUUGGGUGAUCAUAAAGACAUGUGAUCAUGAAAUUUAUGGCUAUAGUAAUUCCUUAAGUGGAAUUUGACAUAUAAUCUUGUGAGCUAGAGUACAUUAAUUGAUUACAUAAAAAGAGGAUCUGUAACUCAAGGAUUGGAGAGGUAAUCUUUAGAGGUUGAUAACAUAUAGCUUGUUAGAUUAUGAACACCAAUUCAUGGGGAGACUACAUGCCGUGGAUAGUAGAACACGGACCUGAUUUAUAUCUUAUUGUAAUUUCAUAGGAUACUAGAGUGUAAUGGACUCUUUGUAAUGGGAAGUCAAGUCAAUUUUAGAAUUGGAUUAUAAGGGAGUUAGUAUUUUCCUAUGGGCCCUAGUGGUCCCCAUUCAAAAUAUUGGUUCAUGAACGACACGAUUUUAAGGGUAUGUUUGGGUUUUUUAUUCAUAUAUGCAUAAGGGUGUUUUAAUAAAAAUGCAAGCUUGCUUUGGUAAAUGUAAGGUCUUUUUUGUAAUCCAUAUUUUCUAACUUGAUGUAGUGAUAAACUAUGAUUUCCUAACAUUAGUAAUCUUUUCAUUAGAUAUUUUGUUUGAGUGAGAUUGGGAUUUUAAGUGCUUUCAAAGUAUUAACAUUUUCAUAUUAUUUACAAUGUGAUCAAAAUUGAAUAUGUAAUUAAUAAAAUUUAAAAAUGACUAAGAAAUUUAAAGAAAUAUGUCAAAUUUUCCAUAUGAAUUUUAAUUUAUUAAUUGGCUUGUUAUGACUAUUUUUCUUGCUUAAAAUUAAGUUUAGGAGCUUUAAAUUACUGACUUAUUAUUUUUAUUUUAUUUUUUUGUAUUUUUUCUUUUUCAAUUGUAGGUGAAGAUGCUAAAGCUCCAACACCAACCAAUAGUAGAGGACGUUAUGGCAUAAUUGAAGCAAAAUUUUGUGAGAAAGUGUUGAGGAAAAGAGUAGGAUAUGUCAAGACUCUUGGUUUUGACCCUUAACUAGUUUCAUUAUCUAGAUUCAAACCAUCAUCUUCUCAUCUUGAAGUAGAGUUGCAACAUAGACUAGCUGAGACUUAGCUACUUAUGGAGACUCAGCAAUAACUGCAUGUACUCGGUAGGAGGGAAUUGACUAUCUGGAGGUCCUACUGUAUUUGUAAGAUUAACAACAUCAACAAUAAUUUUUGAAGAGAUCUUAUGUCAUCUAUGAUUAGGCUAAGGGUGCUGAUGAUCCUUUAUGAUAUUCAUAUAAUGGAUCUUUCUUAUCCAUUUGUCCAUGUUGAUGUGGUUAUUCUUUUACUGACACUUUUUCAGACUAAUAUUUUAUUUUUUUAAUUUAGUGUUAUGAUUACUUGUUGGGGUUUUACAUAUAUUGUCAAUGAAGUUAUGUGAUAUUUAUUUUGAAUUUUAUAAGUAGGUUUGAGAGUAAAAUUUUUCUUUACAAUUUUCUAAUCGGAUUUAAAUAGUAUGAAAAAUUGUAUAAUUAUAAUAUAAAAAAUGAAAAUUGUAAAUACAUUUCCUGAUGAAAACAUUUCAUUACUAAAGAUAUAUCCCAAUGAAACUUUUUUGUUGUUGAAGGUUUUCAUACCAUUUACAACAAAUUUAUAAUUUAUUGACAAUAUUUUGGGAGACGAAAUUAUUUUGUUACUAAAAGGUUUUGGAAAUGAAAUAAAUUUGUCACUAUUAAUUAUUGACGAUUUUUGGGACAAAUUUUGGUUGUUUUCAAUGACAACUUCUUAGUUUUACCGAUGAAAUAUUUCAUUGGGAAAAACCUUUAGGGACGCAAAAUUUAUUUUGUUAGGGAAAAUUUUGGGUGAUGAAAUGAUACUUUCGUUGGGAUACUUUUAGCGACGAGUUUAGGGCAAUGAACAUGGCACGAAAUAAUUUUCAUCGGUAAAUGUCUUUACAGACGAAAUUCGAACUUCUAGUGACAAAAUAUUUUAUCAGUAAAAGUCUAUUUUCUUGUAGUGAAGGUUGCACUAGAUUAUAUGAAUGGUCUUUCUAAACUAGGCUAAUUAAUUAAUUAGAGCCCAAUAAGGCUAAUUAAUUAAUUAGGACCUAAGUGGGCUAGAUUAAGUGAUCCAAGCCAAAGUUGGGCUGAAGUCACUUAAACCCAUAGGAAAACAUAUAGAAAUCCCCUUAGGGGUUUAGGGCUUUAGUUUUAUGCUCUUCGCUUUGAGAUUCCAUAGAGAAAUCUUAGCCUCCCUUUCUAAAGAGAAUACUACCUUUCUCUAGUGCUUAGAUCUAUGAGAGAGAGUGAUUAAGCAAAAGGUUGCUUGGUUGGUGAGGCCUGUGAUUCAUUUUAUAGGACUUCAUCAAAUGGAAUUAACCCGAGAAUAUCCAAAUUGAAGGUAUGAUCUCUAUUAUUUCUAUAUCUAUGUUAUCUAUGGUUUUUAUUGCCACGUUUUUCCAUUGCGAUUAAUUCUAAAGAGCCCUGAAAUAGUAGCAUGCACCCUAAAUGAUCUAAGGCUAGGAAUGGAUGUUAGGAUAAAGCCUUUAAAAGCAUGACAUGAUGUAACAGAUUUAGAAUUCAUUAUUUAUUUGAUGAUAUUUCAAGUUCACUUUUAUCUAUCCUAAUUUCAUGCCUUAUACUCUAUGAGCAUUCUACCUUAACAUCUCUUGCAUUGUACAUGACUUGGGUGCAUUAAGAGUUGCAUGGAAAAUCCAAGUCAUGGGGCUCAUUGCAAGUAGAUGAUUUGUUCACAAUCGGUUUGUAAACUUAGGCAAUCUAUUUAAGGUUGUAGUGCAUUGCCAAUUGAAGGGAUGAUUGGUGUUGGCCAUCGGGAUAGGAUUCUCAUGGAGAGUGUACUGGUGUAUACAAUUACACAUUAUACUGGACCUACAGUGAGUCAUGACAUAAGGCUAUUGGAUAGUUCAUAUGUGGACCUCCAUUUUUCACGUGCAUUCUUACUCGAUGACGAGACUCACUUUUUAUUUGUGAAAAUUUGAUUUUUCGAAAAAAAUAUUGGAGUCACCACUUAUUUUAUUUUUUUUAGAAGGAAAACAAAAUAAGAAAUAAAACCUUAAAAAUGACUUUUGAUUUGAAAAAGCAUGUCUUUGAAAACCCAAGUCUAAGCCUAAAGAUCAAGUUACCUAUGGAAAACGUAUGGUGAUAAAUCGUAGCACCCAUCUAAGCCCUAAGGCAUGAAGAUUGAUUGGUUAAUCUAUGAAUACCGAAGAAUAAGAAUCAUGCAUGAUAAUAAAGAAUGUAGGAAAGAUAGAUUCGAAGUGUAACCUCAGCUGCAAGCUGAGUGCUAUUGUGAUGGACAAGGUUAGUGCACAAUGAGAAACAUAAAAUAUCUCAUGUAUAUCUAGGAAUAAAGCUAAAUCAAUCAUUUAUUUCAAUAAACAAGAUGACCAAAAUCAAUUAACAAAGAAGUACAUCAUGUAUAUAGGACCCUACCACUACCCAUUUUAUAUCAGCAUGGAUUAAUUAUAUGAGUUUCAUUAAUUUAGUAGUUAGAAAAUUUAUUUAUUUUAUUAAAAUUGAAAAUUUAUUAAAAAUUAGGGAAAUUAAAAAAAAAAUACUUGCCAAAAUAAAAAUAAAUGGCAGCAAGAAGUUUAUCAAAAUUUGGAUUUUAUCAAAAUAAAUGGCAGCACUCGAGCCUUCAAGUUAAAUACAGUGUCAUAAACUGAUACAUUGCCUACUAUUGAUAUAACACCUAUCACUAGUAAUCUCGACUCUGCUACAUUUAAAUUGCGAACUUUUUUAAAGAGAUCCUAAGCUACAUUUAAAUUCUUAAAAUCCAUGUAGAUUCUCUUAAAUUUAGAGCUUGGAUGUAAUAAGUCUAACAGGCUUUGACUCUUCUGUCAUUCUCUUUAGCUCCUGUUCAAAUCUUUCCAUGAUUGGCGGAGGCAGGCAUAUAGGUAUAACAUUCCCUUCUUCUCCUUUGCUGUUCGUGAACCGCAUACAGAAGCUAAAAAUAGAUAAAACCCUAGCACCCCCACCAUAAACUGGCUUCCCCCACCCGAAGUCAACCUCUCCAAACCCGACACGUGUGAUAUCUGAAACAAGAUAGUUCCCCGGCUGCGUAAAUGAGGGUCGGCCCUUGAUGACCAUAAGAUCUGCCACUGAUUUCAUGUACUCUUGGCUCAUUUCUGCCUUGGCUUUCUUUAAUAACCUUAUCGCAUAUUCCAAUGGGUUUUUACAUAGUAUUCCAGCCUUAGUAAUUGAAGUUGGACACGCAAAAGCAUUUCCAUUGUAUCCUGGAGGCAGAUCAAAACCACGCUUGCCUCGUAUAUUGAUAAAGCAUGAAAUGCGAACAACAUCAGGGUCUACUGCAAAUGUAAUUGUGUGGCAUCUCCAUACAUAUGCUAUUAGAACCUCAAACGUCGAGCAAGCAUCGAGGCUUGUAGGAAGUCGGUUCCUAAGUGCUCUUAUCUCCUUGGGGCCUAAGAAGAAUGAUCGAUGAACCAAAUUAUUUUCGUCCAUGGCCAUUAGUGUUAGAAAUUGAAUAGGAGUAUAAAUGAAACUGGAGAAAAUCAACUUUACUGAAUUGAAUAACAAACUUGGCUAAUAUAUAGCCUUACAGAAAAUAGCCCAUAUCUAGAUAACUCCUAAACGUGCUGAGAAGAUAACCCUCAGCAAAUAACAGAACCCAAAAUAAUAGAUAACUCCUAAACGUGGUGGUAACUAACCACUAAAGAUAAACAUAAAAAACUAACAUUAACCAAUAAGAUAAACAUAACAAAACUAACAUUUCCUCCCUUAAACUGAACACUACAAGUUUCAGUUUACAUUAGUUUUAGAGCAAACUCCCAAUUGUCCUCGCAGCUUGACAAAGGUAUUCAACUUGAGUGGUUUAGUCAUUAUAUCAGCUAACUGCUCUUGUGUAUCGCAAUAUACUAAUUCCACAGAACCAUCCUUUGUAAGGUCUCGAAGAAAAUGAAAACGGACAUCUAUGUGCUUACUUCGACCAUGCAUUACUGGAUUCUUUGAAAGUUUGAUUGCAGAGCUACUGUCACAUUGGAUAACACAUGACCUGCUUUGAUUUUGAUCUAGCUUUCCCAACACCCUUUUUAACCAUAGUGCCUGACAAGCACAUGAAGUUGCUGCAAUGAAUUCUGCUUCUGUGGUAGAUAAACUCACUACUGGUUGCUUUUUUGAUGACCAAGAGAUUGCCCCUGAACUUAAUAAAAAAACAUAACCUGAGGUGCUCUUUCGAUCUUCCAAAUCUCCAGCAUAAUCACUAUCAGUAUAAACAACAAGUUCAUCAUCUCCUCCCUUCCUAUAGAAAAUCCCAAAAUCAAUUGUUCCUCUCAGAUAUCGUAGCACCCUUUUUGCUGCCUGUAAAUGUAGCUUAGUAGGAUUUUCCAUAUACCUACUAAUAAUACUCACUACAAACAUUAGAUCUGGUCGAGUAGCUGUGAGGUACAUGAGACUUCCUACUACUUGUUUGUAGUAAGUCUUAUCUACCUUAACUCCCCCUUCAUCUUUCACAAGCUUACAACCAGGAACAAUAGGAUUAAAAACAGAGUUACUUUUAUCCAUUCCAAAUCUAUUGAGUACCUUUAAAGCAUACUUUUUUUUACUUAUGAAGAUACCAUCAGAUUUUUGCAAGACUUCAAGUCCAAGAAAAUAUCUCAUCUUACCAAGAUCAGUCAUAUCAAACUCAUGCUUCAUGGAAUGUUUAAACUCAGCAAACAUUAAUUCAUCAUUUCUAGUAAAGAUUAGAUCAUCAACAUAUAAACUAACGAUAAGAACUUUACCUUCCUUGUUAGUUUUGAUGAACAAGGUAUGCUCAUAGUCACAUUUUUCAAAAACUUCCUUCAUGAAAUAUGCUUCUAUACGACUGUACCAAGCACGGGGUGCUUGCUUGAGCCCAUAGAGUGCCUUCUUUAACUUAUAAACCUUUUGCUCAUUUCCUUUUUGCACAUAACCACAAGGCUGCUCAACAAAGACUUCUUCAUUCAACUCACCAUGUAAGAAUGCAUAUUUCACAUCUAACUGAUAAAUGGACCACCCUCUUUGAGCUGCAAGUGCAACUACCAACCGAAUCAUUUCCAUACGUGCCACAGGUGCAAAAAUCUCAGUAUAAUCUACCCUAAAACGCUGUGUGUAACCCUUCGCCACAAGUCGAGCUUUGUGCUUUUCUACUUCUCCAUUUUCAUUAAAUUUAGUCUUGUAAACCCACUUUAGUCCAAUUGUUUUUCCUCCCUUAGGUAAAUCUGUCAAUUCCCAUGUGCCAUUUUUCUUGAUCGUUUCCAUUUCUACAUCCAUAGUUGUUCUCCAUUUCUCACUUUUAACAGCUUCUUCAAAAUAAAUUGGAUCGGCAGCUGCAAACAUAGCAAGUUGGACUUCAUGCUCUUCCUCAGAAAGUCCUUCUCCUGUCUCAUAAUCGCUUGUCCAAACAGGUGGUCUUCUAUUUCUUGCGACAUUUGAAUUGGAAGGGUUGUCUCUAUUUUGAAUUAAUAAAUCAGAUGCAGUAACUGCAGCAUCAAAUUCAGCGGCUGUGGCAAUAGCAUUAUUUUCUUCUGUGUCUUCUUCUAUAUCAGCAUCAAGAUUAGAGUCACUUUCUUCUUCAUUCACAGUUGCUUCUUCCCCAUCAUAACCCCAUUCCAGAUCACACACGAUGGCUUCUUCAUACUUCUUAUCCCAAUCCCAAUUCUUGUCUUCUUCAAAUACAACAUCCCUACUGAUUAUGAUCUUUUGUGAAAUUGGGUCAUAGAGUCUGUAAGCCUAUGAUUCUUCACUAACUCCCAGCAAUACACAACUGAAACUUUUAUCAUCAAGCUUUGUUCUUUUAUUGUCAGGCACAUGAACAUGUGAAAUGCAUCCAAAAACUCUAAAAUAGUUAACUGAAGGUUUAAGUUUACCCCAAGCUUCUUCUGGAGUUUUGUUUUGUACUGCAAAGGUUGGACUUCGAUUCAAAACAUACACGGUCCAAUUUACAGCUUCAGGCCAAAAGGUUUUGGGAAGUUUUUUCGCCGAUAACAUACUACGAACCAUAUUCAUAAUGGUUCUAUUUUUAUGUUCCGCAACUCCAUUCUGUUGUGGCGUAUAUGCAGCUGUUAAUUUUCGUCAUAUGCCAUGAACAUCACAAAAAAUUGCAAAUUCCUGGGAUGUGAACUCGCCUCCUCGAUCAGUACGCAAACAUCUAAGAAAUGAACUUGUUUUCUUCUCAACAUAAGUCUUAAAACUUUUGAAAACAGCAAAGGCUUCUGAUUUCUCUACCAAAAAAUAAACCCAUGUUUUUCUACUAAAAUCAUCAGUGAAAGUGAGCAAGUACCUUUUCUUGCUGUUUGAGAUUGGAUUAAUCGGUCCACAAAUGUCUGCAUGCACUAACUGUAGAAUUUCAGCAGCUAGCUAGUUGCUUUUCUUUGGAAUUGAAGACCUGUGUUGUUUUCCCACCAAACAAUCUUUGCAUAGUUUAGAGGGAGGCUGAAAUUGUGGUAAUCCAUUCACCAUCUUCCUUUGUUGAAGAGUCUUUAAACCUUGAAAACUCAAGUGGCCAUAUCGACAAUGCCAAAGCUACAAAAUGUCUUCUGUGACUGUGUUAAAACAAGUAGAUGAGAUAGGCUGGGAUAGAGCAUGUAACAUAAACAUCCGAUUUGAAGACAUUUUGGUAUCCAUAAUCAAACCUUUCUGUGAAUGAAACACCUUACACUUGCCAUGUUGAAACAGAAUGGUAAGCCCUUUUUCUUGUAAUUGUCCAAUACUCAGCAAAUUAUUCUUCAACUCAGGGACAUAAAAGACUCCUGUGAUGAUCUGUGUCAUUUCAUUCACUUUCAGCCUUACAUUUGAUUACUACUCAAAAAGUGCUAUUUCAUAGCUUGUAAUUAAUCCUUUUAAACACUUUUGAGUAGUAUUUAUUGCCUUUUAACUCAAUUAACAUGUUAAGGACCCUUGUAAUCAUUUCUAAUCAAAUUGUGUAAGUUUUGGUGUUUUUGUUAGUAAUUUGAUCACCAAAACAAUCCAAGAUUGAGGAGAGUUAUUUGGAAUCCAUGGCAAAGCAAUGAAAAGCUCAAAUUCAUGAAGAAACCAAGCUUUGGAGCCUCAUAGUCCUUUGCCUUAGUCGUUCAAAGUAUGCAAGGAAAGAGCAAGGAGAAAGGAAAAACAGAGUGAAGAAAACAGAGAAAAGCCAUCUACAGUCUUCUUUUGCACUUUUGGAGCACUUCCCGAAGUCCAUUUUCUACAUUCUAUAUACCAUUUCAAAGCUCAGGAAGUUAAGAAUCCAAUGCUUCAAACGGUGCGCGAUUCGGAGUUCAAACGAAGGAGUUACAGCCAUUGCAAGAAGAUCAAUCCAAAGUGUUGCGAAAUCAGCCUUUUGUUGCGAGAAUUUCGCAGCCUUUUUGUACAGUGCUAUGGAAUUCCUCCUGAAGCUACCCGAUACAUGCCGCAAGCUGGAACGCUGAGAACCUCAAGGUGGAAGCCAAUUUCGCAGCCCUGCGAGUUUAACUUGUUGUUGCGAAAAUAUUUCGCAGCCCUCUUGAGUGUCUGCGAAAUCUCGCAGACACCAUUUUCACCUGCGAAAUGUCCUUAGCGCUUCCCGAUAUUUUUUGCACCGACUCUUUUGGAUAUUUUUCUUCAGAUAUUUUUGUAUAAUUUCCAUUUUCUCCUUGUAUUCAACCACUCAUGUAAUUCCUUAGCUAGAAAAUAUCCAAGGAAGGGUAAAUUACUUUCCUAUAUAAACUCCCUUGCAUCCACUGUAAAAUCAUGAGAUGUGAGAUAUAUGUAAUAUCGAUCAAUAUAUAGAAUAUACAGAGCCUUGCUCUGUUCUUCCUUCUCUUUCAUUUUUCAUUUUCAUUUUCUUUCUAGCCAACCAAACUUUGAGGAUUUUUCCACAGAGGAUGAGAGGCUAGGCUUUUUGUCUCUUAGAGUGAGGAAAGCCGGGUAAGUUUCCACAUGCAUAAUUUGGAAGUUUUGUUGUUUUAGUUUUUAAUGAAGAGUAAGUGUAACCCGUUAAUGGUUUUUAUCUUUUUAGUUAACUUAAAACGCCUUUAAAUCACCUGGGCCAACACUUGGUAAGGCAAGUGAUCUCCGUCCAUGGAGAUGCACUAGUUUACCCCUUGCGAGCCUUUGGGAGGUGACUUGAAGGUAGGAUUUUCUGGAAUUGCCAACACUUGGUAAGCUUUUGGACUCCAAGGAGACAUCCAUUAGUUAUCUCUUGCGAGCUUUUGACGGGUAAUCCAAGGUUAAAGAUCACCUUGAAUGGCAAGUGCUAGGUGAGAGGUAUGAGCCAUUGCAAGUUGCAUCAGUGAGAGGAAUUUAGUGUUUGAACCCAUUAAUGGGAAGCAUCUGUACAACACCGGUUGGAGAAGGAACUAUAUGUUAAUUCUCUAAUGCGAGGAAAAGAAACAAGUGACCGGAACUCCCUUUUUGUAUGAGGAACGAGCCUAGUGAUCUGAACUCCAAGAAACACUUUUCUUUGUAGUUAAAAUCAGUUACUAUUUGUGGUUAGUUUAAAACCAAACCUUUUUUCAAUUAAAGCAUCUUUAUGUUUUCUUUUAAAGCUAACCUUGAAAUGAAAAGGCACCAAUUCAGCUUUGAAUUAAUAUCAUUUGUGAAGUGAAAACCCAUCCCAGUGAACGAUCCUAGAGCCACUAUGCUAUAGUAGCUUUGUCUUUGCUACCCUAGUAUAUGGUGUAAUAGGUUAUAAAUUUUGUUGAUUAAUCCCUCAAUCAAGGAGCACCAGCUGGACACAAAUCAGCUGAGACACCAAUUGGGCACUAAUCAAAUGGCGCCGUUGCCGGGGACCGAACCUCGAAUCAAAUGGUGCCGUUACCACUGCCGCUGCUAGGGACGAAUCAACAUUCCCCUUUCCUAAUACAGACAUGCUCGUGUUAUUCCCAAGUUCACUGAAUCUCGAAAGGUUCCAUUAAAAUAUGAAAAAUAAUCUUUUUUUCCACACAUGAUUGCUGCAUCCAGAAUCAAGAAACCACAUAUCUUCUCGACUGGUUUUGUUUAGAUCCACAUACGCCAUCAACAACAUCUCCUCUUGAUUCUCUGCGUAGUAAGCCCCUGUCUCUCGGUGUGGACAUUCUCAUGCAAAAUGUCCUAGCUUGUGACAAUUAUAGCACUCCACAGUAGCCUUAUCAAAAGAUCUUCUGUUCCGUCCUCUUCCUUUUCCUCUAUAAUUUCCAUGACCACGACCUCUACUUCCGGAGUGAUCUCCAUGAGUAACUUUCAAAGCCUGUUCUUCUUCUAACACAUGAGAGGUCAUGCGUUGUUCAUGGACAAGAAGACUACUCUGCAACUCAUCUAUGGUUAAAGUGUCUAAAUCUUUAGACUCUUCAAUGUAACAAACAACAUAAUCAAAUUUGGAAGUCAUAGAUCGUAAAAUCUUCUCAACAACAGCAGUAUUUCCUUUAUCCUCACCAUUGACUUUCAUUUUGUUGGCAAUGGCAAGAGUGCGAGAGAAAUAUUCAUUCACAGUUUCUCCCGACUUCAUGUGAAGAAUUUCAAAUUCCUUCCUCAAAGCUUGCAAAUUUUCACGCUUCACUCGUGUGGUGCCUUGAAAUUUCUGCUUCAUAGAAUCCCAAAUAUCCUUCGUAGUCUUUUUGUUUAGAAUUGUCUUUAGGAUAGAACGAUCUAAUGCCUGAAAUAGAUAGUUUUUUGCCUUCAAAUCCUUUAACUGCUGAUCUUCAAUGUGCUUCCUCUGUGCAUCUCUGAGAAUAGCAUCUUCAGCCACUGCAGGAACUCCAUUCUCCACAAGUCCCCAAUACUCCUUGGAACGCAAGAAGUUUUCCAUGAGCAUUGCCCAGUGAUCAUAGUAGCCAUCAAAUUUCGUAAUAGCUGGCUGGACAAAUGAACUCUCUGUCGUCAUUGUUCAAAUAGAACACACGUAGAAGACUGCUGCUUCUAAAUAAUCAGGCCCCUAUGAUGGGGCUCUGAUACCAAAUGUUAGAAAUUGAAUAGGAGUAUAGAUGAAACUGGAGAAAAUCCACUUUACUGAAUUGAAUAACAAACUUGGCCAAUAUAUAGCCUUACAGAAAAUAGCCCAUAUCUAGAUAACUCCUAAACGUGCUGAGAAAAUAACCCUCAACAAAUAAUAGAACCCAAAAUAAUAGAUAACUCCUAAACGUGGUGGUAACUAACCACUAAAGGUAAACAUAAAAAACUAACAUUAACCAAUAAGAUAAACAUAACAAAACUAACAAUUAGUGUGCCCUUGGUGUUGUUUACCUCCUCGUAUUCCUGAUGUAUACGGGUUAUUCGUGGCGGACUUCGGGCAUUUAACAGCUCUCUUUGCCAUAUGGGCAGCAAAGAUGGCACAGCCAGACCUUGAGCCAUCUCGCUUAUGGCGUUGAGGAACUGGAUCAAGCCAGGAGCAUCACACAUUGUGUGGUUUAGGCGCAGUGCAAAUAUAAAUCCUCCACACCUCAAUCGGGUCACUUGCAUUGUACCAAGAUCAUCUUUACCAAUAUAUGCAUCACCUCCUCGUUUAUUUUGAUUAAUAUUUAUGCUCAUUAAUUUAACUCGCAUUUAUUUUUAUUAAUUUUAAGUACUAAUAAAUUUAUUUAUAAAACCAUAAAAUAUUUAUUAUAAAAAGUGGGUUAUGGAUGUAGAAUCAUAAUUCUAAAAUAUACUCUCACUAAAAUAAUUAAAAAAAAAAAGCUUUUUAGUAUUCCAAAAUACUAAAUCUUUUGAUUUUUUUUUAUUCGUUAAAAACAAAUCAUCUAAAAUAUGAAAGUAAAUUAUAUUUAGCAUAAAGUUAAAAAUAAAUAAAAAUACUACUUGAAUUAAUACGUAUAAUUAAAAAUAACUUUAAAUUGUAAUAUUAAAUUAUUUCAUCAAAUAUCAUUAAUUCUUAUAAUGAACACAUUGGUUGAAUUGCAUCACCAAGAUUCUCAAGUGUGGUAUCGGCAUCGGCUUCAACGAACGAUCAUGAGUUUUCUAUUAUCGGCAUCGGCUUCUCUAAUGACCUUUACAGUGUCUUUUCCUUUCAUUAAAGGAUUGUUUGGGUAAAACAUUAUCACAGGAACUUGAAAGCGAAGGCCUUUUUGAUCAUCUAUAUCAGAAAGCUGCUUCACCUCUCGUGGGGUAGGGUUUGUAGGCCGAACAAACUCUGGAGCACACCGUUUAACCGAGAAUACUAGAGGAGACGAUGACGAUGCCAUGUCCCUCCAUGCAAGGAGUUUGUUGAUGGAAUAUAGAAACAAUGAUAAGAGAAAAUUGAAGGAGUUUAUGUGAUGGUUUGCUUUGAGAAGAAGGUAACUGAUAUUUAUAGUCUAAUGCUGCACUCCAAUUUGAGAAAAGGGAUUCCUUUGAACAAUAAUUUGAAAAGAAGAGUAAAACGAGCUAUGAGAAGAUGACUCAAAAUUCCAUUCCACGAUAGAAAGUAAUUGAUUCACAUAUCUCUGACCACAGGAUGAGGUGGUUCCGCGUGGAACUCUGUGGUCUGUAUUCGAUGAUGUUUGAUGUCAUGUGUUGUACUUUUCAGCAAUCCGUAACAAGAUAUCAACCAUACACCACCUGCCAUGCAUUAAUUGAUUCAGAAGGGCUCCAAUUCAAAAACUACAUAGAGCGGUUGUGGAUGUUAAGUUGUCAUUUGACUUAAAUUAGAUUAAACUAAUGGAGGAUAAAGAAAUAGGGAACUGUAAACUUGAGAUCAAAGUUUGGAUUCUAGUUAACAAUUUAACUUAUGAAGUAACAAUAUCGGAGAGUUAUCAAUAAAUUCAACUUAAUUAUAUUGUUUGAUAAAUUCAUUUUAAUUAUAAUAAUUGAUAUCAAUAAUUAUUAAUUUAAUAAAAAAAUUAAAUAUUUUAAUUUUUUCUAUUCAGUAAAAAAAACAAACACCACUUAUUUCACAAUUAAUAAUUGAAAUAAGAAAACAUAGAAAAACGAAAAAAAAAAAUGUGAGAGAAAUAAGAUGGUUAAAUGGAUUGACUAAGCUAUUAAAAAAAUAAAACCAUGAAAAAUAGGGUUGUUUAUUAUGAGCUAUUAAUUUGACUAGAAAUUUAAUGAAUGGAUAAUGUCACACUAGCAUAAACUAAUGGACCAAUAAAUAAAUAAAUAAAAGUUUAACUUGUCACCUCUAAUUAAAUUAAGCUUCAAAUCCACCCACUAUGUUAAUGCACCUAAAAUAUCAUCACUAUCCUUUUCUUCUGCACCACACCUUUUUUUUAUCUUCUUUUCUCAUUUUUUUUUCAUAUCUUCAACAAAAGUCUAAAGUCAAAGCUUAUUCUCCCGAGUUUGUUUGUGAUCUAAAAAGUGUUUAAAUUAAGUUCAAAGUACAUUUCAACCUCUUUUUGUAGAUUUUAGUUUAUGUUCAUAACAUUAUAAUAAUGUUUGUUUUAUAUAACUGUAUUUUAAGGGCUAUUAAUUAUUUAUAUAACUAUUAACAAAUAUUUAUUAUAAAAAUAGUAAGGGAAGAUUUAGGAAUUAUUUAGAAAAUAUUUUGAGGUGAUCACGUUUCAAAAAGUAAAAGAAAAAAAAGGUAAGUGUCCAGACUCGAAAGUCCGAACGCUUUUAAUGAUGUUCAAAAUUAUAAAGUCGAACACCUUUAAGGAUAUUUGGAGGUAUAAUUUCAUAUAUUUUAAAAACCAUCCAAUCCUGAAAUUACAUAUAUUUUUAUCGAUUCCUCCAUUUUCAAGUGAUAAAAAAAAUGAAUAUAAUAAUCGAUAAAAAUAGCUGUAAUUUUAUCAAUUUUACAUGCUUUUAAAACAUGUGAUAUUAUACCUUUAGAUAUCCUUAAAAGUGUUCGACUUUGUAAUAUAUAUAUAUACACGCACUUCUAUAUUCCUCCAUUUUCCAGUGCUAAAAAAUGAAAAAAAAAAUUAUAAAGAUGGUAAAUAUGCACUUUUAACAUUAUUAUAGAUUAUUUAUAACAAAUGUUUUAAAAUAUUUAUUAGGAUUACUAAGAGAAUGGAAAGAAAAAAUGGGAGAAGAAAAACAAGAAGAUGAGUAUGCAUUAAUUUGAAAUGGGGUGUUUAGUCUUUCACUAAUGGAUACUUGUAUUAAAAAAAACGAUACGUAAGAAAUUAAAUUAGGUGGAUACAAAUAUAAAUUAAAAAAAGGAAAAAAAGAAAAAAAGAAUCCCGAGAUAUAUGCUGAAAUUAUAACUUGUAAUAAAUGUCAAAAUCACCCUUAUGCUCAUUUUGUUCAAAAGUUUAUAAAGUCAUCUAAUUAUCUAUUUUCCCUAAAUGCAUGUUUGGUACAUAGAAAUGAGAAGAGAAUGAGCAUCUCAUUCUUUUUCUCCUUGGUUCUCAAGUCUGGAUAACUUAAAUUAUGAUAGAAAUGGAAUAAAAAAUAAUUUGGAUGGAAUUGAAAUCCCACAUAGGAUUUCAACUCUAUGCAAUUAUGAGGUAUUUUGAUUCUCUUGCAAGUUAUUUUUAAAAUAUUUUCAAUUUAAAAAAAAAAAAAAAAAACUAAAAACAUUUUUAGAUAAGUUAAUUUUAAUUUUUUUUAAAAAAAAAUUUGUAAAAAAGAAAAUUUUUAAAUUCAAUUUAUACAAUGUAAACUAAAUUUAACUAAUAUCUUAUUAAAAAUAAAAACAAAAUUUUAAUUACAAAUAAAUGAAAAAUUAAUAUUUUUUUAGUAAAAUAUGAAUAUUAAUAAUAUAAUAAAAUCAUAAAUUAUAUAUUUUUAUAAAUGUUAUAAAAAUAUAGAUAUUAAGAUUAAUUGAUUUAUUUUGUUAACAAUAAAUAAUAAUAAUUUAAAAUUAAUAAUUUCUAACACUUUUUAUAUGAUUUUAUAAAUACUAUAAAAUAAAAAUAUUAACAUCUUAUAAAAGCAUAAUUAAUUUAUUUUAUUAGAAAUAAAGAAUAAUUAUUAAAAAUUAAUAAUUGCUAGUACUAUUCUAUUUUAAAUGAAUAUAAAAACAAAUAAAAUUUAAUUUUUUUUAACAUAUUAAUAAGCCAAAUUUUUUUAAUAUAUGCAUACAUUUAUUACUUACUUACCAAGAUAACAUUCUAAAUUAUUUUUAUUUAAUUUAUAAUUAAUUAAUCAAUUUUUUAAUUUCAAAUUAAUAUUAAAAAUUACAAAAUUUAUUAGAGAAUUUAAAGCAGUAGAAAAAAUUGGAAGAACAAAUAUUUAUUUUAUUUUAUUUUUUUAAUUAUCUUUAAAAAACAAAAAUCAAUUAGUAGUAUAAAUUUUUAAAAUAAAUAUGCAAAUAUUAUUGACAAUUUAUUUAUUUCUUCAUUUUUAUUCUCAUUUUAACUUUAUAUUAAAAUACAAUGAAAUUAUCAUUUCAACCUUAUGCUGUCCAUUGGCUUCUGUGUUUGUUUAACGGCCCCCUUAAAAGCCAUGGUCCUUUCCUCCAAGUUGUCUCUUUCAAUGUCACAUAUGUCAAAUACCGAAACUUUUCUCACUUUCUCUAUUUGGUAAAUGAGAAAAACCUUGUCAACUUACUACAAUUCAAAUGUACACAUAUAAAAUUUUAGUUAAUUAAAUUAUUAUUAAAUUCCUCUUUAAAAUUAUGAUUUCUUAAUUCAACAAAAUUCAGGUUUAAUAAGUGAUGAUUCAUAUAUAUUGAACAUAUGACAUACAAUUCAAAAAAGGAUACUUAGUGAAAUAUGAAAAACUGCAAAAUUAAGUCUUACAAAAUAGAAACAAAUAUGUCAAUUGAAGUUUAAAAGAUAAUUAUAAAUAAAUAUUUUCUUAUUGAUAAAUUUCUUGAACAAAUUAAGAGAAACAAAUCUUCUAAUUAAAAUAAAAAGAAUUAAAAAUAAAAAAAUAUUCUCUUGUUAGCAAAUCUCUUUAACAUAGAAGACAAGUUUCUAAAAUCAAAAAGUCAAAUUCUUUGAAUUAAACAAAUUAAAUUUUGAGUCCAAAUUUAAUUCUCUAACUUCACCAAUAAAUAGUAAUGACUUCCUUCAAUGGAGGGGAUCAACAAAACAAUUUCAUACGGGAAAAAAGUAUUCACAAAAAAGAAAAAGAUUUCAUAAAAUUUCUCUAUACAUUCGAGAAAUUAUAAAAGCACUAUACAUGCGAUUUUCGCCUUUCGACAAAAUCAUUUGGGAAUAAGUCACUCAAGCCCUUAAUUGAUUUUCAAAACAAAGAAAACACUUCAUCGUAUUCUAUUAGAUUGUGAUCAAAGUAAAGGAAUGAGAGGAAAAAUAUUCUUUUGUAAAGAAUAUUAUCAAAGAGUUUGAACCCCACAAUUAUUUUAAUAAAAACAAUUGUUAGCAUAUUUUUUCUAUUAUUUUACUUGUUUCUCAAGACUUCACAUAAUUUGUACUUAUAAAUUUAUGCCACACCCGGUGGGACAUCUUUGUCUCUCAUCUCUUUUGCUAAAAAAAUUGAUCAUUAUUAACACUAUGACAUCCAAAAAGAUUCAAAUUGUGCAUGUCAAUAAAGAGUAAUGACAAGAUUGUCAUUACUUAAUCAACACACAGCACUACUACGAGCCUUAUGACUCAUAACAAAUCAAAAUCAACUAUUGUAGUUUCAGCAAAGCAAGCAAGUGAAAAUAUUUGUUUGUUAAGUACAAACGCCAUUAAAUAUGUUAUACAAGUGCCCAAGCAUUGGUCUCACUACCUUUAUCAUCAAUUUGUCCCACUCAAGAUUGGGUUUGCGUUCCUUAGUAGAUCUUCCAUAAACAACUAAAGGAUUGAAAUAGAAUUAUUGAUUAAAAAUAAAUCAUGAAUUUCCAACAAGAAACACCACUAAAGCAUGGCAAAAUGGAAACGACCGCUCAAGCGGACUUAACAAUCGCUCAAGCACUUUGAGCAUUCAAGCGCUUAUUUAAACGUUUAAGCGGUGGCUACAACACUCGAGCACUUUGGCUAGUGCUUAAGCAUUCUUGUUUUAUCAAAAGUAAAAAAUAAAAAUUUUUAAACCAAUUUUGAGAAACUAAUCCAAUUCAUGCCUUAACCUAACUUGUCUCUAACAAACAUCUAAAAGGAUUCCUAUGCCAUAAUGAAAAGGAAUAAAUUUGUCAAUAUUUAAAAAUGUCAUAACAUACACAUUAAGAACUUGAUUUUUAAAGUAUAAAAUAUACAAGGGUGAAAUUCUAGUGGACUUGGAUUAUUUCCAAAAUAUCGAAUUUUAGGUACACUAGAGUGCUUCCAACACUAUUGAUGACAAAAUAUAAGUGUCAUGCCCCAAGACCCCUUAUAAGGAUGUGAUGGUCAUUUCAAAUCCUAAGUCGAAGACUCAUAGUGCAAAUGACUCAAACAAUCAUCUUAUAACUAAAAAAUAACUCAUUACCAAGUUCUUAUUCAAAGUAGUAAAAUAUAUUAUAAUCCUCAAAAUUUAACUUCAGAAAAACUUACACAUCAACCACUUUGUUAUUGCCUGAACAACUUCAAACCCAAAUGGUUCAAACAAUAAUUAAUUUCUAAUAUUUAAACAAUGCCCAAAAAUAAAUCUUAAACCAAAAUCCUAAUAAAAACAAAUUCCCAAUCUAACUCACUCCUCGCCCAAAUUGAAAGUACCUAAAAAAAAUUAUUAGUGGAAGAGCAUGAGUUCAAGCCCAAUAAGAAAUAUUAAUACAGUUUCACGAAUCAAACAUUUUCACUUAUGAUUACAAAUAGGAAAUAUAGUGUAAAAUAUUUUUUACAAAAACUUUGAAUUCAAACAUGCUAAAGUAUCCAAAACUUUUCAACCAAACAUUUUCAUAUUUAUAUUAAUAGCAAUUUCAUAUCAAAUCCAAAUGAAAUGCAUUCAAAAUAUUUUUACUCUAGUCAUCAAAUAACAAAUGGUAUCUGAUUAGGUGGGACUUUAUUGCUCAAUUAGGUGAAACUUUACAAAUAAGAUAUUACCCUCAAAUUUGUUCUUUUUAAGGUGGAUGGAACCAAACACUACUAGUACUAAUACUAGUAACCUCUAACCAAACCCCUAGAGACUAGAGUUUAAAACAAUUACAUUCCCUACCAAGAAAUGUAAAGGUUAAUUACCAAUUAUAAUUCAUUGACUAAGGUAAAAAAAGGUCAACAAUUAUAACUCAUUGACUAGGACAGAUAAAGUCAACACAAUAUAACCCUUAGACUAAGGCCAAAUAAACCAAAGUCAAGCACUUUGUGUCAUUUAUUCAAACUUACAAAAACAUAAUACCUUCAUUUUUUUUUAUUAUAAACAAAAGAAAAUGUUCUUACAUAUUUUUCAUGCAAAAUAUAAUUGAGCCAUGCAUAGAAAUAAAAAUAACAUUUUACAUAAUUCAAAAUAACAUACAAAAAGAAAUUAUUAUCUUUUAGAAAAUCUAUAUUAAUUUCUCCUACCUCAAAAAGCACUCAAAACCCUUAAAGAAUUUAUUGUUGAAGCAUCUAAUUUUCACCUAAAUAUAACUUAAGAAAUAACAACUAUUACUACUAGCUAUUUAUCUAAAAUUAUAGGUUUGGCAAUCCCAAUAAUUUCCUAUGUUAAUAUUAUUAUCACCAAUAUUAUUUUCAACUUCUGAUAAAAAAUAAUUAUACAAAGUAUGAUUAAAAAAUAAAGCACAAGAUAUAAAAUUAUUUUUUAAAAAUAUUAAAAACAUGUUAAAAACAUUUUAAGUUUCCAAACAGACUUUUUUUUUACAAAAAAUUAUAGAACAAUUUUUAAAAGUUGUUCUCAAAAAUUGUUUUUCAAAACUGUUCUCGAAAACAAUUAUCAUAUUACAAGGUUUUAAAAGCUCUCAAGUGCUUUGAUUGAUACCAUAUAUUGAUGAAAACAAAAAUCACAUCUUAUAUUCGAUUUUAACAUCAAUGCACUCCCCAACUAGCUAACUAUAUGCUACAUCAUAUAUGGCUAGCUUUCUUAGAUUUUCCCAUUAUUCCUUGAUGUUUCCUGCUAUUUCAAUGAAUAAGGAUGGUCAUGAAAACUUUUGAGACAUCCAAGAUGCACUUCAAAAAAUUUUAAACAAAAUAAAAAACUUGUAAAUCAAGACAAGGAAAUGAAUAUAGGCAAACGAAAAUACUUGGAGUCAUUUUUUUUUCCAAAUUCAAGGAAACAACCUAAAAGAAAUCACAAAAUAUCCAAUCCAAAAUUGAAGAACUUGUAAAUCAAGAAAACCUUUUAAAAAAUCAAUUAAGUAUACAUUGAUUAGAUUAUAGUACUUAAAGACUUUAUUAUUAUAAAAAAAUUAAUUUAAAUCAUAUCCAACAAUCCCUCACUUGAUUUAAAUUAACAAAAUUAAUAAAAGAGAUAACAAAAUUAGGCUUCUAGGAAAGUCAUGCAUAUAAAUGGUCUCUUCAAGAUUUCAACCUUCACUUAGUAUAAAGUAUAAACAAAUCAAAAUUUGUCACAAAACUAAUUAUUAGAUAAAUCAAAUUUGCCAUACAUAUAUUCAUUUUAGGGCAUAUUUAAUAUGCAGGAAUGAGGAGUAGGAAUGAGCAUCUCAUUCAUUCUUAUAUUUGAAUAACUUAAAUGAUGAUGGGAAUAAAAUUAAGAAUGAUUCCAAAGGAAAUGAAUUUCACUUAUAAAUGAGAUUUCAAUUUAUCUCUGGAAGGAGGUAUUUUUAUUUUUAAGUGCAAGUUAUUUUAAAAAUACUUUUCAAAAAUUUAAAAACCAAAAGGCUUUUCUGGAUAAUUUUUUUUUAAAAAUAAUUUUUUAUUUUAUAAAAAAAAUAUUGUAAAUUCAAUUUAAAUAAUAUAAAAUAAAAUUAAUUCAAGUGUUAUUAAAAAUGAAAAUAAUUUUAUAAUUAAAAAUAAAUAAAAUUAAUAAAAUAUGAAUAGUAAUAUUAUGAUAAAAUUCUAAAUUAUAUUUUUUAUAAAUAUUAUUAAAAUAUGUAUAUUAAUAUUUUGUAAAAGCAUAAACUAUGUAUGGUAUAUAUGAGAGUUUUUUUUUAAAUGAAAAUGAAAUAUUAUUUAAAACUAUAUGUAUGAAAUUUAUUACCAAUUUAUUUCUUUUUUCAUUAUUAUUUUUAUUGUUACUUAACAUUGAAAUAAAAACAAAUAAUCAUUCUAUUCUUACAUUCCUAUAUGCAUUCAAACACAAGAAUUGAAAUCACCAAAUUCAUUUCUAUUUAAAAAGUAGGAACGGAAAGAAAAAUUUUUAGGAACAGAAAGAAUAUUUUCGUUCUUAUUCCUCAUUUCCAUAUACCAAACCUGACCUUAGGUUAUUGUUCUUUUAAAGCUAACACCUUUGAAAUCUAUUUAAUCCCAUUUUACUAGAUCGGAUAUGCCAUACCACACAUGUCUUUUAGAGGUUAGCGUUCCUUUAAAGCUACCACCUUUGAAGUCUAUGUCUAAUCCCAUUUUAAUGAGUGAUCCAGAGAAGAUAUAUAUAUAGUCUCUUGCAACAAUGACUAGUUUCAAUGCUCAAAACGGUGAAGUCUGUCAAGAGUGUAACCCGUUUCACUCCCACCAUAAGCGUAUAAACUGAUGAAAAUGUAAUAAUCCUCAUCUUCACAAAUAAUAUGACUCAUUUGCAAAGAAGUCAGCUACAGGAUUAACACUAAUUUAUCAUAGGAAGGGAUUUUCAUAUAUAAUAUGAAUGCAUUACAUCACAACUGUUUCUUUGCCUCUUUUUUCAUUGAACACGAGAAAUCUGAUCAAAUUGGGUUCUCACUGACCAUAACUUCAGUACAGAUUUUCAAUCUCAUUCCCCUUGAUGAAAUUCCCUCUGGACUUGACAUAUUAUGUAGCCACGAUCCCAUCAAAGAUGAGUCCCCUUACAUGAUUAUGUCUCACAUAAACAAGUCUAAAAUUCCCAUUACAGAUCUAUAUGACUUAAGCAUUGUGACAUGAUUAUCACUACAAAUAGUGAUUGUUUACAUUGGUUUAUUUCAUAUAGACGUGUCUACCAAUAUAUUCCUUAGCCGCUCACCUUCAUUUCUCACUAAUGAGAGGGAAAUGAACUCAUUUCAAUGUGUAAUGAGAUAUACAUGUCAGCCUUUUGGAUUUCUAAGUAAUUGCACCUUCUACCAAAGUGAAGAUCCAUCCUAUGACAGAUGUCCCAUCCUCCAAAGAAGAAUUCCAUGAGGCAUCACUGUAACCUUCCAAGUGCAAUAGGAAACCUCCUAUAGUGUAAAAUGUAGGGAAUUAAACCGAAUUCCCAACCUAUGAGAAACAAAAAUAGAGAAAACACACGGCAAGGAAAAACAAUCACACGCACAAGACAAUAUUUACGUGGUUCGGCAAUUUGCCUACGUCCACGGAGUUGCAGGGAUAUCACUAUUAUCAGGGGAGAAUACAAAGUACAACCACAGCGGCUACAAUAUUUUCUCUCUAUAUAUAACACAGUGAUUACUACUCAAAAAGUGCUAUUUGAUAGCCUAUAAUUAAUCCUUUUAAACACUUUUGAGUAGUAGUUUAGGCCUUUUAACUCAAUUGGCAUGUUAAGGACCCUUGAAAGCAAUUUUAAUUACUUUGUGUAAGUUUUGGUGUUUUUGUUAGUAUUUUGAUCAUCAAAGCAAGUCAAGACUGAGGAAAGUUAUGAGGAAUCUUGGGCAAAGCUUAGAAGUCAUUUGCCAAGAGUGAAUCCAGAAUGCAAGGAGAAAAAGUAAAGAGAAUCUUCCAUGAAGCAUAUUCUUGAUGACAGUCGUGGCAGCCACUUUUGGAGUACUUUCUGAAGUCCAAUUGAUGCAUGCUAUAUACCAUUUCAAAGCUCAGGAAGUCAACAAUCCAAUGCUUCAAACGGUGCGCAAUUUGGAGUUGAAAUGAAGAAGUUGCAGCCAUUGCAAGCCAAUUACUCCAAGCUGAAGGAAGCAUUUUGCAAAGUGUUGCGAAAUCACCCUUUUGUUGCGAAGUGAUUCCGCAGCCUUUUUGUACAGUAGGGUGUAUUUCCUUCUGAAGUUGCCCGAUAUAUGCCGCAAGCUGGGAGCUGAGAACCUCAAGGUGGAAACCAACUUCGCAGCCCUGCGAAGAUAGCAUGUUGUUGCAAAAUGAUUUCGCAGCCCUCUUGAGUGUCUGCGAAAUCUCGCAGACACCAUUUUCUCUUGCGAAAUGGUUCCUGGAGCAUCCCGAUAUCUGCUACCGACAUUGGGAGAUAUUUUACAUUAGAUUUUUGUUGUCUAAAUACCAAAAUACUCCUUGUAAGCCACCAAUUACAAGAUUCCUUAGCUUUUAAGUUAGUAAAAAAAGAGAAACUAUCUAUGUAAUAAUUAGUUUUAUAUUAUGUUCAUAUAUACCUCUCGGGAGCCUGUUCUCAGAGAGGAUCAUUUUGUAAAGUUUUGGGUAAGCAAGUAAAGUUCAGUUCUUUGUUUUGCCUUACCUUCUCACUUUGUAUUUUCAUAUUUUACUAAGUUAUGAACUCUCUGAGGAGUUUCUCCCAGAGAAUGAGUAACUAAACCUUUAGUUCCUUGGAGCUAAGGUUGCCGGGGAAGGUUCCAAGUGCAAGAAUGCAAAGCUUUGUGGUUUUAGCUAGUAAUGAAGAGGAAGAGAAAUCCUUUAGUGAUUUCUAUGUUUUUAGUUAACUUAAAACACCUUAGAGUCACCUGGGCCAACACUUGGUAAGGCAAGUGAUCUCCGUCCAUGGAGAUGCACUAGUUUACCCCUUGCGAGCCUCUGGGAAGUGACUUGAAGGUAGGAUUUUCUAGAAUUGCCAACACUUGGUAAGCUUUUGGACUCCAAGGAGACAUCCAUUAGUUAUCUCUUGCGAGCUUUUGAAGGGAAGUCCAAGGUUAAAGAUCAUCUUGAAUGGUAAGUGCUCGUGAGAGGCAUGAACCAUUGCAAGUUGCAUCAGUGAGAGAAUUAAAGUGAAAUCUAAUUAAAGGAUGUAUCUGUACAACACCGGUUAGAGAAUUGACUAUAUGUUGAAUCUCUAAUGCGAGGAAAGGAACCAUCUGACCGGAGCUAUGUCUUUUGCAUGAGGAACCACCCCAGUGAACCUAACUUUCCAAGGAAUGCUUUUCUUCCUAAGUUAUUCCGAUUACUUGUUGUGUUAGUUAGUUUAAGUCUAAAUCUUUACCAAUCAAAGUUUGUGUUUUAUUUCUUAAGCUAACCUUGAAAUGAAACAAGACCAAUUCACUUGGAAUUGGUAUCAUUGAUAGCUUGCUAAUCCUUCCCAGUGAACGAUCCUAGAGCCGCUAUACUAUAGUAGCUUUUUCUUUGCUACCCUAGUAUAUGGUGUUAUAGGUUAUAAAUUUUGUUGAUUACUCCCUCAAUCAAGGAGCACCAGCUGGACACGAAUCAGCUGAGACACCAAUUGGGCAUGAAUCACAUAGCAACCACACCACACUAAAAAACCCUAAUUACAAAAGGUGGUUCCACAAUGGGCUAAACGGGCCCAACAGGCCUCAGUAAAUCUCCCAUUAAAAAGUCAUGCAAUAUUAUUCAGGUCAGGUCGCCAAACCGGAUCAAACAAAACUAGGCUCCACAAAGCCUAACAAAUCUCCCACUUGGAGACUAGUUCAAUCAUCAACAUCAAACCGCUAUCCUCCAAGAAACAAUCCCUCAUCCCUGCAACUCAUCCUCCUAUCCUCAAGCUAGAAGACCAAUUGAAGCUGCGCACAACUUCAACUUCUCAAUAGUGACACCCUUAGUCAACAUGUCUGCCGGGUUCUUAGAUCCACAAAUCUUCUCAAGUAUUACCAGUUUAUCUUCAAUAAGGUAAUGGAUAAAGUGGUAUUUUGUUUGUAUAUGCUUCGACUUUGAAUGAAAAGCCAAAUUUUUGGCAAGAAAAAUAGCACUCUGACUGUCACUGUGUAGAAUGCCCAUCUUCUGCUUCUUACCCAAUUCAUCUAAGAAACCAUUUAGCCAAAUCAUCUCCUUUCCAGUUUCAGUUGCUGCAACAUACUCAACUUUUGUAGUAGACAAAGUAACAAUCUUCUGUAGAUUUGAAGCCCAUGAUAUAGCUGUACCACCUAGAGUAAAAACAAACCCAGUAGUACUCUUUCUACUAUCAAUAUCACCAGCAAAAUCAGCAUCUACAUAACCCUGUAGUUUCAAACUUGCACCUGUGAAACAAAUACAUGUAUCUAAUGAACCCUUUAGAUAUCUUAGAAUCCACUUGACUGCCUCCUAAUGUUGCUUUCCAGGCCUACUCAUGAAUCUGCUCACAACUCCCAUUACAUGUGCAAUGUUUGGCCUUGUGCACACCAUAGCAUACAUCAAGCUGCCAAUAACUGAGGCAUAGGGCACCUUGCUCAUUUGGUCAUUUUCUUCUUCUGUCUUCGGUGACUGUUCUUUGCUUAGUUUGAAAUGACUCCCCAAGGGUGUGCUCACUGGUUUAGCUUUAUUCAUGUUGAACCUGCUGAGAACUUUCUUCACAUACUCUGACCAUGAAAGCUUCAAUGUACCAUUAGCCUUGUCUCUAAUGAUUCUUAUACCAAGGAUUUGCUUUGCAGCUCCCAAAUCCUUCAUUGCAAACUGUUUGGACAAUUGUUUCUUCAGAUUAUUAAUCUUCUCAAUGUUAGACCCUGUAAUAAGCAUAUCAUCCACAUACAAUAGUAAUAUGAUGUAAGAAUUGUCAAAAGGCUUAACAUAACAACAGUGAUCAGCUUCACAUCUCUUGAACCCAAUUCUAUGCAUAAAACUGUCAAAAUUCUUGUACCACUGUCUAGGAGCUUGUUUAAGGCCAUACAAGCUCUUUCUUAGUUUGCAGACUAGAUUCUCUUGUCCCUGAACAAUUAACCCUUCUGGUUGAAUCAUGUAAAGGUCUUCCUCCAAGUCACCAUGAAGGAAUGCUGUCUUCACAUCUAACUGCUCAAGAUGUAAGUUUUCUACAACCACCCUUCCUAGUACAAGUCUGAUUGUUGACAUCUUCACAACUAGAGAAAAUAUCUCUGUGUAAUCAAUGCCCUCCUUCUGCUGGAACCCUUUAACAACUAAUCUGGCCUUGUAACGUUUGCUACCAUCAUGCUCAUUCUUUAUUCUGUAUACCCACUUGUUGUGCAAAGUCUUCUUUCCUACUGGCAAUUCAGUCAGUUCCCAUGUCUAAUUCCCCAACAGGGAAUCCAUCUCAUCCUUCAUGGCUAACUCCCACUUGCUUGAAGUCUCAUCUUGCAAGGCUUCAUCAUAACACUCUGGCUCACCACCAUUAGUCAACAGGAGAUAAUUUAAAACAGCUGAAUAAAGCUGCGGAGGUCUAAUGUUCCUGGAAGAUCUGCGAACUUCAGCUAUAGGUGUACUCAGAUCUACCUGUGAAUUUACAUUCUCCUUAUCUUCUUCACCCCCUUUUUGGACAGUACUUUUAGUCAAUUCAUCUAAGUUGACAAACUCAGAUUUCUUUUGAUCUAUCUCUGUAACAUCUGACACUAUAGUUGACCUGUCCUUGUACAUAACCUGUUCAUUGAAUAUCACAUUUCUAUUUCUGAUGAUUUUCCUAUUUUGUUCAUCCCAAAACCUAUAGCCAAAUUUCUUAUCACCAUAGCCAAUGAAAAAACAUAUUUUUGACUUUGCAUCAAGUUUACUACGAGCAUGAGAAUCAAUAUGAACAUAAGAAACACAACCAAAAACUUUUAAAUGUGAAAACUUCACCUCUUUACCGCUCCAAAUCUCCUCAAGAAGUCUGAACUCCAUGGGAACUGAUGGUCCUCAGUUUAUCAGGUAAGCUGCAGUGCUAACAGCAUCAGCCCAAAAAGUUUUUGGUAGUCUAACAUGCAACCUCAUACUUCUAGCAUGCUCAUUGAGAGUUCUAUUCAUGCGCUCAGCCACACCAUUCUGCUGUGGUGUCCCAGGAAUAGUCUUCUCCAUCCUAAUUCCCUGUGCAGCACAAUACUCACUGAACCCUCCAUCUAUGUACUCUCCUCCAUUAUCUGACCUCAAACAUUUUACUUUCAAACCUAUUUUUGUCUCAACUAUGGCCUUCCACUUCUUAAAAGUUUCAAAUACAUCAGAUUUAUUUUUCAGAAAAUAAACCCAUACCUUUUUGCUUGAGUCAUCAAUAAAAGUGAUGUAGUACCUUGAACCUCCCAGGGAUGCAAUCGGAGAAGGCCCCCACAAAUCAGUGUGUACUAGUUCCAAUCUUUUAGCCUUCGGUGUCCUGCCAGUUUUAAAAAAAACUCACCUUUUUUUGCUUUCCUAAGAUGCAACUUUCACACAUGUCAAAAUCAAUGGACUUCAAUUCUGGUAGUUUUCCUUUUGACAACAGCAUCUUCAUCCCUUUCUCACUCAUGUGACCAAGUCUACGGUGCCAUAGACUUGUAUCAGUACUUGCAUUAGCAACUGCAAUUGUGUCUCUUGGACUUGAGGUCAUAUAUAGAGUACCAGUCUUCUUUCCACGAGCCAAUACCCUAGCUCCCUUUGUAACCUUCCAAGUACCACCAACAAAUAGUAUUGCAUGUCUUUCAUCAUCAAGUUGUCCAACAGAAAUCAGAUUCCUCCUCAGGUCAGGAAUAUGUCGAACCUUCUCCAGUAACCAAAUAGACCCAUUGGGCAAUGAUAUCCGGACGUCUCUCAAACCCACAACAUCCAAGGUUGAACCAUCAGCCAAAUACACCUUACCAAAAUCACCUGCAACAUAAUUCUGUAUGAUUUCUCGGUGUGGAGUGGUAUGAAACGAAGCUCCUGAAUCCAAAACCCAAUCAUCAAGUGGACUGUCUACUGCAAGAAGUAAUGCAUCCUGUACCUCUUCUGUUACAACAUUAGCAGAAUCAUCUUCAUUCUUCUUCUUAGGACUUUUGCAUUGCCUUUUAAAGUGACCUGUUUUCCCACAGUUCCAGCAUUGUACUUGUUGGCCUGAUCUAGAUUUACUUCUGUUCCUAUUAGAAUUUCUGGAUUUUGAUCUACCUUGGUUUGAAUUUCUAUCAUUACCUCUGCCUCUUGUCUCAAGGUUUAGGGUAGAACCAGAUCCUGAGGUUUCGCCUGAAUCUCUUCGGCGAAUCUCCUCAGCUAGAAGUAAAUCUCGUAUAUCAUUGUACUUGAGCUUUUCCUUUCCUGUAGAAUUGCUUACUGCCAUCCUCAUUGCCUCCCAACUGUUUGGCAAAGAAGCCAAGACGAUCAGAGCAUGAAUCUCUUCAUCAAAAUCAAUUUCUACAGAUGACAAUUGAUUUGUGAUUGUAUUAAAUUCAUUUAGAUGUUGUGCUACUGAUGCAUUCUCUGCCAUCUUCAAAUUGAACAAUUUCUUCAUCAGAUGCACCUUAUUGUUUGCGGACGGCUUUUUAUACAUACUGGACAAAGCCUUCAUCAGAUCUGUUGUGGUCUUCUCCUUUACAACAUUAUGUGCAACAGACCUAGACAGAGUUAACCUAAUAACUCCUAGAACCUAUCUGUCAAGAAGCGCCCAUUCCUCAGCCUUCAUACUCUCAAGUUUUGUCCCCAAAAGAGGCAGAUGCAAUUUCCUCCCAUAGAGAUAAUCUUCAAUCUGCAUCCUUCAAUACGCAAAGUCUGUGCCAUCAAACUUUUCUAUUCCAGACGCCUUUCCUGCUUCCUCUGCUAUUGCUCCCACUCAAACCUAACCCUAGGCUUUGAUACCAGUUGUAGGGAAUUAAACCGAAUUCCCAACCUGUGAGAAACAAAAAUAGAGAAAACACACGCCAAAGAAAAACAAUCACACGCACAAGACAAUAUUUACGUGGUUUAGCAAUUUGCCUACGUCCACGGAGUUGCAGGGAUAUCACUAUUAUCAGGGGAGAAUACAGAGUACAACCACAACGACUACAAUAUUUUCUCUCUAUAUAUAACACGACAACCACACCACACUAAAAAACCCUAAUUACAAAAGGUGGUUCCACAAUGGGCUAAACGGGCCCAACAGGCCUCAGUAAAUCUCCCAUUAAAAAGUCAUGCAAUAUUAUUCGGGUCGGGUCGCCAAACCGAAUCAAACAAAACUAGGCUCCACAAAUCCCAACAUAAACCAUAAAAGAUUGUCCCUUUUAAGUACUAGAGUAAAGUAGUCCAAUGCACUUCACCUAGGUUACUUGUCUAUAGACACAAUCUUCCAACUUCAAAAGUUAUAUCAGGCCUGGUGCAAUUCAUGACAUACAUAAGACUGCUAAUAAUAUGUUAGUACUUUGUGGAGAAAUAAUCCUACCUUUAUUCUUCUCCAACUCGAUGCUCAAAUCUUAUGGAGUUAGAACUAGAGAACACUCAAGACAAUCAUAUCUUUUGAGGAUCUUUUCAAUAUAAUAUGACUAUGACAAGACAAUCCCACCAUAAGGUCUAAGUACUUUGAUCUGAAGAAUAACAUCAACUUCCAACAAGUCCCACAUAUAAACUUAGAUGACAAACACUCUUUAGUUUUAGUAAGACAACUUUCUACAUCUAUUAUAGAUAUCAGCAUGUUAUCCACAUGAAGGCAUAUGAAGACUCUAAAAUCUCUUACAAAAGUAGAUGCAAACAUUGAUCUCAUUUAUAUAAUCACCACUAUUAAGAAGCACAUUUUUGUAUUUUUCAUGCCACAUCUUUAGUGCUUGCUUCAGUCCAUAUAAAGACUUCUAAUUAACAAACUUUCUUCUCAUGCUAAUACAAAUUAAUACCUUGUGGUUGAUCCAUGUAUAUUGCCUCAAGUAAAGAUCUCCAUUCAAGAUUGCUGUUUUCAUACCCAUUUGAUGAAUGAUCAAACCAUUCAAAGUAAUAAUGCUAUUAUCGACUUGAUAUCUAUGAUUCAGGCAAAGAUGUCAACAUAAUCAAAUCCUUAACACUUGAAUCAAGGUUUUGAGCAUAAAGAUUCCACUGACCUAUAAAAAAUGGGCCCCCCCUCCGAAAAAGUUAUAUAUAUAUAUAUAUAUAUUAAAAAAUGAAUAAAAAUAAAAAAACCACAUUUUACACAACAGAGGCUUCCUCGUGAAUGGUAGAUGACGUUUCAACUUUCAUGAUCAUGGUAUGGUAUAUAAUUUUUCUUCAUUUUUCUUUCUUUGGCUUUUUUUGCGCAAACAUCAAUGAUUUUAUCAUAUCUAUUUUUUUUUUUUUUUUAUGCCCAAAUGCUCUAAAGAUACCUGAAAAUACUUAAAAAGCAAAUCAAAUCAGCUUUCACACAAAAAAUAAGUCCUAUAAAAUUAGAAUUAGAUAUAUAAAUUUGAAGAAUAAAAUAUUAUUAUGUAGGACAUAUGUUACAUAAAAUGUAAAUGAAAUGAAUAUGAUGAAUUUUUUUUUUCAUUUAUCUUAGAUAUUUUACAUGUAACUUAAAAUUUUAAUUUAAUAUUAAUAAAUAAAAUUAUAUAUAUAUAGUGGCCACGGUGAUAGUGGAAUUGAAAUUUGAACUUGCAUCUUAUUUUAUUAUAUAAUUUCAUAAAAUUAGGAUCAAAUAUGUAAAUUCUAAGAAUAAAAAUACUAUUAUGCAAGAAAUGUAUUACAUGAUGUGAAUGGAUAUGCAUAUAGAGAGAAGAAAUAAAAGAGAUAAGAGAAAAUAUAGCAUUGCAUUGUCAUUGAUGAUUGAUGAAUGUUUAAGGGAUAAACAAUGACUUCUGCUCUCAUUCAAAUUUUAUCUCCUACUCUAAUUCAAACUAAUAAUAGACUUUUAUUCUAAUUCAAACUUUAUAUCCUAUUAUAAUUCAAACUAACAAUAAAUAGAUAAAUAAUAAAUAUUAAUUUUCUCUAAUAUGACCCUUCAAAAUGGAGCUACAAUCGAAGAUUCCAAUCUUAGUCUUGAUAGAAAGAAAGUGACUACAAUAUAGUUCGAUCAAAAGAGAGCACACUAGUAGUAGUGGCAACAAAUCUGUAUUCAGAUUUUGUGGAGGGCAACCUUCACAAGGUCCAAGUGUUGAGUGGAUUUGACUUGGUGAUGGAGAGGUUAGGCAAAAGUAAUAAAAAUGGACAAACUUUGAGCAAAAACCCAAAGACAAAGGAAAUCAUCUCACAUUACUUUUGGUUAAGAAUAGAGCUUUGAAGCAAAAAAUUGGACAAUAGAAGAGAGACCAGAAGAUUUAAAUAGGGAGAAAAAUAGAAUUUAAUCAUGCAUGGAAUAUGUUUGUUUUCAUGAAACAAGAAAAACAAGCAAUCGAAUCUAAAGAAGACGAAGAAUCAAGGGAAAAAUAAACAAGAGCAGUUGUUUGGCUAUCGAGAAAACACAUGAAAAGACCAAAAAAGGAAAAUCUUGAAAAAGAGAAAAAUGUAUAUGAAAAAAAAAAUUGUUUAGAAAAUAACCAAUAAAAAAGUUUUCAAGAACUCAUAAUGAGUGUGGAGAAAAUAGGUUACAAUAAAAGUGAGUAAAAAUCAAGAGAACUAAGGUUUUCAACUUAACUUUGAGAAAGCUUUUAGAGAGAGAGGAAGGGGGUAGAGUUGAAGGUGAUAAAGAAGUAGAGAUUAAAUUAAGGGAACCAAUACUAGUAGGACGUAAAGGAGAAGAAUAAUGGAUAUGAAGAAUUAACAAACAAUAGAGUUUAACAUACAAUCAACCAACUUAGUAAAAAGAACAUCAACAAAAUGAAUGAGUAAAAGAAUGAUAUCGUGUAUCAAAAUUAGAAUUUAUACAAAUCUAGAGUGAAUUUGAACCGACAACUCACAUAAUGCAGAUGGAAUUUGGGACAAAAAUAAUUUCUAUUGAAGAAAAUCAAUUGAAUUUGAUAUGGAAAAAAAUUAUCCAAACCAUAGAACUUGCAAAUAUAAACCCCAAAACCGAAAAAUGAAAAAGAGCCAACGAAAAUAGGAAAGAAUAGUGAUUGAAAGGAUUGACUUUAAAAGGAGAAGUAGUAAGUUUGAACCAAGAAAAUUUGGAGCUCCUGAUUUGUAAAUGGGCAUUGAACCAAGAUAUUGCAUUGGAAGUUGGAAGGAAUGAGGCAUUGAUAGGCCAGGUCGAAGCAAAGAUUGUUGGUGUAAAUGAGGAAGCUCAUUUAGGGAGUCAUAGUAUCCUUGCCAUUACAUAGGCACAACAAGGCACUACUAUUUGCAAUAGGAGAAGGUAGUGUAGGGCCUAGGCGUUGCACCCUAUAUUUGCUCUAGGUUGAUAUAAACACAGGCUUUAGUGCCAUAGGAAGCAACAGGAAGUUGUUGCGUCACAGACGUGAAUCAAGUUAUAGGUGUUGAAGAGUAACUCUUUAGAGUAAAUGAGUCAAGUAAAUCUGUGUAACUUGAUUAGUGGAUCUAGAUUGGUAGGUGAUAACCCGACUCUUGGUAGCUUGGCAUGUAAGGGUAUCAACAAAAUUUAUACCUAAGGUCCUUACACUAAAGUAGCAAAGCUACUAUAGCAUAGUGGCUCUAGGAUCGAACACUGGGAAGGGUUUUUACUUUAACUGGUGAAGUUCGGAGGAUGGAGUGAACUUUUCUUAAUAAAAAUUAGGUUAAGAUGAAAACAUAAAAAGAUGAAGGUUUUGUAAACUAAACUAACAUGAAAAUAGGUUAAAAGAUGGAAAAAAGAAGUUUCUCAAAGCUUUGGAUAGCCAUGCUUAACUCACUGUGUAAAAAUGGAGAUUUUGGAACUUUUCACCUCGAGUUGGGGAAGCAACUAAGGUGAUGCUUACUUCCCGAACCGGUAUGUGUUUAACAACUGAGUUUUAGUCCUUCAAAACUUACAAAAAAGGGUAGCUGAACCUCAUAAAUGCUCUUUUAAUGAUAUAGGUCAUCUCCUCGACUUGCAAUACAAUGGCUCGUAGGAAAUAACUAAUGAACGUCAGUGGAUCUAACAAUAAGAAUCCACUGAGACCAAAAGGUUAUCAAGUAUUGGCCAUUCAAAGCAAGUCAGAGGGAUUAAAAGCUUUACUUUGAAUGAAAACAUUUAUAACGCUCAGCUACUUACAUUCAUGGCUUGGAAAUCUCCAUCCUGACACGGGAGCUUCACAUGGCAUCCAUUACUUCAAGAAACUAAAAGGUUUUAGCCUUUCAUCCUUGGGGAUUUCAUCCUCCAAGGAUGUUUGGCUACUAAGAAAAUAGAAAAUAGUAGAGAGAAAAAGAAAGCAAAAGAUACUCUGUAUUUAGCUAAGUGUGUAAUUUACAUAAGUUGGUCUCCUGGGGAAAGUUCCCCGACCGUCAAAAAAUGAAAAUUACAAAACAAUAUAUAACAGGGUUGUUUACCCCUGUAUUCUUGCUUAACAACUAAGGAAUCAUCUAAUUGGUGGAUUACAAGGAGAGAAUUGGGAUUUAGACAACAAAUAUCUGAAGUAAAAUAUCAAAAAACGUCGGUCGCAAAUAUCUGGAAGCACUCAGGAGAAUUUCGCAGGCGCACAAAAUGGCUGCGAAAUUUCGCAGACGAACAAGAUGGCUGCGAAAUCAUUUCGCAGCCGAAGGCUGAUUUCGCAGCCCUGCGAAAUUGGCCUUCAGCUUGGAGUGAUCUGCUUCCAUUGGCUCUAACUUCUUCAUUUCAACUCUGAUUUGCGAACCGUUUGAAGCAUUGGAUUGUUGACUUCCUGAUCUUCGAAACGACAUAAAGCAUGCAUAAAUUGGACUUCAGGAAGUACUCCAAAAGUGGCUGAAAUUACUGUCAUCAAGGAUGCUUCAAGGUAGAUUCUCUCUUUACUUCUCCUCCUUGCAUUCCGGAUUGGUUAUGGCAAAGGACUUUAAGGCUUCAAAGCUCUGAUUCUUCAUGUUUCUGAGCUUUCCAUUGCUUUGCCAUGGAUUCCAAAUAACUCUCCUCCAUCUUGGAUUGCUUUGGUGAUCAAAUUACUAACAAAAACACCAAAACUUACACAAAGUGAUUAGAAGUGAUUGCAAAGGUCCUUAAUAUGUUAAUUGGGUUAAAAGGCAAUAACUACUACUCAAAAGUGUUUAAAAGAGUUAAUUACAAGCUAUCAAAUAGCACUUUUUGAGUAGUAAUCAGUAGGUCUUAGACCUCAUGGUUUUUUAUCUUCACAAUUUGUGAAGGAUUUAAAUGUAAAAAUCUUGUGUCUCAUUGCAUAUCUUUUUAUUCCUACUUAUAUUCAUUCUAUUUGAUGAUAUUGAUAUCCUUUGGAUUGAUUGAUUAGUUUGAUAUUGACGUUGUUGGGUUGGUUAUCUUGAAGAUUAUGGUAGAUAUACCUAUAACGAGUUAUUGUUUUCCUUAACUUCUUUCACAUUAUAAUUCAUACAUUAAUAAUUAUAUUAUUUUAUCCCUAACUAUUCACGAGAUCUUUCUAAAAGGUAAAAAUCAGUUUUUUAUCAAAUGAUUUUAGGUAUAACCCAUUUAUUUAUUUGGGAUAGCCCUGAUAUUUAUUGGGUUAAAAGAAUUGAGUAUAAUAUAUAAAUAUUUAUUUAAAAUUUUUAAUCACCUAUUCACUACCCCUCUAGGUGUUCCUUAUUGGACUUUCGGCGGUUUUUCACAUGUGUUAUUAGAGCAAAGUUUAAUCAAGAGUUAAUGACUUGACUUCAAGUAAACUUGUAAAUAAUUUCCUCAAGUGUUUUGGAGAAUCUGAUUUUGUCUUAUGGAGCUUUGAAGGUGGACGAAUGACACUUUUGUAUCAUGUUUGAUAUUCUUCCAUGGGCUUAUUGAAAAAUAUUUGGAGUUUGAUCCUAUCUUUCGAAGCUUGAUUUUUUUAUUUGAUUUUGAUCCAAGGGUGGUAAACACAUAUUCUUGGAGCAAAGUUUAAUCAAUAAUGAAUGAUGACUUGAUCCCAAGUAAACUUGUAAAUAAUUUCCUCGAGUGUUUGGGAGAAUCUGAUUUUAUAUUCUUUGGCUUUGAAAGUGGAUGAAUGACACUUUUGUAUUAUGUUUGAUAUUCUUCCACAGGCUUGUUGACAAAUGUUUGGAGUUUGAUCCUAUCUUUUGAAGUUUGAUUUUUGGAUUUUAUUUCAAUCAAAGGGUGGUAAACAUGUGUUCUUGGAGCAAAGUUUAAUCAAUAGUCAAUGAUGACUUAAUCUCAAGUAAACUUGUAAAUAAAUUCCUUCAAUGUUUUAGAGAAUCUGAUUUUGUCUUCUUUGGCUUUAAAAGUGUAGGGUCAUAUCCCUUGAAAGAUGUAUAAAAGACCCCAAUGCAUUCCCUGUAUGCACAUCUCCACAUCUAACACCUCAAAGAAUCUAUCCUUGUAGUUAAGGCUUAAGGAAUGCCAAUUAUUGAUGUAGUCAAUGAGUGGCUUGUCUUUCCAUUACUUGGUAUUGUAGAGUUUCAUCAUUAUUACAUUUCAUCGGGAACUAUAAAAGUGAUUGAGGAAUUCGUGCUCCAUUUGGUCCCAACUAUCAAUGUACUCAAGUGCAAGGUUUAUGUACCAAUAAAAUUUGUUCCCUUGGAGGGUACAGACAACUUGUUCAACUAAGAGGUCACUCUAUAUACCUACAUUGUUGUAGGUUUUAACAAAGUGGGUAACAUGUUGCUUCAGAUUUCCCUUUCCAUUAAAAAACUGAAACUUUAGAGGUUGAUGACCCACAUGCAUAUGUAGGUUAUCAAUCCUCUUAGUGUAAGACUUAGAGUAGAUGAGUGUACUCUAUGAUGGUCCGCCAUACUGCACUCUAAUGGAUAAAUAGUGAUGCCACCAAAGUAGAUUCAAUGGUUUGUUUCCUAAUCUACAUAGAUACAAUAUUCGAAGGGUGAGUGAGUCCUUGGCUUGACUUAGUUGUAUUUUGUGCAUGCGCCUUAACCUUGUUCAUAAGAGAGACUAUUUGCAAAUCUUUCUCCUCAACAAAUCUUGGUAAGUUUAGCGAUGGCACAAUCCAUUUCAGGUAAUUGUUCUUCAAUGGAUGUAGUGCUCAUUGUCAUUAUUGGCAUAGUCACCAAGAAGGAAAAAGUAAAAGAGUCAAAAUGGUUUGGAGGAGUUAUCCUCCUUUGACAUCCCAGUUAGUGAUCUAGAAUGUGAGUUGGUGUCAGAGUUUGCAUUGACAACAAAGUGGGAGACUUAUCCUCAAAUUCCUUUGUUGUUGAAGGGUGUUUUUCCCUACUAUGAAAAUCAAUGAGAUUCAAAAAUUAAGAUUUUCCAAUGUGAUGGAGGAGAAGAGUUCAGUUCAAUUGAAUUUAUUAACCAUGUUCAAAGUUGUGGCAUUGAACUCCAUGUGUCUUGUCCAGGAACUACUCAACAAAAUGGUGUAGCAGAACGAAAACAUCAACAUAUAGUUGAAACUGGGCUUACAAUGUCAUUUCAUGCUAAUAUGCCCUAUCUUUAUGGGUAGAAGUUUUUUUCCACGACUCUGUAUUUGAUUAAUCAUUUACCACAAUGUCAUUUCAUGUGUCUUGCAGAAUGAAAGCUCAUAUCAAAAACGUCACAAAAGACAUCCAGACUAUAGUGGCUUGCAGGUAUUGGGAUGUCUAUGUUUUCCUUCUCUUCAAAAACAAGGGGGUUCAAAAUUUGUCACAAAAACAUAUCCUUGUGUUUUCAUUGGAUACAGUCCAAUACACAAAGGAUAUCGUUGUUAGGAACCAAAAACAAAAAUAGUAUAUAUUUAAGGCAUGUUGUAUUUGAUGAAGAAGCAGCAUUUCCUUUUAAGCCCACUCAACUGCCGAAAAUUCUCAAAAAUUGAGUUUAUCCGAAUUUCCAAGUUUGGACAAAUGGAUUGGCAAAAUUGAUGACUCACACAAAAUCCUUUCAAAUAAGGAGAUUUCUAGAAAGGAAAAACCAAUAGCUUGAUUUCUGACUUUACAAAUUGUUGACUUUAAUGUAGGUACCUCAUUGUUCAAGGAAGAUGCUGCUCUUAACCCUUUGGAGCAGCUAGAUGAAACCAUGGGAGUCCAUAAGCUGUAAAUUCAACCUCUCCUUUAAGAGAGACUGCUGAUUCUCCACAAAAUAAUGUUUCAGUCCCGAAUCCUCUAAUCUCUGAAAGUCAAGCAAAUCAGGAUGUAAUAUUUCCAUCAUCCACUCCAGCAGAUUCUCUCCCAAACAUGGAAGGCAUCUCCACACACCUUGACAUCCAUGACGUGAAAUGCUCAGAUUCAAGCUCUCACAAUUCCCUUCGGCCAGUUCGACUUCGUACGACUCCUUACUAUUUGAAAGAUUAUGCUACAGUUGCCACCAAGGGUCCCCACCCACAUUUCCCCUCCGAACCGAAGACCCUUAGGGAAGCCUUGAAAGAUCCUUGCUGGAUAGCUGCUAUGGAAGAGGAACUUGCUGCCCUCAACACUAAUGAUACUUGAGACUUAGUUCCAAGGCCGCUUAGUAUUAAUAUUGUCGGCUCCAAGUGGAUUUAUCCCAUUAAAACAAAGGAAGAUGGAACCAUAGAUCCUUCAAGGCUCGUUUGGUUGCAAGGGGAUUCACUCAAAUUUCUAGAGUUGAUUAUGAUGAAACCUUCAGUCCAGUAGUUUGACCAACAACCACUAGGUUAGUGAUUGCUCUCUCCCUAUCCUUCAAAUGGAAGAUAAGGCAACUUGAUGUUAAAAAUGCAUUCUUGCAUUGUAACCUCAAAGAAAUUGUCUACAUGGAGCAGCCACCAGGGUUUAUUCAUCCAACUAAGAAAGAUCAUGUUUGCUUACUUAAAAAAUCACUCUAUGGAUUGAAAUAGGCACCUCGUGCCUGGUUUGGUAGACUCUCUAAAUAUCUUCUGCACCUUGGUUUCCAUUGCAUCACAUGUGAUGCCUCUUUUUUUAUAUAUUACAUCCAUUACUCUCAUUUAUGUAGAUGAUAUUCUCCUUACAAGGAAUAACGAUGAGUUUCUCCAACAUCUAAUCUUGAGGCUGAGUCAUGAGGUUAUAAUCAAGGAUCUCAGAUCAUUGCACUAUUUUCUUGGAAUAGAAAUGAAGCCAUUUCCUAGUGGAGUGUACUUGUCUCAACACAAAUACACACGACAUUCUUCACAAAACAAAAAUGUUGGAGAGUGCUCCCCUUGCUACACCAAUGGCUGUAAAAGACAUCUCUUCAAACUCAGAACCCGUUGAUGCUACCAAUCUUUAUGCGUUGAGUGAUGCAGAUUGGGCUAGUUGCACCACAACAAGGAAGAGCAUCACUAGUUUCUGCACAUUCCUUGGUACCAAUUGUAUUUCUUGGUGUGCUAAGAAACAACCCACUAUGUUCCACUCCAGCACUGAAGCCGAAUAUCGAUCUAUGGCCUCCACCAUAACUGAGAUAACAGGGCUCACAUUUCUUCUUCAAGAUAUUGGUGUUCCCUUGGCACAACCCCCACAUUCAUUUUGUGAUAAUAUCAGUGCCCUUUACAUAUCAGUUAACCCUUUGUUUCAUUCAAGAUCAAAGCACAUUGAGCUCGACUACCACUUUGUCCGAGAAAAGGUUGCAGUGGGUCAUCUUAUCACAUGACACAUCCCUUCAUCAUCUUAGCUUGCUGAUAUCUUCACCAAGCCAUUACCCAAGGCUACCUUUCAGAUGUUCAGGGACAAACUGGGUGUUCAACCUCAACCACACACUAGUUUGAGGGGGCAUGUUAAGAAUCCAGCUCAAGAAGAUUCUAAUACAUCUCAGGAGAAUAAAAUCUCCUAGCUAUAGGCUGUAACUCUAGAGAAUAAAAUCACAGAGAAUAAAAUUUCCAAGUUGCAGGCUGCAAAGGAAGGAAAAUAAAUAAAUAUUGAUUUCCUAUUCUGUAAAUACACACUUCCAUAUGUAAAAUAUACACCUUCUAUAUGUAAAAUAUAUACUGUGUAUAUUAAGACCUGCUAGUCAAUGAAAAUAGCAUCGACUUCAUUUAUUCUUUUCUAAACUUUCUUCAGAAAGCACAGGUUGUGUCAUUUUUCUUUUCAAGAAAACAACCUUAACUCCCCAUUGGAUCAUUUUUUAAAUGACUUUGAAGGUGAUAUCAAAAUAUUCUACUCUUUUUUUUUCUCUCUCUCUUGCAACGUUUCAAGAGUGUUUUUCUAACAUGAACUUCAAGACACCAAAAUUAGAGAACAAGUAGACUAAUGGAAUCCCAAGUCCAAAUGGAGGAGAUUGGUAGCAAUUGGGAGGCCUACUGCAAUCAGGAAAGCAUCGCAUGGAACCCACAUACCAAGAAGGCAUAACAAAGUGGAUUGUUAUAGGGCAUGCGUUAGCCAUGCUCAUGCGUACAACCAAUGCGUGAUAGUGCUAUCCUAUGUCCUUUCUUGACACUGACUGCAUGUGAUAUAUCCCCUCAUUUUUCUUUGUAUUUGUUUGAUUUUUUAUUUAUUUAUUUUUUUUUUGUAACCCACCUUGUUUUUUAAAAGUAAAAAGUACACUUUUUGUUUUAGUAAGUGGGAAAGCGCUUGGGGUCUAAGUUUUUUAGAAUAUUUUUGAGAUUAUUAGAGAACAUUCUAUACUACAAGAAAUUUUUUAUUAUUUUAUUGCUUUUAGAUUUUUUUUUUCUCAUGCAUUUUAUUUAAGUGGAUUAUUAUUAUAAUAAUUAUUUUUGAGGCAUGAAAAAUAGAAAAUAAUUUUCUGUGACAGUUUUUUUUUUUUUUUUUUGCAAAUUUUAAUUGCUUAGUAGCUAAGACAUGUCUAGAUUUUGUUUACAAUCCACGUAACUUGGUCUUGUUAAUAUAUUUUGAGUGAGAAUUAUAUUUUAGGUAGUAUCUUAUCAUAUUUAAGACAAGUCUAUAACCAUCAACAUCAAUAUCAAGUUGAGAGUUUCAUCUUUAAAACUAACCACUAACCAAAUAUAACUAGUUUAUCAAGAUGAAGCUCAAUUUCUCUCCCACUCUAACUACUUUUAUAGCCAACAUCAAAAUAAAUUUAAUAAUAGAGGAUCAAAGAUUUAGCAUAUAGUAAGCUAAUUCAUGUUUGAUUUGUAUUACUUUGGGAUUUCUUUAACUUUCAAUCAUUUGAAAGUAGAUGAAGUCAUAUCUUUAAAUUUUUAUGGUUCCUCUAUUUUCUUCUUGUUUUUAUUUUGAUAUUUGAUGUUAUUCUAAAUCCAAGACAUUCUUUAUCAUUUUCUUACAUAUUCUUUUAGGUUUCCAUGGUUUAAUACUAGUUAGUAUGCUCUCUGAUACAUAACAUCUACGGGAUGUAAGUCAAGUGUGAGUUUUUAUAUUGAUCCUAAACUUACAUAUACUUUCCAUAAUCUUAUUUCAUAAUUAAUUCUAAAAUGUGAAUUAUAUUGACUCUAAUCUUACACUUACUUCUCCUACUAUUUAUAUUUGAUUGUGAAUUCUAAAAUUCUUUAUUAUUACAACUCUAAAAGAAUUCAUUAAACAAAUAUACCUCAGUAUUAUCUUUGGGCUAUUAUUCCUCAUAAGAUAUUGCUCACUAUGUCCUUUUACUAUUGCCAUUUUAAAUGUAAUUAGUUAUUUCUUUUUUUUUUCCUUGUCUUUUGAUAUUCUAUGUAGAUACUAGUACCAUCUUCAAGUUUUAAAAAGUUGUGCUUAUUUAGAGCAUGACCAUAGUAGGGAGAGUUCCAUCGAUGUAAUCCUCAACCCGAUUGACAAUGGUUACAUUCAGAAACUAAUUUUUCUAGAUGAGGUAAUUGCCUUAAUCCAAUUUGAUUGUGAGUGGUUGGCUAAGAGUUGGAAGAGAUUGAUGAAUGAACUGAGCAGGGUAAGAUGAUUUGAAUCAAAAACUGGUUUCUGGAAAAUUUUGUUACAUGUUUGGAAUCUGUGGAGGAAUUUCAAUAUUAGAUGAGGGAUUUGUAGCAUAAGAGGCUCCAAGAGGGGUUGAUGAAGAUGAAUCCAUUUUGGAUUGAAGCAACUCUGAUACCAAAUUGGAUCUGGAAAAGAUAGCACAAAGGAAAAGAAUUCAAAAAAUAAGAUUGAUGUGCUUAAUGCUAAAAAGACUAAUCUACUUGAGAAAGAUUAAAUAAUUUAAAAGCGUAUAAGUUUCCAACUAAUUUAAAUUUUUUCCUUAUUUCAAUGGAAAAAUCAAACACUAGAAGUUUUUUUUUUUUUUUUAUCAUUUUUUUUAAGAACCAAACAUAAAAUUAUACAUAUAUAUAUAUAUACAAACAGGCCCAUUACAAUAGGAUAGAUCGUCUCAAGCCUCUUGAUUAUAGAAUAUAUGUGUCAUGCCAAAGACCCCCUCCAAGGACGUGACUAUCAUUUCAAACCUCAAGUUUGAAGACUCAAAGUGCAAAUGACUCAAACAAUUAUCUUGUAACCGUAAGAUCACUAAUUACCAAAUUCUUAUUCAGAGUAGUAAAAUGUACUAUAAUCCUCAAAAUUUAACUUAAAAAAACUAACACAUCAACCACUUUGCUAUUGUCCUAACAACUUCAAACCGAAAUGGUUCAAACAGUAACUAAUUUCUAACAUUUAAACACUGUCCAAAAAUAAAGUUUAAACCAAUGGCCUAAUAAUGACAAAUUCCUAGCCUAACUAUCACUCGCUUGAAUUGAGAGUACUUGAAAAAAAUUAUCAAUGGAUGAGAGUGAAAUUAACUCAUAAAGUUAUUGUUCCCAUAAAUAUUUUUAUAUGUUUAACUACAACUCAAUUGCAAUUAGUAUAGAAGGUUUUUCUAAGUUGAGUGGUUAUGCCUCAUGCAAGGUUCUAUUUAUCUAAAUUAUAGAAUUUGAGUCCUAAAAGUUGGUCAAGAUAGACAAACUCCUAUGACACCAAGCCCUUUGUAUAUUUUCUCCCUUGUUCUAAUUUUUUUAUCUAGUCAAGUGUUUUGAUUGACUAUAGAUGAGAGAAGGGAGUUCAAGUUUAAUAUUCUACUAGGCUUGCUUCGUUGGUGUUUAUACAAGAGAGAGCUCUUCUUUUCUCUACACUCACAACAUAAAAAUGCGUACCUUUCUGUAGAGGUGUACAGGUACAAACACAAACAACUCUCUUUCUUUGUCUCUCUCUCCACGUCUUGAGUAAGACUUUGGAUUUUGGAUGUUAGGUGUAUGCUCAUGUAACAUUCACUACCAUGGGAUUCUUUUUUCACUACAUCAUAAGGGUAUCAUGAGAGUACUAAGAUAUGCCUAGAUCUAGGUCUUUCACUAUUUCAACAUUAGCUUUAAAGCACAGGUUGUAUCAUUUUUUUUUUCAAGAAAACAACCUUAACUCCCCAUUGGAUCAUAUUUUAAAUGAAUUUGAAGGUGAUAUCAAAAUACUCUACUCAUCUUAAGCUUUUUUUUAUGUAAUAUUUUAUCAACAUUUUAGGUAAAAUUAAUGAAAAAAAAUGAUUUUUUUUUUCUCUUGCUUUAUCAGUAUCCAUCUUAGGAAAGAGUGUUUUUCUAACAUGAACUUCAAGACACCAAAAUUAGAAAACAAGUAGGUAGACUAAUGGAAUCCCCAGAACAAAAAGAGGAGAUUGGUUGCAAUUGGGAGGCCUACAACAAUCAGUAGAGCAUCGCAUGGAACCCACAUACCAAGAAGGCAUAACAACGUGGAUUGCUAUAGGGCAUGCGUUAGCCUUGCUUGUGUGCACAACCAAUGCGUGAUAGUGCUAUAGUAUGUCCUUUCUUGACACCAACUGCAAGUGAUAUAUCCCCUAGUUUUUCUUUGUAUUGGAAGAUUUUUUUUUCAAUUUUUGUGUAGCCCACCUUGUAUUUUAAAAGUAAAAAAGUACACUUUUUUAUAGUAAGUGGGAAAGCACUUGGGGUUUAUUGACCAUGUUUUUUGGACAAAAAUGUUUCAAAAUAUUUUUUUUUUAUGUGAUGACCUCUCAUAUCUUUCCGUGAUUACUUAGAUUUUUUUUAAUUAAUUUCUUAAUUAUAUAAAUUUGUGUUUCAACAAAAAAAAAAAAAAAAAAAAAAAAAUCACAAGAAAAUUAUUGUCUAAGGUGGUGUUUGAUUUUUGGCUUAAUAGAAAAAUCAAAAUAUUUGAUUUUUUUUUAUUCAGUUAAAAGUAACCUAUUGAUAUCAACUAAUAUGAUUAAAGUGAACUUAUUAGUAAUAAAUUACCAAAAUUCUCCAUUGGUUGCCUGCUUUCAUAAGUUUCACCAUGUUGAGCACUUCUGUUAACAAUGUAUUAGAAAUUUUUUAAUAUAUUCACAUUUAUCGAAAAACAUAUAUGAUUUGAGACUUUAUGAAAAUAACACAUGUAAUACAAGUUUAUUUAAUAUAAUUGGGCUCAUAUUACAAACAUUCCCUAUAUCAUUUUUUGAAAAUAAAUAUAUUUAAUCUCUAUCCUUUAUUUACAUUCAAGUUCAUUCCUUUUAUUAAAUAUUUUUAGGUAUACUUGAUUUUGGGAAUAAGCAUGGGUAUGAAGGGUUCAAAAGCCCCCUUAUUUCUUUAGCUAAGAGACUAAUUAAUUAUAUAAUUUUUUGUAUUAGUGGUUCACUUUAUUACUACUUUUCGGGACAUUUGUCAUAAUUUAAUAUAUGGAUUUUUGUAUGAAAAGGCAAAUUUCUAGUUAAAACUUUUUUGUUAGCUUAAUUACUACUUCUUGUGUCAAGCCUUCGUACUGCACAUGUCAAAUGAUCGUGGUGUCCUAACCUUUGGGUUUGGGUCAUCACAUCAUUAGCUCGCAUUUCCAUGAGAAGGGAUAUGAUAAAUUAGCAAUGAUGUUUCAUUUUAACGUGCCUUCAAAUUUUUAGGUUGAUGUUUUUCUUGUUGUACUAAAUCUCAUCAACAAGAUAUAAAGUUAAUAUUUCUCAAAAGGUAUAGCAAACACAAAUUCACCAAGAAGACCUACCCUUUUGUCUUCAAAAGAGAUAAAUGCUUGCAUACAUCCCCAAACAAAUAGAGUUUAUCAAGACAUGUUUUCACUUGCAAACACUAAUGCUAUGCAUGGAAAUCCAUAGCUCAGUUCCUUUCCUAAGAAGAUGAAUGGCUCACACCACUGGCCGAAAUAAGCAUUCAACAGCACUCGAGCCUUCAAGCCAAAUACAGUGUCAUAGACUGAUACAUUGCCUACUAUUGAUAUAACACCUAGCACUAGUAAUCUCCACCCUGCUACAUUUAAAUUGUGAACUUUUUUAAAGAGAUCCUAAGCUAAAUUAAACUGCUUGAUUCUUAAAAUCCGUGUAGAUUCUCUUUAAUUUAGAGCAUGGAUGUAAUAAGUCUAACAGGCUCUGCCUCUUUUGUCAUUCUCUUUAGCUCCUGUUCAAACCUUUCCAUGACUGGCGGAGGCAGGCAAAUAGGUAUAACAUUUCCUUCUUCUCCUUUGCUGUUCCUGAACCUCGUACAGAAGCUAAUAAUAGAUAAAGCCCUAGCAAG